UUUUUUUUUUUUUUUUUUUGUCGACACAGGGGUGUCCGGGUCAAUCCUUACGGGGCCCGACUAAUCCCCUGCGGCCCGGGCCUGGCGCCCCAACCUGACCCUAGCACGUUAAGUGUGCGGAGGAAUCCAGCAGAGCUGAGACUCGAACUCGGGACCUCUCGGUCCCUGUGGGAGGAGGCUACCGCUGGACCAUUCACGCGGGGGCUUAUAUGCCUGAUAGUAGUAUGCUGUGAAACUGCACUUCCUACGUAGCUGAUCUUAUAAAUGUUCAGUUAUAGCUCUGCUAUAACUCCUAAUGCAAGGUCACAGUUCAUGGAUUCUUGCUACCAUUGUUAUGACUUCAUUCAGUAUAGUACUAAUAACAAGAAUGAUCAGAGUUUUCCAAAUUGUUCCAUCUCUUAUAUUCCUAUGUGUAUGAUCUGUGAAAUUCUACAGUGUUUGACUAAUUAAUGCUGGAUCUAUAAUACAGUAUUUGAGUACAAAUACACAGCAUGGCGUCUUCUUUAUGUAUGUAAUUUCUGAGGUAUUGGAUGAUGCAAAGGUGGUAUAACAUUGGGCGUGCCAGACAUAAAUACAGCAGUUGGAACUGUUAUGAGGUCUCAGAAAUUUGGGUUAAUAGCAUGACUACUAUGACGAGUUUAAGGACCCCAGUUCCUAACUUUCGGGCUAUGGGUUUUGUUCACUGGGUUAGGAAACAUACCCCCAAUCACAAUUUCCCAUUUCCCUUUUCACUCAAAGCUAUUUUACUAGCUAUGUUCCUCACACGUACCGCUCACAAAAAUUUCACAAAAUCACCUCUUGAUUCUCUUCCAGUCCCACUGUCACAGAAAAUACAACAUUACAUUUGCCUUUCUCAGCCUAUUACGAACCCAUACAUACCCACAAUCCAAUCCCACUAAAGCCCUUUAUCUUGUACAAGAAAAUGUUGAUAAAAAAUUAAUAAGGGUAAAACCCACAAGUAAGCAGAAUCCAAAAGUAGGAGAUGACUCCAUCCAUAAAUCAAAUGAAACCCAAAAAAACUGGACUGAAAUUUUUGGCAAAAAAAACAAUUAGGGCAAAACAUUUGGGGGAAAAUUAGGGAGAAAAAAGAGAAUCGGCAUACCUUUUUUUGUAGAGAGUUGCUGCUAAAUGUAGUCUUCUAUUUGCUCAUUGCCGAGCCAAGAUCAAUUAGGAGGUGGCGAGGAGAUGUUUCGGCAGAGAUGAGGAGUAGUGUUAUUUGGUUCUAAGUGUUGGCUAUUGGCUGGUAGUGAUGUUUCGGUAGAGUGAAUGAAUAAACAAGACCACCGAUGGUUGGUUUCACCAAGUGUUCAAUAUCAAUUCCGGCCUCUCCUCAGACUAUUGACUUUGAAUAAAAUUUCAAUUCUUUAGAUUUCCCCCUUACUUGUUCAGUACCAAAAUUUCAAACAAAGUUUUUUAGUUUCCAACAUUUUAGUACAUAUAAUAUUUUACUAAUAUAUUAUUAUUUGCUACUUUUAAAUAUUUUUGUGAAAAUAUUCAUAAUGGGUGAGAAAAUUAUGUUGCAAUACUACAAGUGGUAAAUGCACCUUGGUCCUGCUUCAAAUAGUUAAUUUUUUUAUGACAUCAAAUAGUUGAUCCGAUAUUAAUAUUGAUAUCAUUUUCUCAAAAUUAUGAACUAAAUUACAACUUAUUUAUCUUUCUUUCCAUUAUUUUUGCCCAAUACUCCAGAAUUUUGUUUUGUUAUUUUAUAAUAAGGAGAGAUGAUUUGUUUCAAAUGGUUAAUUUCACUUUAAAUUAUUGCACUAAUAUUAAUUUACAUGACAAAAUUUGAGUUCCUAACAAUUAAAAAAUUCAUUAGAGAGCAAAUACAGAAUAACAAUUGCUAUAGUAUAUAAAUAUUUUAAAUCAGAUCGUGACAAGAGAAAGUUGUCACUAACUAGUUCCAUUAUUAUCAGUGACAACAACAACCAAGUUGUCAAAGAAAGGGGAAUUAUUACUGACAAUAUUUAGAUAGUCGUCGCUGAUGUAGUUUGGCGCGAUGUGGCGGGAGUUCAACUGUAAUGACAAUCCUGAUGCCUUUGCUCCUUUCAGUCAAUUGUGACAACUUUUCCUGUUGUGGCUAAUGGGCCCCAUUUUGUGACGACUAAUUUUCGUCACUAGGAAAUGUUGUCACUAAUAACCAAAUUUCUUGUAGUGACUAUUACAAUUUGGCAUUUAAAUGCCUCUUAAAUAAUUAAAAAUAAAUAUACAAAAUUAAACAAAUAAAGCAAAUAAAUAAUUAAAUGAAAUAAAAACAUUCAAAAAAAAACAUGCAAAAACGCACAUAAAGUCACAUAGGGGCACAUAGGGUCAAAUAAAAUCAAAAUAAAGGAUUAGAGUGUACUUCCCUUGAAUUGGUGACUUAGUGAAACGAAAUUACUUAUUUGCCCUCCAAAACAAUAAAAUGGUCAAGGCAUCGCUUUAAUUAAUAAAUAAUUACAAGAAAUAAAAAUAAAUAUGAAAUUGAAUCAAUCAAAGCAUUCAAAUAAAAGUAAGGUGGCGUUUGGUUCGCACAUCGGAAUCGGAUUCAGAUUCGGAAUUGGAUAUCAUGGGUUUGGAAUGAGGUUAUUCAUUCUAAUACAUUUGUUUGGUUCAAGCACCUGGAAUGUGUAUCAUUACUAUAGUUGAUAUUUGGUUUGUCGACUCUUUCGGAAUGGAAUAUAAGAAAUUUUCACUAAUUAAAUAUAUUAGUAUAAAUGUAUUAGUAAAUUUAGUCUAACUGAUUAAUAAUUUCUAUUAGUAAACAUGUAUAAUUAUUAGUAUAAUUGAUAAUAUUAAUUAUAAUACAUAAAUUAAUAUACAUUAUAUAAUACAUAUAACUAAUAAUAAUAUUAUUAUAAGUUUGUAACUAAUUAAUAUGUGGAAAAUCAACUGGUUUUAUAUGUAUGUUGAUUACAAUUAACUCCCUUGGCCUCUUUAUUAUUUUAAUUUGUAUUAAUCCCUUCUUAUUAGUAAAUACAAGUGUUAUAGAUAAGUCAAACGUGAACUAUACACGAAAACUAACUAGUGUUUUUUGUGCUCUCUAUUAGAAAGAAAAAAGAAGAAAAUUAAAUUUAUUUCUAUAUAUUUGACUAUUCCUUAGACUAUAGUACAAACUCCCCAGCUUCACUUUUUCCCUUAUGCUCAUGUCUUCGUCAUUAUAAUCUUGUCACUUGAGAUUACUUGCCGCUACAUUACUUGAGCCAUCAUUUAUGUUUGCCCCACAACCAAAGAAAUUUUUUUUUUCUCUUCUAAAUGUUUAAAACACAUCAUUUUAGUAUUUUACCUAACAGUAAAAUACAAUAAAUACUAACCCCUCGUUUGGUAGAUGGGACUGCCAGAAUGGAAAGACCUUUCCACCCAAAAUACAUUUCAACCAAAAUAGAGUGGCAGGGGAAAAAAUUUAUUAUUCUAGGAUUUGGUAGAUAAGUCAGAAUGGAAUGUUUACCCAGUUUCCAAUAUGUGAUAUAAUUGAUAUUUAAAUGUUAGAAUGGGAUAUACUAAAUACAAUUUUGACUUAAUUGCCCUAGGUUGGUUUAUAAGAUGUAAUAUGUCUUAUUACUUUUAUUUUAUUUGUUCUAUAAUAGUAUUUGUCUAUUUAUGUGAAAUUUUGAUAUUUUUACUUUAAAAAUUAAUGAGGAUUGAUAUUAAAAUUCUUCAAUUAUAAGACUUAAUUCGUUCUAAUAUAUGGGUUUCUAAGUUAAAAUUUUGCAUUUACUAGCAAUAAAUUAGCAACAUAAAAUAUAAAUUACAUGAAGUCAAACAAUUAUAAUUUAUUUUCAAUUUUGAUAAGAUCCAAAAACAAUUCUUGCACAAUGCUCAAAAGUCAAAGAAUAAAGUAUUUUAAAAUAUUUUUUUCUAGUGAAAGAAAAUAACUAUUUUAAAUACGAGGAAAAUUAAUGAUUAUAAAAAAAUUACAUUCAAAUAUUAAUUGAGCUUACAAAUUGCCUAAGAUAUCACGAUGCAGUGUAAAGAUUUAUAAGGAUAAAUUUGACAUUCUACCAUUUAGGCAUGUUAUGAUGAAGGUGGAAAAGCUUUUCCUAAAUUUUUUUAAGGAAUGGAAUUCCAGUAAAAAGUUGGAAUAAGCAUUCCAAGAGGAAAAGUUUUUCCCACUUAAAUGUACCAUACCAAACGCUGUAAUGGAAUGGACAAGUUGGAAAACAUUUCUUUUCCAGGCCAUUCCUACAUACCAAAUAAGCGGAAAGUGCUUAUUGAAUUAGAUAAUAUAUAAUAACAAAAUUUUGAAAUAUAAUUAUCUAUUUAUUUGGUUCAUAAUUCGUGAUAAAAGUGUCAUCAUUUGUAUUCAUGUCUUCCAUGAUUUUUUGUAGAGAAAUUUUUAUAUUUUUUAAUCAUUUUUUACCUUAUAUACAUCAAAUCAUUACAGUAAUUUUUUUUUUUUUACGAAAACUCUUAAAAAUUGCAAUCCAAACCAAACCUUAAUCCGUACUCCUUACCAACAGAUUGGUACAAACUGCUGUACCAUCUCGUAGAAUUUUUUGGUGUAAAAAUGGAUGACAAAACCAACCACAACUCUACAGUGGCAAGCCCCAAGACUUUGAAGUCUUGAAUUCAAAUAUGUCUUCUUCACUCCCAUUGCUUAAGUUCUAUUUUUCCUUACUAGAAAAAGAUUUUUUUAAAAACUUUGCCGCAACAAAAUCUACAAAAUACAUUAUCAAAUUGAUGAGCUUAUCAUAGAUUAUAUUUCUUGUUCUAGCAGGGGAGGGUUUGUUAAUGAAUUUAUCAUAUUGUUUGAUUUAUGUCAAAAGAACUCGAAUACAUCAAAAGGACCGGAAUAUAUUUCCAAUAAAUAUUACAUCAAGUAAGAAAGAAGGAAAAUAUUUCAUAAUUGAUACUAAAUCUAUAUAUUUGACUUAAAGAAAGCUUAUAUUUGACUUAAAUUGGAUGCCGUGUUGGCGGAGUCUCAAAGAAAGCUUAAUCUUAUGCUCGAGUCACUCUAUGAACGUAUUGAUAAUCUAGAAACUUCAAGGAAUUCCUCUAAGAAAUCUCGAGGAAAACUACCUUUGGAUGAAUCUUGUGAUUCCAUGCAAUCUACCUCUUUAAAGCCGAUUUAUACAAGAGGUGACAAGAAGGCUCAUUCAACAUCUUCUGGGCCUAAACCUAGAGUUGAACCAUCUCAUGAGAAGUUAUUUUGGAAGACAUAUCAACGUCUUUUACACCAAAAACAAAUAGAGUCAAAUAGAUGCCAUCAAAGCGAGUCUUCUAAUGAGGAGGUAGCCGAGUCUUAUCCUAACAAAGGGGUAUCUCAUCCUAUUGAACCAUUUGUUGAAGAGGUUCGUAAUGAGGAAAUAAUCGAAGGCAUUGAGCUAGAAAAGGAAAUGGAAAUAUCUGAUGAGAUGAGUAGUAAAACGGAAGAAAAGAGAGAAAGUGACUUGAUUUUGAGCAAAAAUGUGAGGGCUUAUUGUUUCCCUAAUGAACUUACCUUUACAUUAUUUAGUGUUUCUUCUUUUAUGGAGAUCAAGCAAAGUCAAGUAGGGUUGAUCUUGACAUGUUUCAUUCCAAAGUCAAUUGUACAUUUUGCAAGUUUCCAUAGAGUUUGUCUUUUAAGAGUUAAAUCCCUUUGGUAUCAAUUCAAGGAACAAUGUCAAUUCAAAUCUGUCCACACCAAUGGAGAGUUAAUUCGAACUCAUGUUGAAGGGAACAUUCCAAAUUUUGGGGCUGGUUGUGUACCAAGGGUUCAUUUGAUCAUCUUGGCCUUAGUCCACGUGAAGCUCCAACUUCACCAAAGUUGCCUUGGUGUCUUGCAAGUGUAUUCGAGCAUGAGUUUGGUUUUAUGGGAUACACGUCACACCACUUUGAGGAUCCUUACCUCAUGACCAGAAGCGAUCAAGUUGAGCAUACAUUGAAACUGGUUCGUGAGAUUCAAGGGUCAAUAAGGGUUGUUUUCCAACUUAGCAAGUGGUUUUUGCAUUGGAUGACAUUUGCAGCCAUCAUAACAAGAUUGACUCAAAGGCAUGUAACUUUUCUUGUCAUCAUUCAUGCUUCAAUUUGUGGGCAAAUUGCUUUCAAGACAAAAGGAAUGAUGAGAACGUGAAGAUUGUCCAAGCAAAUCGGUUUAGUUAGUGAGGAUGCUCACCUCGGCAACCCCCGCUUGUCCGAGGUGAACCCACCUCGUCCCUCAUCGGAGCUCAUCCGUGUCUUGGGCAUAUCCCCUAAGCUCGGACCGGAUCCCAAAUCUACCGUGUUGGUGAUCUCGGCACAUCCACCUCAGCUGUACGCUGAUGAUGUCAAGCCACCUGACAUCACCCGGGACCAGUGCUUUAUCUGAAAAGCACUGUCACACUUAAUGACUACUGUGUAAGACUCCUCGUCACCCUGCCCAGGCGACUACAGCGUCAGAGUCAGACCGCCUGACAGAGAGCAGAGCCGUAAUGGUAGGACAUGGGUCCCACCGGCAUAAGACCUCCAUCCUACCCUCCACUCUCGCUCUAUAAAUACCCCUCAUGUACUCCUAACAAGUAAGCAUACUGUUCAUUUGACAAUACUAUUAUUUCUCUCGUUCUCAUAUUAACUUGAGCGUCGGAGUGAUCCCAGGGGAGAAGCCCCGCCAUUCACUUCGGACACACAGAUACACCUCACCUCAGAAGAGGCUGAUUUCGGCUGGUUCAACCGCCCCCCAAAAAUCACCUCCUCAAUUGGCGCCGUCUGUGGGAACGAGAUUACUGUUAAAAUGAGAUCCACUCGCUCCAGAAGUGGAAGAGUCCCCUCGACCGGGGCUGGGCAGACAUCCGGAGCCCAGCAAGAUCGUAUUUCUGAAGAACAAGGGUCCCCAAGGACCCAACCCCACAAUGAAGACGCCAUCGCCAAGAUGGCCGAAUUCGUGACUGAUAACCCGAACAUCUUCGAGGAACUGGGGAGGUACUUCAAGAGGCAGGGGAAGAAAAAAACUGAAUCCUCCAAGAGGAGACCGACGAAAUCCCCUGAAGUACCUUCCGGCGAAGACUCCGAUGAGGGGCACCUCUCUCGGAGCACUUCCAGGCGCGCCUCUUCCAAGGCGACGUCUAAAAUCAUUUCCAUUUUCCGGGCGUUUUCCCGGGGUCUUCUGGGAAAACGAGCUGAGGACCCACCUCGGCGUCCCGGAGGUUUAGCCGCCGAAUAUCUGAGGGCUCCGCCCUUCACGGAUGACAUCAAUGGGGAGAUGGUCCCCCCAAACUUUAAACUUCCCGCCCUCCGUUCCUACGAUGGCCGAGGUGACCCCGAGGAUCACCUCCGCGCCUUCCUCUCCGCUUUUCGGCUCUAUUGCGUCCCCGACGCAGUAAUUUGCCGAGCUUUCCCCAUCUUCCUGCAGGGCACGGCCCGAAAGUGGUUAUGGGGUUUAGAACCGAGGAGCAUUUCCUCACUGGAUGAGUUGAUAGAUCGGUUCAUUCACCGCUUUGUAUCAUCUCGUCCGAUUACGAAGACUUCAGCCUACCUCUUGAACCUGCAGCAAGCCCCCGGCGAGUCACUGCGCUCCUACGUGCAGAGGUUCAAUGAGGAGAACGUGCAGAUACCUGAUCAGCAUGAGCAGGUAACUAUAGCUGCCUUCACCAAUGGGCUGAUCGCGGGAAUCUUCAAUACUGAGAUACACCGGGAUUACCCCCGCACAUUUCGGGAACUCUGGGAUCGAGUAGAUCAGGGAAUCCGAAGUGAAGAUCUAAACCGCAUGAAGCGAGAGGUUCAAGCCUCUCGUACCGGGCAAGAUUUCCGGAGGAAAAAAGACGCCGGCCGAGUCGAACAAGACCCCAGUGGCUCGUCAACUCAGUUCCGAGACCGCCGAAGUGUCUUCGACCGGAUUGUUAAAGGCAGGUCGUCCACCUCGGACGCCGAGCUGACACCUCUCAAUUCCAGCUGGACCCAUGUCCUGGCUGUGAUGAGGCAGAAUCACCUCGGCCGAAAUCCUCCUGAAAUUCUAGGGAAGAGAGAUAAGAGGAACUCGAACCUCUAUUGUGCCUACCACCGGGACGUUGGGCACGAGACUGAAGAUUGCAAUGAUCUGACGCGGGAGAUCGAGAAUUUGAUCCGGCAGGGGUACCUGAAGCAAUUCGUCCGCAAGGAUGGAGGCUUCAACAGAAACGUCUCCCACCGGGAGAACCGGGGCCCCCGCCGAGAAGACAGGCGGGACACGAACAUGCAUUGCCGAGGACCCGAAGACCGUAGGGAGGACAAGCAGCCUCCACGCGAUGGAUCACCGGGCUACGGCCCCAACAUCGCCGGGGUGAUCAAUACCAUCGCGGGAGGACCAACGGGAGGAGACAGGCAGAACUCCCGGAAGCGGACCUACCGCCAGGCCGGGAUGGAGGUGGUUGAGCCGAGCUCUCGGUUGUCCGAGGUCAUCACCUAUGGUCCCACUGACCCCGUCCCCGCCGCUUCCAGCAACCACGAGGCCCUCGUGAUCGAAGUCCUCACCAACAACUACAUAGUCAAAAAGGUCUAUGUUGACCCCGGAAGCUCGGUAGACGUCUUGUACUAUCGAACCUUCGAGAAUUUGAAACUGACCAGGGAGCAGCUCACUCCGGUCAGGACUCCCCUCGUUGGAUUCGGGGGACACGUGGUCCACCCCGAGGGUAUGGUGUCCCUGAUGGUGACCAUCGGGCGUCAUCCCCGCUGCCGAACUGUGCCGGUCAGCUUUGCGGUGGUCAAAGCAGACUCUCCCUACAACAUGCUAAUAGGCCGGCCCACGCUCAAUGCAUUGAGAGCCGUAUACUCCACGUACCACCUGAGUUUUAAAUUUCCAACAUCUGAGGGGGUGGCCGAGGUGAGCAGCGAUGUGGGCGCCGCCCGGAAAUGCUACCUCGCCACCAUUCAAGCAGCAGUCACACCCCGGCCCUCGCCGAGGUCAGAAGAAAAGAGGCCAGAGGUCCUCUCCAUAGACUGCAUCGACCCUCAGAAGGCAGGAGAGGCCAACAGGCUUGAGCCCGGGGAUGAGGUGGAACAAGUGGUCUUGGAUGAAGCGAAACCUGAUCAAGUGGUCCAAGUAGGGGCUGGACUCCCCCCACCCCUGAAAGAAGAAAUGAUCUCCCUGAUCAAGGACCACCGAGACGUUUUCGCGUGGUCCGCAGAUGAAGUGGUUGGAGUGCCACCCGAGUUCAUGAUUCAUCAACUCAACGUUAACCCACAGGCCCGACCUGUGCGACAGAAACGAAGGCACUUCGGCCCCGAACGUAGCAAUGCCAUAUCGGAUGAGGUCGACAAGCUCUUGCCCGUCAAGAUGAUCCAUGAGGUCCAGUACCCCACCUGACUCUCCAACCCUGUCAUGGUCAAAAAGGAUGCCGGUGGAUGGAGGAUGUGUGUCGACUUCACCGACCUUAACAAGGCAUGCCCCAAAGAUUGCUACCCUCUACCGAGGAUCGACGCCCUCGUCGACUCGGCAAUGGGACACGAGAUCCUCUGCUUCCUAGAUGCCUUCAAAGGCUAUCACCAAAUAGGAAUGAGUGAGGAAGACCAAGAAAAAACGGCAUUUUACACCGACCAAGGUGUCUACUGCUAUACCACCAUGCCAUUCGGGUUAAAAAACGCCGGGGCGACCUAUCAAAGGCUGAUCAACCGCCUUUUCAAAAAUCAGAUCGGCCGAAAUGUGGAGGCCUACGUGGACGAUAUUCUCGUCAAAAGCUUAACCACCUCGGCCUUCUUGUCGGAUGUGAAGGAGGUCUUCGGCGUCCUCCGCGACUCAAGGAUGAAGUUAAACCCCAAGAAGUGCGUCUUUGGUGUCACCUCAGGAAAGUUCCUGGGGUAUUUAGUUUCCCACCGGGGAAUCGAGGCCAACCCCGACAAGGUCAAGGCCAUUCAAGAUAUGUCCCCACCUCGGAACCUCCGAGAAGUCCAGAGGCUGAAUGGACGCCUGGCUGCACUGAACCGCUUCCUAUCCCAGUCCGCAGAAAAAGCUUUGCCCUUUUUUAAGGUGUUUAAGAAGGCCGAUCAGUUCACCUGGACUGAGGAGUGUCAGGCUGCCUUCGACAAGCUGAAGCUGUACCUGCACCACCUACCCACCCUCGCUUCACCUCGGCCCGAGGAGAAGCUGUACCUCUACCUCUCUGCAGCGGACGAAACUGUCAGCGCUGUGCUCAUCAGGGAUGAGGGCACUCAAGUGCCGGUCUACUAUGUCAGCUGAGCCCUCCGUGGGCCGGAGACUCGAUACACUAAAGUGGAAAAACUUGUGCUAGGACUAGUCCACGCCGCCCGACGGCUGAAACCCUAUUUCUUAGCUCAUCCCAUCUCUGUCAGGACCAACCAACCACUCCGACAGAUACUGGUGCGGCCCGAGGCCUCCGGACGCCUCACUAAGUGGGCCGUUGAGUUGGGGGAAUACGACCUGUCGUAUGAGCCGCGCACCGCCAUAAAGGCUCAAGCCUUAGCCGACUUCUUGGCCGAGCUCACCUUCACGGAAGGUCGGGAGUCCACCUUCGCCCUAACCGAAGUGUCCACCCCACACCUGUGGAUGUUGUAUGUGGACGGGUCCUCUAAUGGGGAUGGGAGUGGAGCAGGACUGCUCCUGGAGGGCCCCCAAGGAGAAGUGUGCUCGUAUGCCCUCCGCUUUGACUUCCCGGCCACCAACAAUGAAGCCGAAUAUGAGGCCUUAAUCGCGGGACUCCAACUAGCCCGCAGGCUCGGUGCACAGCGGAUUCACGUCCGCAGCGACUCCCAACUCGUAGUAUGCCAAGUCCUUGGUGAGUAUGAGCCCAAGGAUGAAACCAUGCAACGGUAUCUAUCCAAAGUCCACCAACUCAUUGCGUAUUUUGAGUCUUUCGACAUCCAAAGAAUCCCCCGCUCCCAAAAUAGGCGCGCCGACGCUCUGUCCCGGCUGGCCUCCACAUCAUUCUCCGAUCUCAACAAAACUGUUUUAGUGGAAGUGUUGGACGAGCCGGGAUACAUGGAAGAGGUGGCCUGCCCCGUGCACUCGGAAGAUAUUUGGAUGAAUCCGUUCAUCCACUUCUUAGGGCAGGGAGUCCUCCCCGAGGACAGAGCCGAGGCGAGAAAGAUUCAACGCAAAUCUGCUCGGUACGCGCUCCGCGAUGGAGAGCUGUAUAAACGCCCAUACCUUGGCCCAUGGCUAAGGUGCAUUACCCCCGAGGUAGGACGCCAGGUCCUCCAUGAGAUACACGAAGGCCUGUGCGGGGCUCACGUCGGCCACAGGAUGUUAGCCAGGAAGACCUUACUUCUUGGGUAUUUCUGGCCUUCUCUUCGACAAGAUGCCCAAAAUCUUGUUCUCAGUUGCCCAUCCUGCCAAGUCCAAGCCCCUGAUCUUCACCAACCCUCGAACUUCAUGAUUCCAAUCACCUCACCCUGGUCGUUUGAGCAAUGGGGGACAGACAUCAUCGGUCCUUUCCCUAAAGCGGUCGGGGGCUAUACCUUCCUGGUAACCGCUGUGGAUUAUUUCACUAAGUGGGUUGAAGCCGAGCCUCUACGUACCAUCACAGGGCUGACCAUUCAAAAAUUCUUCUGGAAAUGCAUUAUCUGCCGCUUCGGCAUACCUUAGGUAAUCAUCUCGGACAAUGGGAGACAGUUUGCCGAGAACCCAUUUAAGACUUGGUGCGAGAACCUUGGCAUCAAGCAACACUUCACUUCGGUAGGCCACCCUCAGGCCAAUGGUCAAGCAGAAAAUUUUAACCGAACUCUCUUGCAUGGCCUCAAGAUUCGACUACACCGAGCUGGGUCAUCUUGGGUGGAGGAACUCCCCAGUGUUCUGUGGUCAUAUCGGACCACGCCGAAGUCAUCCACGCAAGAGACUCCCUUCUCCUUGACCUAUGGAGCCGAGGCUGUCAUUCCUGCUGAGCUCCUCACACCCAGUCCUCGGCUGACAGCCUAUGUAGCCGAGGUGAAUGGAGAAGAGAGGCAGUUUGAUCUCGACCUCAUCGACGAGAAAAGAGACCUUGCCUCAGCUCGGAUAGCUUCCUACAAGAACACCCUGGCCCACUACUACAAUGCCCGCGUCAAGCAUCGGCGAUUCCUGCCAUGAGACUUGGUGCUUAGAAAAAACUCGGUCACCCGAGCUGAACCGCAAGGGAAAUUAGGCCCGAAAUGGGAAGGCCCUUACCGAGUUGUGGAAUCUAGUCUAAGUGGGUAUUAUAAAUUGAGCAACCGAGAUGGCUCUCUAGUGCCGAGGACUUGGCAUGCUGAGAACCUCAGACUGUAUUAUGUUUGAAGAUUUUACUAAGUUAUCACUUCAGCUGCUUAGUUAUUUUUCAAUACUGAGAUGCAUACAUCUGCUAUUAAAAAAUAAGGGGGACAAAUAGGGGACGAAGCAAGACACUAAAGGAGCCGAAGUAAGAAGAAAUAGAUCUUUCAUUCAAAUAAGAAGAGGCAUUACAAAAUGAAGACAAAGACCGAGGUCAGGAGUACUGCUAAGCAUCUCCCACCUCGGUUUUAAAUUUAAAGCCCUAUAAGCUAAGCCUCCGUCUCGGUUCCCUCUUGGCCAGUUGCCUCCUCGGCUUCUUCCCCGCCGGGGUGAGCCUCUUCUCCUACUCCUUGCUCUUCCUCGCCGACGUCACCCCCAGUCUCUUCUCCUCCUUCCUCCUCAAAGACCUCGUCGAGCUCAGCUAGCCAUUUGUUGAACUCAUCUUGGACUUCGGCCAAGUUCCUUCCGGCUUGGAUGCCCUCGGCCAUCCAAUCACACAGCUCCUUGGAGUCAUCGUUAUAGUUGGCACUGUUCCUCAAGGACUCCAAAGCCUCAGAGGGUAGAUGAGUCGCGGCCUCAUCAAUAGCCGACGUGAAGCCAAGCAUGAAGCUCGGCCUCGUCAGUUGGCCGAGAUCCCCAAGGAAGGUCUCGGACCUCCGGAAAUCCUCUACAGCCGAGGUCCUCGCACUCUCGAGGGCCUGCUCAUGGGUCUUCUUCGCCUCCUCUGACCUCUUCUGCUCUUCCUCCAGAGCCGACCUCAGACUAUUGAUAGUGGCCUCGGACUCUUCCUCCUUAGUCUCGGCCUCUUGAAGCCGUCUCUGAAGUUCGGACUUCUCGGAUUCAGACACAACCUGUUUCUUCUUCAGCUUGGCAAUCUGAUCUUGCAGUUUGCCGGUGUCCUGCUCCUCAAGCAGCUCACAGUACCGAUGUGCCAUCUCGGCCACAAAGGCUGUGUUGGAGGCCGUGGUCACCAUGACGCUUUGGAGCAUCUCGGCCGGAGUCAACUUCCUUGUGAACUCCAAGUCCCUCGGCAAGGUGGACUGCAUCACCAGGUCUUGGGCAACCCGGGGGUGGCUGCAUCGGUCGUUGACCUUGAGCGACCAGUCCGGACACCAAUGCUUGCCAGGGUGAGAUUUUUCUUUCCCAGAAAACACUGGGGGGCUUUGGUAACGGUUCCACAGCGAAGACGCCGUCACCGCGUUGACUGGAGACUUCAACUGUUUGCCUCGACCAUGUGGAGGUGGAAGUGCCGUGGUCACCCCUAAUGGCACCCCUUCUGGCACCGAAGAGGCGGACCCUGUGGCCGCAGCAACCGAGCUGCUCUGGGCUGCCGUGAUCGGGGUGGUCUUCUCUACCGAGAUCUUGGAAGACUGCCCUUUGGACUUCUUUUUGGGCGGAGGCGCCGAAGUCUCCCCCGAGUUCUUUCUCUUCGACCUCUUGGCCACCUCGGCCGAGCCCGAUGUGAUGAUGUCGGACAGUUUAGUCACUGCACAAGAAACAAAUAUUAUUAUUUGCCAUAGCCGAGGUAAAAGGAAAGCUAUGAAAGAAAAAUUACAGGGUUUCUUAAGUUUAAUGGAAAAGAGGGGAGUCUUGUUGGGAGGCAGUAAAGCUCGGCUAAUUCCCCCAUCGACCAGCACGGCCUCGGGGUGGUCCCAGCUGAAGAUCCGAAGUCCGGACCCCAUCAAUUUCUGGAAGGACUCCUCUUCGAGAUCCCCCGCGGAGGCGUCGGCCUUCGAUUUGAUGGGCCUCCACCAAAAACCCCGUGGGAAGUCCACGGCCAAGACGAAGAUGAAGUCACGCUUCCAAUUUUUUAUUGAAGAGGGGGCGCCGAUGACUAGCUUCGGGAUGGUUUUGUUCCGGUUGCAGACGUAGAACCACUCCUUGUCUGUCCCAUGCGCCUUGAAGGUGUAGCAUCGGCGGAAUAGAUCCACAGUUGGAGUCACUUUUUGAUGUCGGCACAGCAUCUUGAAACCUACUAGAAUGCAGACCGCGUUUGGGACGAGCUGAGUAAUCCUCAUGCCGAAGUGGCGAAGUGUGUCCCUGAAGAACCUCGACGUCGGCAUCCUCAGCUCGACUUCCAGCUGCUGGAUGUAGACUGCCACAGUCCCCAUGGGGGGCUUCUCGGCUGAGUCAUCUGGUCCGGGCGAGGUGAUGAUGUACCCCGGCCUGAAAGGGUACUUUCUUAUCACCUUCCGAGCCCUGUCUUCCCCCACUCGACUUCUGAACUUCGGCAUCUUGCCGAAGUCAAUUUUGGCCGCGUCUUUCGGAGCUACUGGCUCCAGUACUCCUUCGUCAUGGGGUAUCUGAGCUCCGAGCUCGUUAUUGAAGACAAUCUCGGAACCAGCUUCACUCAUCUCGGAUGACUCUGACGCCGAGGCUGCCUCGACGAUCUCCACCUCGGCUGAACUCUCCGCAGCACCGGACGUCGAUCCCCCAGAGCUGGACGAAGCCGUUUCUUCCGAAGUGUCGGGCACCUCCUCGGCCUGAUAGCUCGGUUUCACGGUCUCUUUGUGGGUUUUAGCCGUUCUGGCCAUGUGUGAAUGAUGAGAUGAAAAGAAAAGUACUUACUGUUGACUAUGGAAUCUGACGAAGUGGAUGACUUCGGCUGGCAGGAUUGAUCUCGGCAACACUCGCGAAUUUUACAAGUCGAAGGCUGAGAGAUAAAGUGAGGGGCCAUGCGGUGAAAAGGACCCCCUAUUUAUAGGGAUUCGGCGAGAAUCCGAAGAGGCGGCAAGAAUGCGAAAAGACGGCCACGUUUGAAUUCAAAACGUCGUGCCUCCCUCUCUCCUCAUUAAUGCCCCGUCCUUUCGACUGACACCCUCUGCACGAAACGUCCCACUACUUCACGACGCGACGGUUACCAGUGACCACGUCCCGUCAACUGACUCGCCCACGUGUCUCGUCCCCGCAUCUUCCGGAGCAGUUUCGGGACCCCGACUCUUACGACUUCGGCACAAGGAAGCCUCAGCACCUCCCUAGCCCGGAGCUCCCGAGGCUUGGGGGGCUUAUUGAGGAUGCUCACCUCGGCAACCCCCGCUUGUCCGAGGUGAACCCACCUCGUCCCUCAUCGGAGCUCAUCCGUGUCUUGGGCAUAUCCCCUAAGCUCGGACCGGAUCCCAAAUCUACCGUGUUGGUGAUCUCGGCACAUCCACCUCAGUUGUACGCUGAUGAUGUCAAGCCACCUGACAUCACCCGGGACCAGUGCUUUUAUCUGAAAAGCACUGUCACACUUAAUGACUACUGUGUAAGACUCCUCGUCACCCUGCCCAGGCGGCUACAGCGUCAGAGUCAGACCGCCUGACAGAGAGCAGAGCCGUAAUGGCAGGACAUGGGUCCCACCGGCAUAAGACCUCCAUCCUGCCCUCCACUCUCGCUCUAUAAAUACCCCUCAUGUACUCCUAACAAGUAAGCAUACUGUUCAUUUGACAAUACUAUUAUUUCUCUCGUUCUCAUACUAACUUGAGCGUCGGAGUGAUCCCAGGGGAGAAGCCCCGCCAUUCACUUCGGACACACAGAUACACCUCACCUCAGAAGAGGCUGAUUUCGGCUGGUUCAACCGCCCCCCAAAAAUCACCUCCUCAGUUAGCUAAUUAGUCCAAGUUGUGUCAUUUAUUUGGUGUUGUUAAGCAAUGGUUUAAUCGUCUAUUUUCCUUGCUAAUUUAGUCUAAAUAAUUUGGCUAGAGUUUUGUCCUUAAGUGGCUGAAAUUUCUAGUGCUAAUUUUAGGAAAAUAAGUGAUUCCAAAUUACAUUAGGAUUUCUAGACAAUUCUAUAGUACUUUAGGGAUUUGAAUCCAUGUAAGGCUUUAAAUAAGCCUAAGUCUUGAACCUUUUUUUGAUCAAUCAGAAAUUACAACAAAAACUUGUGAGUUUUAUACACUUCUCUUGUCCAAGAGAGUUUUUCUUGAAUACUUGAGAGUUUUCUUAAGUUAUUCAACUUGAAUUUAUCAAUAAAGUAUAUACCUUGGGUGUGGCGUUCUUCUAUCUACACUUUGGUUCAUAGAAUUGUUUAGUCAUGGGAGAAAUUCUCUUAGUUCACAACUUGGUGGUUCUAGAAGGGUCAUCAAGGUUCCUCAAUCAACUAGAUUUUCUUCGUCUAGAUCUGGGCCGUGUGGGAUAUGAGUUCAUACCUUCAAGCAGGUUCGUAUCAAGAUAUCUUCAUCUACUCCGUGGAUCGUCGAAACAAGUGAGGGAGUGAGCUUGUGGUGAAGUUAUUUGAAGAAGAAAGCUCUUGUCUUGCAUCUUAUCUUGGGAUUUUGAGGUAUAUUAUUAAGAAACCUCUCUUUUCUUCUUAUCUUGCGACUUAAUCGACAUAUGACUUGAUUAUAGUAGAUUUCAUGGAAGAAUUCAUGGUUUUGUUAUGGUAGCUUGAAUUUUCCAGCUUUGAUGAGAUUUUUUCAACUUUGAUUUGAGGUUUUCUAGCUUUGAGUUGAAUUUCCAACUUUAAUAGGAGAUGCUCUAGUUUUGAUAUGAAAUUUCUAGUUUUUUUUAUGUGAUUUUCAGCUUUGGUAUGCAAAUUCCAGUUUUGAGGUGCAAAUUUUCAAUUUUGAUGUAGUUUGGCUAGAGCUUUAUAUAUGUCCAAAGUUGAUAGCUUUCUUGACCUAGAAUAGAGACCAUAUAUCCCAUAACAUAUGAUCUUGAUUGUUAGUGAUUUUGUCAUGAAAUUUGGGUUGGAAAUGAGAGAGUUAACUUGAAGAAAUUAGGGGAUAUGCUGCUAGAAUUUCCCCCUUAUUGGCCAAGUGAGAGAGAGUGAGAGUUGAGGUGUAAAUUUAGGAUAUUUUUGCUUUCCUUUUGCAUAUGAUCUUACUCAAGACACUUGUUACAAUCUUUUUCUUUGUAUGUGUGUUAGGUUUGAGCCAAAACAAGAGGUUUAAACGAAAGGAAAUGAGUUUUUUUUUUCAAACUAUUUUUUAAUUAGAAUUUCCAACUCGUACAUCAAAAGUCUUGUCCUGUUUUCUUUAAAUUUUUUACUAUAAUCACUAUCUUUGUACUUCAUAUUCUCCUUGAAGUAUUGGUUUAGCAUGCAUAUGGGUUUUUCUCUAGAUUUGAACAAGAAAACUUGGCACUUUUGAAAGUUAAAUAGGGGUUAAACCUGCAAAUCACUUUAUUGGCUAAGUGAAGUUUUGAAACUCAUAGUUUUACAUUUAUAUUAGCCUCAAAUAGUUAGAUUCUUGAUAUAUUAUAUGACCACAGGAUUUGAGCAUGUCCAUGAGGACAAACCAAGGUUUGAAGUGAAACGAUUAUGAUCCAUUGGUGAGUGUUCCUUGUGUUUUCUGAAUUAAAUGCCUUUCUUGUGUUGUUAUUGGCUUGUUUGACUGUUAAAUGUAUUUCAGUGAUCAUUUUACUAUUGUUAGGCGAGUGUGUAGUUUACCGCACUCGACCUAAGUGGAUGUGAAUUUUCAAUGGUCAAAUGAUUGAAUAUUAUUUGUGCAUGAAUAUAAACCAUGUGUACUUUAUCGCAUUGGCUGAAUUGGGUCCUUGACUUUCGUCGCUAGCCUAUUCGAGCUAGAAGCGGAUUUGGUCGGGUAGGUUGGUAACCCUGGACCACUAUUUCGGUAUACUCGAGUAUUACUAUGAAAUCAGAUGGAGUACUGGCCAAUGAAUGAGUGAAAUAACUGAAAUGAAAUGAACUGGCCAAUGAAUGAGUGAAAUAACUGAAAUGAAAUGAUCAAUGUAGGGAUUUUGUUUUCAAAAGUCGGAAGUUAUAAGGAAGAGAUGGGCGGAGACUAAAUGAAUGAAUGACUCUAAGUGAGCAAGUAUCCUUUAAAUCUUUUAAAUGAUUGAGUGUUUACUUCUUGAGUGCCUCGAGGCUGUUUAUUAUUGUUUAUCAUUGUGCAAAGUGCGUGAAAUUGUUAAAUGAAAUAUUUCUGUGAUUUGAAUGGUUUUUUGUUUGGAUGCUUGUUUGGGAACCUCAAUGAGCGUAAACUUAUACCAUUAGUUUGUUUUCCUUACAGGAGUUGAGGACCAGUAUGGACAAGCUUGAACUAGAGUAUAAUGAUCCUCUUGCACAUGUACUUUUGGCAGACAGAUUAUAUUAUAAUAUUUGGUGAUGUAUCUUAUGUUUCACUUUUGGUUUGUAACUAUACUUGAACUUUGGUUAAAUUGUAGAACUCUGAUGUUAAAUUUGAAAGCUUGAAAGGUUAUUUUGAAAAUUUAUUGUAGUGAGUUCUGACGAGAGUUAGACACGCAGUUCGCCAAACUCUUGGGUACACCCUAGGAAGUGGUGGGAUCAUCACAAUUUAUGUUGCUGAAGUGAUGUUCUUUGUUAUAUUGGGUAAAUUACAUUUACUUCCCUUGAUGCUUGACUAAAUUACCAAUUAGCCCUUUAGGUUUGGGCAAAUUAUAAAUUCAUCCCUCAAACUCAAAAUUUCAUAACUAUCACACCGCUACCAUUAGUUCAAUAGCGUUGACUAUAUUAUGUUUUCAGAGAUGAGCAAAGAUUUAUCGUGAAAGCCAUGUUUUCAAACUCGGAUCGGACUGGCCAGUCCGAUUGAUCGAAUCGAAAAUCGAUCAAGUGUUUGGUCCGAAUUAUUUUAAAAACUUGGAUUGAUAGAAACUCGGUCAAGUCCGAUCAAAAUUGAAUUUGACCGAAAAAUCGGAAGAACAGUAAAAAUUGGGGCAAAGGGCUAUAGAUGUGGGGGGCCUAUGUGCACUUGUUGAGUGAAGUAACGUGUCGUUGAUGGGUCAUGCUCACAUGGCAAACUCACGUGCUUCAAGUCUCGUGCCGUUUUGGCUGGUCCUUGUAGGAGUAACGUGGUCUCACAACUACUUUGAUAAGAGUCACCUUUCAAAUUAUGUUUUGAUGUGGGUCAAAGCAUUUUUAAUAGGGAUAAUUGCAGAAACCUCCCCUGAGAUUUCUGACAUUUGCACUGACCUCCCCUCUAGGUUUAGAAAUUGCAUUCACCUCCCCUGAACAGUAAUAAUUCGUUGCAGAUACCUCCUUGACAGCUUUUGUAGAAGUGAGAUAAGAAUUUUCUUCCAAUUUUGCCCUUACUUGCUUGACAAUUAUUAUUUGCUUGACAAUUGCUUAACUAAUUAUCUAAUUAGUUAAUAGUUAAACUAAUUAACUAUUAACUAAUUAUCUAAUUAACUAUUAACUAAUUAACUAAUUAUCUAAUUAACUAAUUAACUAAAACUGUUGUCUGUCCGAAACUAACAAACUAUUUGCAUGUUAAACUAAUUAACUAAUUAACUGCUUGACUAAUUAACUAAUUAACUAACUAACUAACUAUUUGCAUGUUAAACUAUAUGCAGUACGCAUUACCUAUUUAAAGUAUCGGCUCUUUAUAUGUAUUUUACUUUCAAAUAUUUAAUUUAUAAUAAAAACAUCAAUGUUUGUAAGUAAAAUUCAAAAAGUAUUACAGUAAUAUUUUUACAAAAAGGGAGGGGUAUAGGGCCAUAAAUUAAAUGUUUGAAAGUAAGAAUAUUGAUAUUACUGUAACACUUUUGAAUUUUACUUACAAACAUUGAUGUUUUUAUCAUAAAUUAAAUGUUUGAAAGUAAAAUACCCAUAAAGAGCCGAUACUUUAAAUAGAUAAUGCGUACUGCAUAUAGUUUAACAUGCAAAUAGUUUGUUAAUUGGUUAGUUAGUUAAUUAGUUAAUUAGUUUAACAUGCAAAUAGUUUGUUAGUUUCGGAUAGACAACAGCUUUAGUUAAUUAGUUAAUCAGUUAAUUAGAUAAACAAAAAUUAGUUAAUUAGUUAGUUAAUUAAUUAGAUAAUUAGUUAGUUAAUUAGUUAAGCAAUUAAUUAGUUUAACAUGCAAAUAGUUUGUUAGUUUCGAAUAGAUAACAGCUUUAGUUAAUUAGUUAAUUAAUUAAUUAGAUAAUUAGGUAGUUAAUUAGUUAAGCAGUUAAUUAGUUAAUUAGUUUAACAUGCAAGUAGUUUGUUAGUUUCGGACAGACAACAGCUUUAGUUAAUUAGUUAAAUAGAUAAUUAUUUAAUUAGUUAAUUAGUUAAUUAGUUAAUUAGUUAAUUAAUUAAUUAGAUAAUUAGUUAAUUAGUUAAUAGUUAAUUAGAUAAUUAGUUAAUAGUUAAUUAGUUUAACUAUGCAGAGAUAGUUUGAUUAGUUAAUAACUAUUAACAAUUAGAUAAUUAGUUAAUUAGUUAAACUAUGCAGAAAUAGUUAAUUUAGUGUAAUUUUUAUUAACAAAUGUUUUGUUGGAUUUGAUGAAAGUACUUAUUACAUUCAUUUGGUAAAAUUAAAUCAUGUCAGGGGUACUUUAGUAAAUUGACCCACUUUUGCCUAUUAAAUUGCCUCCAACUUUUGAUAGGGGAGGUCAGUGCUAUUUCAAAAUUGAUAGGGGAGGUCAAUGCUAUUACUAUAAAAGUCAGGGGAGGUUUCUGCAAUUAUCCCUUUUUAAUAUUAUGUUUUGACUCUUCAAAUAUUUCAUACUUUAUAAAUAUUGUUGUAAAGUUUGGUAAUAUUUUUCAGUCAAAUUCAUAAUUUUAAUUCUAAAUUUAUUAAUGUUCAUUAAAUAAUAUAAAUUGCUACUUGAUCGUUCUAUUUUAUUUAGAUACUCUUGUUAAAUACAUUUGAAAUAUCAAAUAUAUAUAUAUAUGAAUAUACCUUUAUUAAUAUUAAUAUUUUCUUAGAUAUUUUAAAUACAAUAUUUAAAUAUUUAAAUAUUUUUAUUUAUGACGUCAUCCGGUUCAACUCUCGAUUGAAUCUGAUCGAACCCAUUGACUCCCAACCCUUGAAUUUGACCGAAUGGAUACCCGGUCCGAGUCUGAAAAUAUAGCAUGAAAGUCCUAAAAUGCCUAUAUAAACCCUAAUUUCUUCUUUUCCUAAGUUUUCAUGUACACUUAAACGGGCCUUAGAGAUAAAAGUUAUAUAGAGACCUCCAAGCCAUAUCUUCAAUUUGGCAAUAAUGCAACAAAAUUUCAAACAAAUUUCACUAAAAUAGAUCACAAUUCUUCUAGGGAAAAAAAGAACUACAUAACGAAAAAUUAAGUUUAUCAAAAUUUGAGAAGCCCAAAGAAUUUGUUCCAAAAAAUUAUGAAAAUAUAAAGGAAAAAAAUUAAAUAUUUCAUAAAAUAUAGAACAAUAAGGUAUUUAUUCUUUAGAGCAAGUCUUAAACAAAACAUGCAAAUUGGGGAAUAAGGAUAAUCUUUGGGGGGGGGGGGGGAAGAAGAGAGGCAUGAGGUUUAAUAGUGGAUUUUUGCAAUUUCACCGGAGUAUCCAAACUCAAGAUCUCAAAUUGCUGAUCUACUAUAAUCUCGAUCAUAUCCAUCUCAAACACAAAAAAAAUAUUCAAAACACUUAGUAUGAUUUAAUAACAAAUUCUAACAGGCUCUCAAAUUUAUCCAAAAAUCAACUUUACUGUGGUAUGAUUUGUCAACAUGGCAUGCAUUUUGUUUUUUUGUUUUUGUCUUGUGUAUUCCAAUGGAGGCCAGAAAAGACAGGAGGGGAGAAGGUUAAUGGGUGGCUUGGUGAUUGGAGAAUCAUACUCUGCAACCAGAUUUUUAGCAUCUGAGAUAACAUGGGGUAAAGAUCAAGGGGCAUGAAGGAAGGAUCUUAGGAGCCUGAACAGUGUAUCAAGAAUUGCAAGGAUGGAAGAAUUCUUUUGUCUUUAUUCAUUUUUUCCUCAUCGAUUUUUAAUUCUAGCCUCCUGUUUGUUUUCUUGAAGCAAAAUUCCCUGUGUCUUUGGUUUCUAAUAGCUUGUUUACUAAUUUUAUUUUUGCCAUCUUUCAGAUGAGGGUAUUGUUGUACUUUUGCAACAUCCGUUAAUUGGGUUUAAACAAUGUCAUUUAUAGGGGGAUGGCUGUUAUUUGAUUAAAAGUUAAAACUCAAAGUUUUUUUUGUAGUUUGGCUGAACCUCAGGGGAGGUAUAUGUAAUUAACACUUGUUAUAUUGAUUUAAGCAUGACGAACAUUUAACAAGAUUUAAAAAUUUUCUAAAUUCAUAAAAGGUGCACUACAUGCGGUCAUGCAUCAAUGUUUGGACAUGUAAAUUUAGUAUGACCCAAAAAACGAAAAAGGCCAUUGGCCAAACUAACCUGCUGGGUAAACAAUUAUGAGGGCAAAAAAAUCAUUGCACACUCGAGCAGUUAGACUUGGAGCCUUAGGGGACAACCGCAAACAUAAGUUGACUCAGUUGUUAAGUAUAUGUUAUUUUUUCACAAAAGAUUACGUGUUUGAAUCGUGUUUGAAUCCCAUUAUUUAUGUGACAACUAUGCUACUAGCGAUUUAUAAGAACAUUUGUAAAUGAUAUAUCAUUUCGAGAGCAUAAUUUUACCCUUGGUAAUGACUAGAAACUUUUCUCUACCAAAAAAAAAAAAAAGUUGGAGGAUGAUUGUGACACAAUUGUUGAACAUUGUGUUGCUAAAAUUACAAGAAAGUUUCGCAAAACACAACGAAUCUUUUGCCCCACUUCCUAUAUUACUUCCUACCACUUUUUAUUAUAUUUCUAUUUCUCUCUCAUAAACAUUAGUUUUUUAUUUUCCUACCAUCAACAACUACUAAUGCAGUAAAAAAUAAAUACAAUAGUCUCAUAAAAGCAAUAUAUAAUAGAAAAUCACAAAAAACAAUAGAAAAUUCAUAAAAAUUUAUGUUAUUCUGUGUAUUUUGAUUUUUUGAGCUUGUUAAAUUUUGUGUAUUGCUCAAUUAAUAGUUGUUUGAUUUUAAGAAAAUAAAAAAGAAUCAAAAUAUAAUAUUGAUAAAGGAGAAAUAAAAAUAUAAUAAAAAGUGGAGCUAAGAGUGAAACAAGAAAUGAGACAAAAGAUCUGAUGCAAUCAAAAGGGAUGGGCGAAAGGGAUGAACGGGAAGAAAAAGUGCUCUUUAUUACACAUGUAGGAUGAAGAAACGAAGGUGAGAGGAAAGUAUUUUUUUUCCUAUUUUCUUUUUCUUUCUCAUAAUAUUUGAAGGAUUUAAUGGCUGGAACAGAUGUAGAGAUGCCAAUAGUUUGGGCUAACGUAUAACAUGGUUAAUAAGUUGGACUUAUCAUAAAUAAUUUGUAAGUAUUAAAAGUGUACGAAAAUUGUGUAGUAAAAUAAAAUUGUAGUUUAUUAUAAAUAAUUUGUAAAAUCUUACAAGAAAUAUAAAAAUAAGUGUACAAUUGUACAAAUUUUUUUUUUUUAAGAACAAUGCAGGUAUGGAUCAAAGUUUAUAGAAUUUUUCUAAUGGGUGCACAUUGUACACUUAUUAAAACAUCUAAAUCACAUUUAAGUUAUUAUAAUUAUGUAAAUAAACACACAUAUUUAUUGCUCCUUUUGAAUUGUGACGUCUUUUUUGAAUUAACUACACCCUUCUAAAAAGGCUUAAUCCCAAAAUGCCUUCUGUAAUAUUGAGGCAGUAGCAAAUUGCCCUGUGUGUUCAAGAAGCACACAAAUUACCCGUUGUUUCAGUAGGAAAUUACCCCCCAUAUACACUCCAAAUUUCUUAACAAUUAUCAAAACAUUAAGUUUUUUUAACCAAAUUUCUUAUAUCAAACCAACUCUUAAAUUCUUUGAUUACUAUUAUAACUUUAGAAUAGCAACUAAGGUAGACAAGAAAUACUAAUAUUUUAUUGUUAUUGGGUUGGUAAGAAAUUCACGUUUAUCCACUUAACAUCAAUCAAAAAUUGAGUUUAAAUAUAUAAUUAUUUUUAAAUAGAAAUAAAUGAGUAAUGCAAGCCACCAUCUACACCCAUUCAAAGUUCAUUAUAUAUCCAAAUCCACUUAUUAAUGGAUGAGUUUGGCCGUAUCAACAGAAUCAAGGCCAAUAUUCUAAAUAAAAUAAAAUGACAGGAGGUGUAAAUUAACAAUAAAUAAUGGUUCCUCCUAGCUACCGAGUUUACACUAGUGUAUAUUAUGGCUUACGCAACUAAUAAGACAGUAUAUUUGGAGAAAUUAGUUUUAUGAAAACAGAAUACAUUUACUGAUGCAAAUAUAGGUUAGAAGAAUAAAUUAAACAUGUGACGCAUCCUGCCAUAACAUGGCUCCAAGCCUCCAACUCUAAGUUCCUACUCCAUUCUUUUGCCUGUCCUGCGGUCUGACAUGUAUUUUUGCUAAGGAAACUACUCUAUGUAAACUUUUAAUUCUAUAUAAGAAUUAAACCUUAUUUUCCUCAUUUUUCUAACAAAAAAAAAAAAAAAAGAGCGUUCCGAUCAAAUUUUUACACUCUUCGUGAAUCACCUUUUUACCUCACUAAGUUCCUGUUUCUCUUAUAUAGCUGUACCAAUCAUUUGUUCAAUAAAAAUUGUUCUUCUCUUUUCAUUGUGUCUGUUUAUCCAUUAUCUUUUCAGAUAAAAUUGUCAACAUUUCUCAGGUCCAAGUACAAUGAAUAGGCAAAACUGAUUUUGUGUUGUGCCAGUACGCAGAACUACUUACUACCACCUAGUCUGGAAUGUUACGAGAAUCGUACUACUUUUCGAGAUUAAUUACAAUUGAACUAGAAAUUAAAGAAAGAAUGUCAAAGUUUUACUGCACCAGCUGUGAGGAUAGGCAAAAUUAAGAUUUUGUGUUCAGAAGGCAAAACUGAUUUUGUGUUGUGCUAGCGUUUAGUGUGGACUAACUAUCCAUCUAUUGCGUCAAUUAUUGAACUAGGAAGAGUACAGCUGAAAUUUGUGCAUCACUAAAUUUUAUUAUUUCAUGUAUUUAUAUAUUAAUAGUGCUUACAACGCUAAAGAUACAAGCAACCAAAAUUAUGAAGAGAUACAAGUACAAGAAACUAAUUCAGCAGUGACAUAUAUACUUCUGUUUUUUACACCAUAAUUGAUUAGCAUAUUAAUAGUACUUUAGUGACCACGUCAGGCUAUUGAUUUGAAAAUCUUGAAAGUUUGCAAGGACUUGACAAUACCUUGAAUAGAUCCGAUCGUUGCUGCUAUUGAGGUUAGCAGACAGCACAUACUGAGAGUUUGCAUCCACACCCACUUGAAUGAGAAAAUGGGUAUUUUUUUCCUUUCAAUACGCAUCUUGAUAGGAAAAUAUACUGUCAGCGGCCAGAAUGAGAGAGCUCCAGUUAGUCCCACGAUAUCAUUGAAAAAUGGAAACAUCAUAGCUAUGACCGUGGUUAUUAUGACAUACGGCGUUCUCCAUAUCAUCCGGAAGAGGGUGGCUCUAUAAACACCGUAACCAGGCAUGUUAAUGGCAUAUUCAUGGUUAACCAAUCCGGUAUUCGGCCAUCUAUGCCUUGUAAAACUUUCCACAAAACCAAAGACUGGUUGACCACAUAUCUGUAGAAGAUUAAUGCACGAGAAUGAAUUAUUUAGGAGCAAAAUUGGAUACACUUUCUUAAAAUUGUAGUAGGACUUCUAAUUUGUAUCUUAUAAGAAGAAAUUUUACACUACAUAAGUUUUUUUUUUUUUCUACAACCAUGUGCUCUAUUAAUAAACUUACAGCAAUUGUAAAAAGAAAAGGGAUAAUUUCAGAAACUUCCCCUGAGAUUUCUCAUAAUAUCACUUAGCUCCCCUGAAGUUUUUAAAAUCUCACUUGUCUCCCUUGGAUUGACAUUUCUUGUAACAUUUUAACCCCUUUGGAGGAAAUACAAGACAGAUAAAACUUUUGUUCCAAUACUACCCUUAUGUUAUCCUACUUAUGAAAUUUAUAACAACAAUAAAAAAUAAAAUAAGGUUAAAUUUUUAUAAGGUGUAAAUUUCUUGACGUAAACUAUUUAUUUUAGUUAUAUUGGAACAAAAGCAAAAUUUAUGCCUUGAAAAUUUCACAAGUAUGAAGAGAUUAUUUUAGUUUUUAAUGUGAUAAACCUAAUACUUAAAAUAUACUAUACCAAUGGAUUGGAAACAUAUUUUCCCAAAAAAUAUCUUGACUUCCUUAAUUGUAACUGUGCACAAAAUUUUUUAAGGUGUUAAUAACUCACCAAAAUCCUCUUAAGUGGUUGAAUCUUGAUCUAGAUUUAUUUUAUCCACGUCCUUUGCUGUCCCACCAUGACCCCCAAUAUAAAGAAAUAUUGACCAUUAUUAGCUACCAAUUUAUUUUUGUAAUUUACGUUUUUUGGUUUUAAAAUUUUAUUUUGUUUUGGCUUUUUGGUUAAAUAGUUAUUAAGAGCAAGGGUAAUGUUGUUAAUUUGUGGCCUUUGAUAAGAAUAUUUAGUCUGGUUAAGUUGACAAGGGAGGUAAGUGAGAUUUUAAAAUUUUCAAGAGAGUUGAGUGAUAUUAUGACAAAUCUCGGGGGAGGUUUAUAAAAUUAUCCCAAAAGAAAAGCUAUAGUUUGAAUCCCAUAGUCCAUCAAGUUAUGCAUAUAACAGAGACAUUUACCUAUGUCCAUAAUCAAAAGAGAUAAAGCCAGCUAUAACUGCUAUCCAUAGCCUUGGAGUUAAACAAAUAUAUGAAAUAAAGCCCCAUCUUUAGUUUGAACCUUUCAAUAAAAACAGUGACCAAAGAGACCUCUAGUUUCAAACCUAUAAUCCAUCAUGUAUGCAUAUAACAAGAACUUUUACCACUACUGAUAGUUAGAGAAAUAAGGCCUACUAAUACUGAUAUCCAUGGUUAAGAAAUUAAACAAACAAAUCGCAUUCAUUGUUUACCUGGUAAGCUCCUGUGAGAUGAAUCACAACAAAAAUAUUAGCGAGGUCGAUGAGCCAAAAUGGCUCAAAGAAACCAAAUCCAGCUAAUAUAUUGCCUGGUGCUUUAUCACCAAAUGCUCCAUAUCCCAGCAACCCACAUGACAUAUAAAAUAAGGUGGAUAUAGAAAUUCCAGCCAGGGAAGCUUGUUUCAUUACUCUAUUCUCAGGUUUGGAUGACCCUAGAGUGUCCUGCAAAUUAAUCAAAGUACAAAAUUUAAGAAAACAAAAAUCAAUUACUUUUCUGUGAUGCAUAUUGCAACAUACUACACGGAUAUGGUUAUUGAUGCAAAUGUUCAGUCAAAACAGUACCUGAAUUUCAAUAAGCACUUCUGAAAAACCAAAAGCAAAUGCUAAGUUCCCAAGGGCUGUAAAUGUGGUCCAUAAGUUGUUGGUAUUUGACUUAUCUCCAUCAAUGAACACUCCGGUCAAGCUAGUCUUAACAUGUGGUCGUCCUUCGAAAUGGAAGCCGAAAAUUAUAUAAGUAGAUGGUUUGAGAUGAUAGAAAUUGAUAUAAAAUAUGUUACAUUGCAAACUUUUAAGGAGUAUUUUUUAUUGCAUUCAAGAAUCAAAGUCAAAUUGUGAUCGUAUACAUCUACUAUCAGUAUGGAUUUAUAUGAUUGGUCAGUUUCAUUUAUUAAUGAGUUGAUUAACGUAGAACUAGAUUUCAAGUGAAGUAUGAUGGACAAAUAUUUUAACUUUUCAUUCCUUCAAAUCAUAAUAGAAGUUAUCCAAAUAGUGAAUAUGCACUUGAAUAAAGUUGAAACCCAUCUCAGAUUCCAUUACCUGAAAAUCAAACAUCCAACUAAACCUUUCAGUCAAUUUUGGAGAACAAGUUUUAAUUCUUUUCAUUUAGACGUGAUACAUCUUUGGGUAAGAUUACACAUUUUAUCCUAGCACAUUUUCUUCAUUCCAGUCUUAUUUACCUUCAAUGCGAUCAUGACCUCUAUAGUCACCAAAUAGACACAACGUAGAUAACAUACUAAUGUAAGAUACUAGAUAGCAUGUGACGCUCUUUGUAUGUUUAAGUUUAAACUUGAUAGAAGCUAAUUCAAUUUUAUGAACUUGCAAAUUACUCUCAAAAUCAAAAAACAAAAGAAAAUGUAAUAAUAUUUCUGAGGUUGCGCAAAUAUGAUUAUGAACGAUUUUUGAAAUGUAUGGUUUACAGUAAUAAGAACACGGCUUUACUUCAGAAAUUAGAAUUUCAUAAAGUAAUAGGAUGCUAUCUUCGUUGACCAUACAUUGCUAACAACUAGAAAAACAGUAACCAUAAUAAUGGGGAGCUUUUUGUUCUAGACUUGAGAAUUGAUUUUGAGACUCAAACACUGAUUACGGAUUGAAUAUAACAGAGUAUGCACUAAGGAAGAUGCUAAAGGAUAUAGCUUACUAGGCAAAAGUUUCAUAUGGAAAAUCAGUGGUUUUGAUAUAUUAGAAGCAAGGCUUGUCAGUGGCUUGAUGUUUGAAUUUGGUUCAAGCACAAAUGGAGAAUAUCUUGGUUUCAAAUUCCACUUGUUAAAAAAAGAAAAUGCACCAAAACCUUACAAAAAGCAUAAAGUCAGAUCUUGACCAUAGUCUAUUCAACCUUUGUCAAUUCAAGAGAACCUCAUACAUAUCACCUAAAAUUUAUAUACAUUAUUGGCCGUCUUGUCAAGUUUCUCCAUUUUAAAAUUUGUAUACCACCUAAAAAUUUUAAUCCUAACAAUCUUGUAUAGAUUCAAUUAUCUGUCUGCUCAAGCUUGCCAAGUAGAUAUUAUAUACAAUCACAGACAAAUUCAGAUACUGACCUGCAACUUUAGCUAUUGAGAGUCCGAGGCCAAUGGAAGCAUGGCAACAACACAUCACUGUUGUGAGUAGGGACAGCAUCGACAACUCUUGAAUAUUUGGAAUUUGACUUAAAAAUACUUGUAUAACCCCGAAAAUGAUGAUGAAGAGAUUAAUUGGCGUAUGACAACCAAAAGAAUGACCAUGCUUGUGAAAGCAAUAUGAUCUUUUGAUAGCCCUAAGGAAAAAAAAACAAAGUAUCUUAAUCUGCAUAUACAGCUAGGAUGAUGCUUGAAGGAGAAACGUAUAACUAGUAUAAUUUGUAGCAAAAAAAUUCUUGGUGUGCUUACACCAUACUGUUGGCCGAUGUGAUGAUGUAACCAAUAGUAAAUCCAACAAGAUUGCCAUACUGAGCAAUUCCACUGAGUUUGUUAUAUCUUCCGCCUGUGCAUGUACGAAAGUGGUAGUGACUAAUCUUGUGCGUUAAACUAUCAAACUUUUGUAAGCCAAACCUUAAGCUGUAGCUUUAGGAAUGAUAAGCAUUUCAGCAAAUUAAAGGGUGAGAAUGCUGAAUAGCCAACAUAUAACUAGAUAAUCUAAUCAUUAUAAGCCAUAUCCAUGAAAGAUCUUGAUGAAAACGUAAGAAACCCAAAGUCGAAUUGGUCCUUGAAGAAUUUCUAACCUGACUUCUUUUACUAUGAUCUAAAGGUAAUUAAAAAAGUAAAUGAUAAAAAUAGUUACUAAACUAUUUAGAAUUCUACAUUUUCGUCACUAAACUUUUUGUUAUGCCAAAACAGCUAUUUAACUUAUAAAAGGGCAUGAUUUUUUGUUACUCAACUAACAAACCUUCACAUUUAGUCACUCGACCCAUAAAAACAUUUUUUUGGUCACAAAAUGCAUUUUCUAAUUAGUUGAAUGACCAUUUUGACUAAAUAAAAAGCUAAAUAACUGAAAAUAGGAAUCCUGAAUAGUUUACAGAUAAUUUUUGAAAUUUUCUCCAAAAAAAAAGAAAAAAAAUUUAGAUGAGGCAGAGUUAUUUAACAAAGUGAUAUCCACUUAACAAUCUCCUUACUGUGAUUUUUUUUUCCCCUCAUGCAAACCUUCAUGCUCAAAUUGGCAGUACACAUUUCAUUUUUGUUUGACAAAAUAGUAGGAUAAUGGGCAAUGAUGAACAAUUGAUCUGAUCUAUCCUACAAAACAUGGCCAAGGAUCUCUUACCAUUAUCCUCGGUAGAUUAUUGAAUUUUCUAAUAUUGUCAAUUUAUGAAUAUUGAGUGGGGUUACUAAUGGCCAUAAAACAUGAAAUCAAGUAUACCAGGCACGUAUCACAUCAUUUAUAUGAUAUUGAGAUUCCUAAAGUUUAUUUGAUAUACAAGUGCAGCGGUCGAUGGCUGAAGUUUCCAAGAUCUUUCUUGCAGUGCUGAGUGUCUACUCUAAGUUAUAUACAGAUUAUAUUUCUUAAUUCCUUUAACCACGUGAUUUCAGAAACAGCAAAUUUGAGGAACACUAUGCUCGAGUUGCUUGAGUUGGCAAGUGAGUUUUUUGGGUAUUUGUCUAAAAUUUUAGUGUAGCUUAUUGUGGAAGUUUUUAAAAAAAAUUUUUGAAGUGUAUUUUUUUUUUAAUAUUUUGCAGUGUAUAAUUUAAAAUUUUUGAAAAGUUUUUUGAGGUUACUGUAACUAAAGUUUUUAAAAAAUUUGUAGCAGACAAACUUGACAAAAAACUUGUCUGCGAAACAAGGCCAUCGGAUUAAAAUUUUUUUUGAAGUGUUUCCAACAAAUCUUUAAAUAUUUGAAACGCUGUAUGCUAAAUCACAGAGAUAACAUGUAUUGAUUAUUUUGGCUCUCGGGAAAAAAAAUUCUUUCUGUUGCUUUAUAACCACAACCCCCAAUUUGGUUCUCCGAUUAACGUGAUGAAGCCACUCCUGUGCUUUCAAAGACUGUGCUUAGCCCCUAUGUUUUUUCACUUGCUUGCAUCUAAAGUUAAGAGUUGUUUACAUCUGAUUUCAAUAGACAUAUGAAAUGUUCAUUUUUGUUCCAUCACCAGCGGUUUCUAGCUUAUACCUAACCUGAACUUUGCACUGACUACAGUCAUACUGUCCUAACUGUCAACUGAUAGGAGGCUUAUCCAGUCUUGCUUUCCUACUAAGAGGAUCAGACUAGUUUCUCCAUUUUCUUCCUUUCUUUUUCCAUAUUUUAAAGAAAAUUUGGUGGCAUAAAUUGAUGUAGGAGCUCUAGGGGAAUCUUGGGAGUAAUAUCUGUUAUUAGAAUUUUCUUUCAACUUUUCUUGGUCGGCUUUUUUGACAGGUCAGUGUAAGUUUAGAAAUUCAAUAGGUGCUAGGUGAAAUUGUUUGAAACGUCCUUGAAGUUUCUGAAAUUAUCCCUUAGUUUCAUGUCCAACUGUAAUAGGUUGCUCGAUAAACAUGUUAGAGAAGUUCACAAAAAUGUACACUAGCACUUUUUGAAAAUAUCUAUCUAGUUCUAUAAACAUUACUCUAUCUUUAUAUGCAUCAGGACAUUCAUUCGGAAUCCAAAGACUUUUGUCUUAUUUUAUUAUUUAUAAGUCAUGCUUACGGUUUUAAAACAAUUAAAACAAUUAAACACUGGAAUAUUUUCAGGUGCCUCAAUCAAAUGUUUUGAAUUUUCAUAGUAGGAAACUAAAAUGAAAUAAAUAACAACAUCAAAAUUGUGAGUAUCAAAUCCAUGGUAUGCGGUGCAAAAAUCAAACCAAGGAGAAUAUAGUUAGCGGUGGGAGUUGGGAGCUAAUUUAGGGUCAUUUAAAAGUAAUAUUCGUUUAUGAUAAUAUAAUAUGGUAAUAAUUAUGAGUGUGUUUGGACAGGAGAUUAUUUACCAAAAUUUAUUUGCUUACAUCAUCAUUACGAUUUCCAACACACCUUUUUAUCUUCCCAAUUAUCUUUUUAUCUCACAUACAUUACAUCACAAAAAUUGCUACAGUAAAAAUAUCUCAAAUAAUUUACAUGUUUGGGUCUUACAUUUUGUAUUAAAAGAGGUAGUUUUAUGAUAAUUAAUUUCAACUGAUUAUGUAUUUAGCUCACGGUACUCUAAGGAUAGCACUAACUUUCAUAACAAAAAAUGAAAAAAAAUAAGAAAGAUUUUGGCAAAAAAAAGACACGCAUCCCCAGAAGUGAUUUUGUGCAUAAGUGAUUAUGAAGUAGUAGCAGCAAAUUGCUGAGAAAUAUUUACACUUGUCGAGUUGAUGAACGUGGAUACUAAGCCUUGGAAGAUUGAGUUUGAGGGAAUUUUCAUAUGAUGAAUUCUUGGCAUUCCCUUGACAUAUUGACGCCUCAAUUUACCUUUAUAUACUGCCUUUAGCUUAACCCCAUUACAACCUUAUAAAAGCUUCUUGGAUUCUUGUAUUAAAUUUACUAUUGGUGGUGGAGAUAUGAUAUAUAAGCAAGCUCAUAGUAAUGUCACUCCAUGGUGUCGAUUUGAGAGUUGUACUUUGCCCUAUAUAGUUUAGAGAGAUGAGUGCACAUGUUAAACCUCCUUGUGAGAAUGGUUGGAUUUGGUGCGUUCAGAUUUUACUGAAAUUGUGAGGAGGAUUGGAUGCUUUUUGCCACAAAAUUCUUGCUAUCUUGAUUGUAUUUCUGAGUUUGGAUAUGCUUGAGGACAAGUAUAAUUUUGGAGGUGGGGAUUGAUAGGUUACAUUUUUGUUAGUAAUUUUAUGAUUGUUUUCUCUUUUAUUUUACCAAAUAUUGCGUUAAUUGAUAGAUUCUACUCAUCUUUUAUAAUUAGUGUUGAUUGUAAGAAUUUGGAGCAAAAAGGGGAUUAAAGAUGUAAUUCUCGCUGAACUUUUAUACUAUUCAGCGUGAGCGCGUCAAAGUCUAAACCAUGCAUGUCUGAUAGAAUAGAUGUUCCAUUGGAUGGAGAGUUUUCUAUUCCUACCAGGAUAUUAGUUUAUUUAUCUAUUAGGAUUUUUUUCUUUUGGAUAAGAGAUAUUGACUUGUUGGGAAUUUGAUUUCGUCUAGUAAGAGUAGCUUAAUAGCACUCAAACGUGAUUAAAAAGUAAAAAUGUAUUGAAAAACAUAUUUAGAGAUUUUUUUAGUUUUUUUUUUAAAUGUAGAACUCAAACAAAAUACAAAGCAAUGAUGAAUGUGGCAUAAAACUAAUGAAUAGUACUUUAUUGACUCGUGAAAAUCUUGUAAAAGUUGCAAGCUAAAUGAAAAUUAUUAAAAUCAAUCCGUUUACAAUAUAAAAGAAAAAAAGAUAAGCGAUGGAAAACUUGUGCAGAUGUUUUAAGAAUUUUUAAAUUCUUUUUUCUCCGUAAUACAAUUUUUCAAUUUUUUGGUAUUAUACCAUCUUUUAUUUUUAAAAUUUUUCAAAAUCAUGUGACUUUGUGUUUUUUUCUAAUAAGAUGUUUCAUAUUCCAAUUAAAAGCAUAGUAUUAUUCUAAAACUAUUGUGUAAGGGCAUUAAUAUCAUUUUGUUAAAAUUUUGGAUGGAGAAUUCAUCAUUAACAUUUGACUAAUCAAUGAAGGGGGCAAAAUGCAUAUAUUUAAAGUUAAGGUGGGUAAAGUGUUAUAAUGGUUCAACUUCAGGGAGGCAAACUGUAAUUAACCCUUUUUAAUAUUGCUUUUACACAUAAAAGGUAGCAAUGUUAUACAAAUUAUUAUUUGAGGGGAGCUAUGUGAGAUUUCUAAAAUUUUAGGAGUGUUAGGUGAUAUUAGGAUAAAAUUUUGAAGGCGAUAGGAAAAGUCGUUCAUCGAGGGUUUCCAAGACUAGAAAAUGCACACACAUUUUACUAAUACUAAAAUACUAGUUGAAAAUGCUGGUCCGGUUAAGUUGGUUGAAUGCGCUGGUCCAGUCAUCUUUUGACAAGUUGAAAACUAUACACCGCGUAACAGAAAGUCUCGACCAACGCCGUCAACACAUGCAUGCGAAGAAAGACCAUUCCCCAGUCUCCACGGCUUUAUGCUUUAUUUUAACCGCAAGUCCGCAAGGCCAAUUUUCUAUCCUACUCCAAUUCCACAUGAUCCUAUUCUAUUCAAACUCAUCCCGUUUGAUUAGUGUCCAAGCUUUCCCAGCUUUUUAUAAGAAUAUAACUAAACUAGAAGAUCUAGAAUACAAUAAUUAGAUAAAAAGGAACAUUAGCAUGAUUAUUAUUUUUCCUUUCCCCAAAGAAACAAAAGGAACGUCUUUCUUUUCUUUUCCUUCAACACUUUAUCUCAUAUUCUUUGGAGAAUGGUCUCGACAAUUAGUUCAACUAUUUUGCGUGGAGAUAAACUAAUUUUCUCAUUUUAGUCAAGAAGUAACGGAGGAUUUAGUUCAUCUAAAAUUGUGAGAUUAAAUUAAUUAUAUUUAUUUCUUUUAUUUACUAGUAUUCGUAUAUUCUCUAAUUUCAUUUCUCAUGAUUGUUUUGUUGUUUGAAUAUCAAGUGGCCCUGAUAUUUAAUUCAACUUAACAAUCUAAUGCCAAUUAGGAUAGUUAAAUUUGUAAUUAUUUAAUUUAUCUUAAAUUAGUGGUACCUAACGUGAUUGGGUUCAUAUUGGAGAAACAUAUAAUCUAAUUUAAAUAAACUCUGGUAGUGUGUUUAUUGAUUAGAACAAGGCUUUUUAGUUUUUAAUAUAAUCAAGAAAUUAAAUUCUACGAACACCCCUAGGGUUGUUUCUUGGUUAGGGGAGUAGUUAAUGGGCGUACCUUAACUAUCGAGACGUUAAGGAAAAAUUGGUUGUCAUCGCAUGUUUGGCAACUAUAACUUAUUUAUUAGCGAAUAAAUGAAAUAAUUAUUGGAUCGAUGAGCAAUUGUAUAAACCACAUCUGAAGUUAUAUCCUUGGCUAGAACUUGUUUACUAUUGAUUUAAAUUUAAUUUAUUUCAGUUUAAUUAUUUUUAUUUACGAUAAUUAUUUAUUUUCAGUUUCAAUUUUCCAAACCCCCCAAUUAAUUUUCAUUUGAAAAGAAACAAAUUUCUCCUAAUCCUUGAGAAGAAGACCUUACUCACUGCUAUAAGCAAAUAUUUUUGUUGAGUAAGUUUUAUUAUUGUACAGUCUCGACACCUAUCACAUAACAUUCCUAUCGUGCAGUAAGGAUGGAGCUAAGAUGGCAUUUGGUAAAAGGGUUUCAGAAUGAAGAAUUGGAAUAAAGUCUAUAAUUAUUGUUUGGAUUACUAUUAAUGGAAUUGAGACUUUGGAAUCAUACCUAAAAAUUUGGAAUUCCCCAAUUCCCUAGUAAUCUGGAAGGUUUUGAACAAAAUCUAAGUCUGAUUCCCAUUUAGAAACGAGGUUUGUCCCUCCACCCGUUAAAAAAAUUAAUAUAUAAUUAUAUACAUAUAUAUAAUAUAUAUUAUAAUUAUAAUAUUUUAUUAUAAUUCUAUAUUUUAUUAUAAUAUUAGUAUAAUUAAUAUUUGUAUAUCAUAUAAUCAUAAUUAUAUAUUUAUAAUAUAAUAUUUGUAUAAUUAUAUUUAAUUAUAUAAUUAAUAUUUAAUUUAACUAGUUACAAACUUAUAAUAAUGAUAUUAUUAGUUAUAUGUAUUAUAUAGUGUAUAUUAGUGUAUGUAAUAUAAUUGAUAUUAUCAAUUAUACUAAUAAUUAUACAUGUUUACUAGUAGAACUUAUUAAUUAGUUAUACUAAAUUUACUAAUACAUUUAAUUAGUGAAAAUUUCUUAUAUCCCAUUUCGAAAGAGUCAACGAACCAAACAUCAACUAUAGUAAUGAUAUAUAUACCUAGUACUAAAUCAAACAGAUGUAUUGGAAUGACUGACUCCAUUCUAAACCUAGGAUGAAUGGUUCAAAAUCCGAAUCCGAUUCCAUGGUGUGAACCAAACACUACCUAAUAAUUCUUUCAACCAUUCAUGAUGUUUGUCAAGUGUCAUAACAUAUCAUAACUUGAAAAUUAUUUUUCCCUAAUGACAAGAGGCUAUAUGAGGUUUUUUUUUUUUUUCAUAAAGACCAGUUAGUUACUAGAAAGGUUAUAUGAGAAGAACCUACCAAGAUUUACUUUGACAACAUCCAUGUAAGUAUAGUUUCUUCUGCCCGAUACUGGAUCUGGGAAUUGAUAAAAAUCUGCCAGAAUAGUUGAUGCAAACAAUGUGAUUAGAGAAAAGCUAAUCAGAGCCAUAGGUCCUGCAAUCCAACCUAAUUGAGAGAUCGCCCACGGCAAUGACAACACCCCUGAACCAACUACGGUAGUGAUAAUAUGAGCACUCGCGGUAUAAAAUGUUCCUUCAGCAUAAAAAAACAAGGGUUAAUUAACUUCGGAGGUGAAAUUAAGUUGCUAUCCUUCGGGAUAUAAAAUUCAAUUCAAACAUCCACCAAACCUGUUCGUUUUGGCCGCCCAUCAUCAUCUGUUCCAUUGAUGUUGUCAGCGGGUGCUCUUCUCAAGUCAUCCAUGGCUACAAAACUAAAGUGGUGAUCACUGAAAGAAAACCAAACCAACCAGCGAUUCCUAGAGAGUAAAUAAUAUAGGAAAGUGGAUCUUCGUGUGUGAUCGAUUGAAAGAAAGCGAACCAGUACUAAUUGGUGGAGAGUAAGUAAGAAAGUGGAUUUUCAUCCGCUUGAUUGCUGACGACUAGGAGAGGGAUGUAGACUUCCUGCCCUUGUCCUGGUGUUCUCCGGCAUAGAGUAAUGUGUGCAGAGUGGAAUUCAUGUGCAGUUCGUAAUAUGUGCAUGCACGCCACUUUGUUCCUUAUAACUAUUUGAAAAUACGGCACAGGCUAUAUUUACUUUGGAGUCCUCCAUCAAAACACGGGCUCAACCAUUGGACGUUAUUGAGGAUUGGCGACCAAAAGUUGAGGGCUAAAAUGGCCUGUAAUCUCAUAUCAUGAUUCAGCAGCUUGCGUAGUUUCCUUCACAUGCAGUAUAACAGUAUACAGCAUCCUUACUUUGCUAGACUUGUGUACGUUUGUUAAGAACUUUAUUUUUUAUUCUUCUAGCUGAGCCUAGUUUUCAGAUGUACAUCUAAAGGGAGAAGAAUAUAUCUGUAUGUGGAGAUGCUGGAUUGCAGAAAGGAAUCAAUAGUCGAAAGUCUAAUUGUUGUUAGACUUGAAGAAAGUAAUGGGCGUUCUACAUUCCAGUGAUUUUUCACCCUAUUUAGACAUAUUAUUUGGAGUUAAUUUAGAGUCUCACGUGUACUUCAGUCAAGGGAAGAACAUCACAGUUCAUAAUCUGUUUUGACUCUUAAGACGUGGAAUUUUCUCCAUAGUAAAGGCUUGUUAUCACUUUCAUGCCUAAGAUUUCUUUUUGCCAUGACGGGUGAUAGGUUGUAAUUUUACCAUUUAUUUUAUUAUUAAUUUCCCCUAUUAUCUGACCUGAUGUGGAUUAGUUGCUAGAUUCUACUCAUUUUUUAUAUUUCACAUUUAUUUCAGGGAGUAGAACGAAAAUAUGAUAACAGGUGCCAAUUUGAUAGAAAAAGAGUCCAAGUAAUAGAGCUUAACCCAGGGACAUUUUUGGAACAGGAAAACUUAUUCUCAUUUUGGGUAAUUGCUACAAAAAGAAGGACGGUGCAGGUUUUCGUGAAAAAGCUGGAGCGCCGCACAGGAGAGGCUUCUUCCUCUCGGGUGGGAGCCGCCGCCAGAGGAUGGCAAUUUUAGAUAGGAAUAGGCAUUAGGAGCUGGCUUUUCUUUGAGUUUUUCCAUUUUCUAGUUUAGUUAGAGUAGCUUUGACUUUUCCUUUCUUAGCUUUUGAGUUUUGAGUAGCAGUUCUCUCGUGGGUGAUGACAAGGAAAAACAAUGGAGUUCCUUUAGCUUUCUUUGACUUCUCCCUUCGUCUCUUGUGGUUGCCCCCUGCGCAGGCAGGAGCUUUCCACCAAUUAAACGAAUUGAGUUUUUCCUAGUUUUGAAGUACAAUGGCCGCAGUUAUUUCUUUAAUUUUGUGUGGAUUUUGUUCAUCAAUUAUGAACUAAUUUCCUCACUCUAGUCAAGGAACAACGGAUGCUUUGGGUCGCCUAAAAAUUGUGAGAUCGAUUUAAUUUUAUCUUUUCUUUUAUUUAUUGAUAUUCGCAUAUUCCUUGAUUGCUAUGCUUAUGGUUAAUUAAUUAAUUAAUUGUCUUGGAUCCGGAUAAUUAGUUAAUUUGGUAAUCUAUUGUCAAUUAGGGCAUUUAAAUCCGUAAUUGUUUAAUUGCUCUAAAAUAGUGACAACUGGCAUGAUUAGAUUUGUGUCAGGGGAAUACGCGGGCUAAUCUAAAAUAACCCUGGUAGUGCGUUAUUUGGUUAGAAUAGGGCUCCUCUAAUACGUAAGGCAAUUGGGGAAUUAAAUUCUACGGGCGUACCUAGGAUUAUUUCUCAAUUAGAGCAGUGAUUAACGGGCGUACCUUGAUCACCGACACAGUAAGAAGGAGUUGACUGCCAUCGCUUGUUUGGUAGUUAUAACCUAUUUAUUGAUAAAUAAUUGGAAUUGCGUUUGCUUCAAUGAUCAAUUAGGUGCACCAUUGCUGAAGUUAUUUCUUGGCUAGAACCUUAAUUAUCACCCAUUUGGUUUUGGCAAGUGCUUUUGUCACUUGAGAAAUUUACUGGAGACUCCGUUGCAUGCUUGUCGUUGGUUUUAAUAGACCCUGAAAAUUUUCUCUGCUAGACUCCGGGCUGUGAAGGCAAUCAUUAAAAUAAUUUGUCAAGACUUUGCUCUAUUAAAUUUUCUUUUUCUUUUGGGCUCAAAGUCAUGCGCGACUAAUUUUGUCAUGAUUCUCGUGCAUAUCAGAGAAACAUAAACGACAAUCCAGGAGAAAUAUUUUGCAAAACAUAAAUGAUAAUGAAUACUAGUAGGAACCUGGACUUGAAUUUUUGCCUUCCAAAUUGUGCAUAUUUGCUUCAAAUGGUUUUGAACUAACUUGUAUUUGCUAUAAAUGGUUUCGAACCAGCUUUGUAAGUUGGCCACUAAGAAAGGAUUUAUAAUCCCCUUGAGUUAUAGGUUGGGUGUUCAAGUUUCUAUGUCUCUUAGGUAUAAAUCUUAAUAGGAACAAGUAAAUUAGAAAAAAAAAACCAUUAUUAUAUGGGUUAUUUUUAAGAUUUAAAAUUUUUUUGAGGUAUUUUAAAAUUUUUUAAAUCAGCAACUUAAUAUUAUAAGAAUUAAUAAUUUUAAUUAACUUCUUUAAGAUUUGCACUGUGUUUUAAGGCUGUAAAUAUUAGCCAGUGUGCAAUAUAAUAGAAAAUUACUUGUGUUUGUUAUUGUGUCGCUACAAGGGUGAGGCCUACCUAUUAGUUUUGGAUAGAUUUUAAUCCAUUAUUGUAAACAUUAAUUCUUAAAUCCUCCUUUUUAGACGAGUUCCAUGCACGUUAAAUUUUAUUAACCUAGGUUUUUUUUCCUAUUGCUAUAUUUUUAAUUGCAUCUAAUGUACUUAAUAAUUUCAGACAAAAUCAAAUCCAUUAAUUAGGAGUGCGGUGCUUCGAUCAUGAUGGUCAAGCUAAGGAUCCUUUGCAAGUGUAGCCUUUUGGAAUUAAUUUAUUUGGAGAAUUAAAGAAAUUAAGCGAGUGGAGCUGGUGGGAUGUGUGGCAACGGCCUCAGCAAAUUAAUACAGUCCGGAUUUGGAGGCAUAUGGGAUUUGAUGUGAUUUGUCAAGAGACCAUGCAAGACAAGCUUAUGUUGGUUUUGGUGAAAGGCUUGAAGGUAAAAUGUUCCUUCACUCACGGUAUAAAAUGUUCCUUCACUAUAAAAAAAAAAAAAAACCAAGGGUUAAUUAACUUCGGAGGUUGAAAUUAAGUCGCUGCCCUUCGGGAUAUAAAAUUCAAUUCAAAUACCCACCAAACCUGUUCGUUUUGGGCGCCAUCAUCUCCGUUCCAUUGGUACUGUCAUGUCAGUGGCUACAAAACUUAAGUGGUGAUCGCUGAAAGAAAACCAAACCAUCCAGCGAUUCCUAGAGCGUAAAUAUUAAUAAGAGAGGAAUGUGGAUUUUCAUGUGUGAUCGUUUGGAAGAAAGCGAACCAGUGCUAAGUACGAAAGGGUUGUAGAUUUCCUGCCUUUGUCCCGGUGCUGUACAUGUACAUUGGAAAUCAAGGACAGAGAAAAAAAAAUUAACUAUCAUACAAUUGAAAGAAGUUUCAGUCACAGUUUUGAACGCCUCACAUUGACAGUAAAUAGAACAAUAUAGAGUCUAAAUUUUGCACUUUUUCUUUAUACUUGGACUUAAUUUUUUUUUUUAAAUUUCUUAUUUCUAAUUAUUAUCUAUGACAAGCACAUCUUCUGGUCUGAAUAUGAGUGGCAGUUGAACUUGACUUACUUUCGCAUUUUGAUUUGGGUCUGAAUAAUAUUUUAGAUAAAUUGGUAUUCAGAUGUCUCUUAUAUUGAAUGAUAAAUUGUUAUUAUACUUUUGUUCACUUAAUUAAACACCUGAGAUUUAUGUUGUAAUGUCAAAUGGUAUUGUUCAAUACAAAAUGAUCCGUGCAUUAUCACGGGAAACAAACUAGUUUUGAAACAAAAGAACAAAAGCCACGAGAAAAGGAAAAAAAAAAGAAUAGCAUUUAGUAAUAAAUCAAAAAGGAAAACCUUUUACAUGGAAUAUUUUUAAGAAUUUUACAUUUACCCCAACUUAUGUAGAAGUGCAGGAAAUAAUGCAUAAGGUUCCCUAGUCCUAAUGAAAUUGUGGUUACUAAUUUAUCCUCCAUUUUUAACUACGGAAGAGGGAAAAUUGAACUUCCAAUUGUUGUAAUAAAUAAUAUUUAGAUGCUACUCGUCUCUAUAUAUCUUUUUGCUGAACCAAAACAUUAUGAACCAAGAAUCAAGAUAACUGUACAAAUCAAAUCUUCAUGCACAUAGAAACAUAUAUAUAUAUAUAUAUAUAUAUAUAGAACUAAUUUUUGUCGAAUAACAAUCCAGAGUCAUGAUUUUAUUACAAAGAAAAGAAGUAGGAAAAAGUAAAAUGGCCACAACUACAUUUUUUGCAAAUCUAAUCAACAACAAAGGACUAUGAGUCAAAUGUUGACAAUAGCAAGAGCUAGUCUCUCACAUACUCCUCUUAGAGGAAUUCUUCUUCCCAUCGACCAUCAAUCCAGUGCCCAACACAAACUCGAGGGAUAUGAGAAAUUGUCUGAUAAUCUUCACUUUGUUUAUCCAAAUUCUGUACUUUGUGAAUUAGCUCAUCAGACAUAUCAUGCAACGCAAGAUAUUCAAGCCCAGUCAAGUUUUGGAGGCCCAAAGGCAGCCCCUCCAUGAGUUUGCAACCACCAAAAAUAAAUUCUUGUAGACUGGGCAAUGAUUCCUCUUCCACCCUCACCCAUUUCAAUCUUCUUAAUUGCUGAAGCUGUAAUCUCCGGAGUUUUCGGAAUCCUCCAAUCUUGAAACACAAUGUCUCCCCUUCAUAAGCACGAUGGAGCACAAGACAUGCCAGAUUGGGCAAUUGUCCAAGGGAGCCUAUUAUAUUCUCAUCUUCUCUCAACCCACUAUUUUGCAAACUCAAGUAGCUCAAGGAUUGAAGUGAUAUUACCCAUUGUGGUAGUCUCUCUAAACGGCCUCUCAAAUGCAAAACUGUAAGGAAUUCAAAUCUUGGAGAGACUGAAUGUUGGAGAUCAAGGGUCUCCUCUUCUUGAGUAGAGUGGAUGUACAGCUCUUCAAGGUUGGACAGCCUCAAGAGGGAGGAGAGGAACUCCUUUCCAUCUUCUCUUCUUAGCUUUGUGAUGGUUAAUGUCCGCAACUGAAUGAGCUUCCCAAUCUCCCUUACUAUUUCAUCACUGUCUGCUUCAAUACUUCCAAGAUUCUCCAAGGAAAUAAGCUUUCCAAUUCUAUUUGGAGAUUUAAAGCCCCAGAUUGUAAAGUUAUUUGAAUAAUUGCCUAAUCUGCUUACCAAAAGGACACGGAGUUUUCUUAGCUUUAGAAUUUCCACAGGUAGCUCUAUUAUAUUGGUUUCACUCAGAAGUAAAACUUGUAGGUUUUGAAGCUGCCCAAUAGAUUUUGGGAUGAUUUUUACUCUGGUGCCAUGGAGAUUUAGAUACUUGAGAUGAAAUAGUUUGAAAACUUCCUUUGGGAUGUUGUCCAAUUCAGCUCCCUCUAAAUCUAACACCGUUAGGAACUUGGGACCACCACAUAAAAACUUGGAUAAAAAUGAAGUUGUGAGAGGAUCUUCAUACCUGAAGAUUUCCACAGACCGAAGACACUUUAAACUGCUAAAGUCUUGUGGAUUAUCAGUGAAGUUAUGGAUUGCUAGGUGUCGAACUUUGACGGGCCAUCUUGUGCAAUAUCCAGUGGCUAUGGUUGUGAAGUUCUGCUCUUUAGAUUUUGAAAUAAUGAUUUCAUGCAGGAAAUCAUGAAGGCCACAUGCCUUCAAUUGGCCAUAACCCCAUGUGUCUUUAAUUUGGAUUAAGCUUCUGUUGAUGAGUUCUUUUAGAUAUCUCAUAGCAAUAUCAGUGGUUGCCAUUCCUUCUUUCUCUUCUACAAAUCCUAGAGCUAUCCAUUUUUCAAGUAUAUUAUUGACCUGAAUUUCAAAAUCUUCAGGAUAGAUGCUUAGAUAUAACAAGCAGCUUUUAAGAUGGUGAGGCAAAUCAUUGUAGCUAAGUAAGAGUAUCCUUUUAAUUCUAUCAAGCUUACCGCUACCAUCUACCUCGCUACCAAAGCCAUGAAGAAUCAUCGCCCAUUCAUCUAUCCUCUCCUUGUCUUUCAAAGCCAAAACACCACCUAUUGCCACAAUUGCAAGUGGUAGGCCCUCACACUUUUUUAGUAUUUUUCCAGAAACUUCUUCUAGACUUGGAGGACAGCCAUUACUCUGAAAUGUUCUAUUGCAAAAAAGAGUCCAAGCCUCUUCAUCAGAAAGAGGCUUCAUCUUAUGGACAAAGUCAUGGGAUGCUAAACAAGACCCAGAAGCUACGUCGGCUAUUCGUGUUGUUAAUACAACACGACUAGCGACAUGGUAGUCAGGCAAUAUGUAUUUGAUAGUUUCCCAAGCAUCUAGACUCCACACAUCAUCAAGGACAAGGAUGUACCUUCUUUCUUUGAGGAAGUCUUUGACAAAUUCACUCAGUCUAAUACCAUCCAUGGAUUCCACUUGAGAAGGGACUGGCUGUCGGAUUUCAUCAUAUAGUUGUUGAAUUAGGUUCUUGAUGAUGACAUUGAAUUGAAAUUUCUGAGAAACAGUUAUCCAAGCGUGGCUCUGAAAUUGUUUCUUCACCGCAGAAUCAUCAUAGACUUUUUUCACUAGAGUGGUCUUGCCGAGUCCCCCCAUUCCCACCACUGAAACUAUUUUCAAGUGGGAAUGGUCAUCAAGGAUUUUGGCAGUGAGCUCCUCUUUUGGCUUGUUUAUGCCAACAAGUUGAGCUUCUUCAAUUAGGAGUGCUUGAUCACGAAUAUGAAAAUCUGCAUUUGCCAUGUGGGAAGAGCUGGAGCCUCUUUCUUGAGUACCAUCGAGGGACUGGUACCUUUGAUGCCUUGCAGAAAUCUGUUCAACUCUGGCCUUGAUAUCUUUUAUUUGCAAAGAAAUAUGAUGGCGGACUUUCAGAUUCUUUAUGGAGCUAUAGAUCUUUCCUACAUAGCCACAGAAUCCAUCUGUUUGACCACGAGCAAAUCGGAAGGCAAAAUCAUCGAGAACAUCCUCUGUAUCAUAAGCAACUUCUCGAACCUGCUUUACCCAUUCUUGGAGUUGAGAAUCAUUGUCUUCCUUUGCUUCAGCUUUCCUGAGGAAAGCCUUCAUGCUCCCCAAUUCGUCUUUGAUGAACUGAACAUCUGGUUGAAGCUCCCCCAAAAGUGUUGCCUCUUGGGAAAGUAAGGUUGUGAGCUGGUUAAUCAGAAAGCCCACAACACUUUCUGCCAUAUUGCUCAAGAAUUACUCAAGAGUUGGUUUUCUUAUCAAGAAAAUUUUGAGAACUAUUGUAAAUUUUGGAAAAUAUGGUUGGAUGGGAGAGUUGUUUUUCUCUUUUCACACCGGUUGGUUUUGUACGAUAUAGUGAAUUCUAGAGUGAUAUGAAUUCAAACGAACAGCUAUUCAAGAAUGAUAUGAAUGUUUGUUUCUUUUCUCGUAUACAGGGUGAGUUUUAUUUGGCACUUUGCUUUGGUAGUAUGUCCAAAAUGACCAAAAUUUAUUACAAUGAAAAAGUGAAAGAUUAGUAGUCUAGCUGAAAGGAAAAGCAUAAAAAGCAUAACUUAAGAGAUGGGCAAAGAAUAAUUAUUCUCUUGAGAUAAGAAAGGCAUAGAGAAAAUUUAGUAUUUCUUUUUUAAAAUUUAGAUAUUUUUAAGUUGGAAAGGAAGGUAUCAGCCUUAUGGAAUUGUUCUUGAGAUGAUAUUCAAUUCCAUUCUAAUCUUUUCUUAAUUUUCACUAAAAAUGAAGCAACUAGCUAUGAUUACAAGUAAAAUCACUAGACAGAAAAAGAUCAUAUUCGUAACAUAAGGGUAUUAAUCAAGUGACUGUGAGGUAUUUAAUUUGACAAUCAUGCCUUCUCCAUUGUCACCUUGUUCGACUCUCACACCUUUCGUUUUCUUCUUUCUUUUUGUAAGAUUUGAAGAAAAGAAAAAAGAAUAUUGUUUUAAUGAUAUAGAUGAUGCAUUUUUCAUGAUCUAGCUAAUUCGAGAAGGAUAUCAAUUUUAAAGAAAAUUUUUCUUGAAAUUGGUACUUUACUAAUACUUGCAAAGUAAAGAAAGGUUAGUCUACUUGGAAGAAAAGUAUAGUGAGAAUAACCUAAAAAAUGGGCCAAGAAUAUAAGAAUACAUAUUCUCUCAUGCUAAGCAAUAAUAAAAGUUUUAUUUGUUGAGUUAGGAAGGAAGGUACUUGUCAUAUACAAUAUAAGAAUAUUCUUGAGAAUUUUCAAUUUCCCAUUUAUGUUUUUUUGGAUGCUAUAGAAUAUGCAUUUUAUAUUAUUUAACCAAUUCAAAAAUAAUAUGAAUUUCAAAAGAGAUUGUUUUUGAAAUUUACACUUUGGCAGUAUGAACAAAGUUAUAUAAAUUUAUCAUAGUAAACAACUGAAAAGUUAGUCUACGGGGAAAGAAAAGCAUUUUGAGCAUGACCCAAGAAAUGGGCCAAGAAUAUAAGACUACAUACUCCCUUUUGCUAAGAAGGACAAAGACAAUGUUUGACUUGUUAAGUUGGAAAGGAAUGUAUUUUUCAGAAGCAAUUCAACAACAUUUUUGAGUAAUGCUCAAUUCCCCUGUUAUGUUGUUUUGAUUGGUUCUGAAAUAGUUAAGAUUCUCAAUAAAAUCAUAGAAUAAAAAAAAUAGACAUUACAAACCUUCAAAUUGUAAGGAUUUUGGUAUGAUAAUAACCCCAUCAUACUACAUUACUUUAAAUGCAAUGGGGAAUUGAAAACUAAACAAUUAAAAGAUAUAUUUUACUAAGGGUCUGUUUGAUAACAUAAAAAAGUGCUGAAUCUGAAUUUUUUCAGACAUUCAGAUGUUUUGAGUGUUUGAUAAAUGAAAAUCUAUUUGCUGAACCUGUGUGUAUUUUUUUUAGCACAAGAAUCCUAACUGAAUGCUUAAUUCUGAUAAGAAUCAAUAGAAUUACUUCAACUACUUUAUCUUAUCUACCAAAUCUAGCAUUGUUUGUUAAUUACGUUCAAAAUUCUUAUCUAAUUAAAAAACAUAAUAUUCUCUAUCUAACGAUUUUUAGUUUCUCUUUUCUCUCUUUUUAAUGACUUUCACAUCUUUUCCAUACUCCUCAUAUAAUAUAUUUCAUCUUUUAUAUUAAUUUGAUUUAAAAAAAAAUAUUUUCAUUUUCAUACCUAACAAUUUUAAACUAAUUAAAUCGUAGAUUCUAUUUCUUUUUUGAAUGAAAGGAUAUAAGCGCAAAAUUGUCAAAUUAAACUUAUUAAGCAUUCAGUUAUAAAUAUUUAUCAAACAACAUAAAUAGGUUUAGCAUUAAAAUUCAGACAUUCAUAUAUUUUUUUCAGUGCUUAAAAUUCAGCAAAUUAAUUGUUUCAGUAUUCAGAUUUCAGAAUUCAGACUUCAGAAUUCAGAUUCAGUUUUAUCAAACGGAACCCGCCUUCUCUUAAUUCUACACAAGCAUGUGAUCUUCACCAGCAUAACCAUUUUUUUCCGCUUUUUCUUAUAUCUCUUUCUUUUUUUUUUUUUUCAAGUCAAUUGCCAUUUUCUUAAUAAAUGGGUAUUAUUGAGUAACCCACCAAAUCCAAUUAAUCCAUUUAGAAUUGUAACCCAUCAAAUUUCCUCUCUUCUCCCACCCUUUUUUUUUUAGAUUUUUCAUUUUUUAUGAUGUUAACUACUUUUAUUUCGUUAUUAUUAUUAUUUGUUGGUUUUAUCUUAUCAUUUUAUUUUCUCUUAGUUUGUUAACUUACUCGUUUUUCAACAUUACUAAUUUAUGACAAGUUUUAGCCUUUUUUUUUACCUUUUCAAAAUAAAAUUUUAAAUUUACAUACAAAAAAAUGCUAGGGUUUCAAGAUUUUUGAAUGAAGUUUUUAUGUUAACUUUUAUAGUACUUAGUUCAAUUUUUAUAUUCUUAUUGUUUAAUUAUUAAAUAGUAUGUAAUUUUACGAUAUAGAAUACGAAUGGAAAAAAAAUUGGCAAUUAGGCUUAUUGAGUAUUAUAAGUAAAUAUUUAAAACUAAUGAUGGGUGCAAAUGUGGUGUAAAUUGAUAAUUUAGUUUGCAAAAUUGAAUUUAAAUGAGUUUACAAAAAGUUAAAAUAAAUAGGUUAUAAAUGGGUAAUUGGGUUACCCAAUUCAAUUUUUGACUUACCAUUUAUAUUCAUCUAAUUAAAUGGAUAUAAAUGGGUUGACUCACUUAUACCCAUUAUCCAUUUUAACUAAUAGAAACCUGCCCAAGUCACUCAUUUUGACACCUCUCAUAAAGACCAAAGAUGCAAGAAAGGUAUAAUUGGUCAUAGUUUAGCGAGCUUUGAGUAAACCAAUUGAAAUUUCACUUCAUCAGAAAGGAAUAAUUUGUAAAUAAGCUUGACUAGAAUUUUGUACAUAAUGCUCUGCAAUUCUUCUAUUGAUGUUUUUACUCAAGUACAAUAAUAUUUUUCAUGUUUUCUGGGAACCUGAACGUUUUGUCUAAAAAAUUUGUUUGCUUCCUAAGAGCUCUAGUAGAUUCUGAAUAUUUUUGAACUAGGUAUGUUAAUUUCAAGGCAACUGCAAUUUUAUCAGAGUGUGCUAAGUAAACCUGUUCAUUCACUAAAGGCACUUAAAUCUCUUGCCAACGUUGAGACUUUUUCUUUUUAUUCUUGCACUGCGGCAUCAUGACUGUCAAGUUAUAAGAUUGGACAAUCCCUUACUCAACUCUAAUAUAACUACGCAAGGUUCAAGCCAAACACCGUUUAAACAUAUGAUUGCCACAUGAUAGUGUAGGAUCACCUCCUCAUAACUUAUACUGGGAUUGCCAUCUUCACCUAGUUAUGAAGGCAAAAGUCAUCUUUGAACGUAUUGUUUGUGGCCCUUUUUCGAGCAAGUGUCACUAGCAAUAUCAACAAGAGUUGAUGUUGGUGCCCACAUGCAAUGUUCAGCGUUUGGGGAAAAAAAAUUAGCGAGUUUGAACAGGUGAACAACAUAGCAAUCGCAAAUUUUAGUAAUUAAUGCUGCAACUUAGAAUGUAGGUUUCAAGGAAGAUUAUGUCAAUUAUGUCAAUGAUGAACAGAUUUUCCAUUCUCUUAGCUGUGUUUGGACUGUUCAAAUGUGUGCCUGGACUGAGAGAAUUCUAAAUUUAUUAUGAAAGUUAAAAUUCAUUCCACAAAUAUGUUCACAUUUUGUAAUUGUGAUCUGCCAAAUGCGAGAUCACUUUGGAUUUGGUUCCAAAAAAUUUAAGUCUAUCACCUGACACUUGCCGAUUUGGUCCUGCCAAAUCACAACCCAAACGUCUCUAGAAGAAGUCACAAAUAAGUGAAAGCCUUGAUGUAGUGCAGAUGAGGGGACAAGGAUGAGUGAUACCCUGUUCAUUCAAUCUAGUUAGGAUUUGAGGUUGUAGUGGUUGUUCUGACUCUAUAAAAGAAGCCUUAUCAAUUACAACUAAGAGUCCUAAAUGAAUGGAGUUCUUUCUAUUAUUUUGUGAGGUAAGAAUUUAAGUUGACACCACGUUUGCUAAAUGCGAUGCCUGGGGAGUUCGCAUUCAUAGAAUGCGUAAACCCCCCUCCCCCCCAACCCACAGCAGAAAGGAACACUAGAAAGGCCCUUAUUAUAAAAUGUUUUUAGAAUUUAUUAUAACAUUGGAAAUUUCUCAAAAGAUAACCGAGCUUAUGGGGUAUUAUGCCAUCAAAGAAGCUAUUAUGCAGGAUUUUCUCAACCAUGUAAUUGAAGGAAGCUCCACAUUUUCAGUAAGGGCAAGUUUAAGGCUGUCUCGCUUUCAUCAAAAGAACUGUCCCAAGAAGUUAAGAACUACAAAGAGUCACUCUUAAUUUGAAUUUCGAUGGCAAUUAAAGCUUGCCAGUCUCUCUAAUUUGAUGAACUGACUAAAUUGCUGGCUGUACUAGGUGUCACUAAUGUUACAGAGUUUAGAAGACAGAAUAUAACACUUGAAAGCAUAUGAGUUUCAAAUUGGACCUUCAUUUCCUAGGUGGAUGGCCUAUGCAAAUGCAAUGUGUUCAGUAUGGCCGGGCAAAGUUUAGCUGCAAUCUUGUGUAGAUUGUUGUUGGCAUUUGUUGAAUAUUUUAAAACAUCUUUUAUGAUUUGGGAUAAUUUUAUUUUUACUUUCACUAGAUAAUUUUGAACUAAUCUUGUAGAGAUAAGUUUUCUAGAAAUUCACCAUUAUUUGGCUGUUCAAUAUAAGAAAUUUUAUCACAUAAAAUUUCACUUUUUACUUUUUACUAAAUAAGUCUGGACUCAUUCUUCAGCCAAUGUAUUACUUGGUCCCAACAGAUAAGAGUUUUUUUAUCGCAUAAAAAUUUACUUUUAACUUUUUACUUGAUGAGUCUGGACCCAUUCUUCAACCCAUGUAACGUUAAAAUUUGUUAAACCUCCCACUAAUGUUAAAAUUUGUUAGCAAAAUUCCAUCUAAAACAAUCUACACCUAACAUUAACUUUUUAGUAGCGCGCCUUUAAAUGGUGGUCUUCUCACUCCUUAAGAUACACAUAAAUUUGAGUAAACUUUUCUUUUUACCCUCUUAUGUUGUUCUCUCUUCCUCUUUACUGUUUGUUAGUUCUCUGAAUUUUCUAUUCAUGCUUGCUAUUCACGCUUCCUCUCAAUUUGGUGUGAUCAUAAGGCUUGUUUUAUCUCAAAAAAAUAUUUUGGUACCUCAAAAUAAUUUUUUUUAGGACAAUACUGAUCACCAGCAUGACUCAAGUUACAUGUUCUUAGCAUUUUUGGUUCGUAUCCUCUUACAAUCUAAAUAAAAUGCGGCCUCCAACAAUGGUAACACAUCUUCUAAUACUGCUUAAACAUGUCAAAACCAGCUUACUGCUAUACUAGUCUACCAUAUGCCAAACCUUUUUCUGAUGUAUCGAAGAUUGAAGUUUUCACAAAUGAAAUUUUCAAAAGUUGGAAAAAACGUGUAUUUUCUCUGCUUGAUGUUCCUUGAUGUCCAUGGAGUUACCUAUGCUCUAGUUCAUCCACAACCUACUCCAACUGCUGAUGUUAGGACAUAAGAAUCAUGGCUGAUGCUAGGACAUAAGAAUCGUGGCAACAUGACAGUAAGAUAUGUUGUCACACUAUUUUGCAACUAAUUCUAACGAAUAGUUUGACAUCUACUAUUUCUAACGAAUUGUUUGACAUCUACUGCAGCUAUAAGGUAGUCAAAUGAUUUGGAAAGCACAAGUUCAUUGUACAAAAUAGUAUCACUGGCAAAUAAAUAAUGAUGAUAAGGAGAUAAAGUUCAAAUGACUGAUGAUAAGGAGAUGCAGGUUCAAAUCAAUGAGUUCCAAAAAUUGCUAGAAUAUUUGAAAAGCGAAAAGAUCUACUAGAAAAAUUUGCUAUAUUGAUUAAAAGAAACCAAAAAGGUGAUAAGAGAUAUGACAAUAAGUCCCAAAAUUUCAAGCCUAAUAAUCCCAAUUUCAAGAAAACAAAAGGCAUUUGUUUGUGAGAAACUAGGUAAUCAUGGUGCGCAGUGCAAGUAUAAAAAGAGAAAUGACAAUGCAAAAGCAAAUCCUCGUAAGGCUAACCUAGUCGAAGAGGAUCAAAUUAUUGGUGCAGUUAUUGUUUGGCUCUACUAUGAUUUUGACGAUAUCAGGGUGAUGCAUGUAGCAAAUUAAGAAUUGAAUAUAGGGAAGAAACUGGUUGGAUUCUUGAUUAGUAAGGACUUCAAUACCUUCAACACCUUGAGGGAAGUGGCAAAUAACCUAAAUCUUGAUGUUAAGGCACUCCCCUACUGGCAUCUUGAUGUCAAGGCGCUCCCCUACUAGUAGAAACUAAAUGCUGAGUGAAGGGUGUAUACCAUACCCGAAACUGUGAAAUCUAGAAUUUUUAGGUUCUUCACAUCAACUUUGGUGGAAGAAUUCAACUUUCUGCUAGAAAAGUUAAAUUCCGUUGAAAUGAUGCAAGGAUGGGAAUGAACUAAUGAAUCUGAUAUCAAGCUAGUGAUUGAUGUUAACAACCACUUUCAAAUGGAUUUGUCGGUCUUUAUCGCAGAUGUUAACAUAAAUCUAGCACAUUUACGUGAUACUUGUAAUUCUUCGGGAAUUGUCAAUAGUACCUUCACCAAAAUACAGAAUCCUCCUCCAAUUCCUCAAAAUGUUGGAGAUGAUGGAGUGCUGUUGGAGGCGAAUCAUCUGUCAUUGGCAAACUGGUGCUAUUUUUCUGACACCUGGAUGAAAUUAUUGGUGUAGUCAUUUCUCAACUAAACAUUGCAGCUAAUGCGAAAGAAUGGGUAUUAGAAUCUAGGGCUACUCAACACAUACAUGCCAAUCAAGAAGUAUUUACCUCCUACACUCCAAUAGGGAUGAUAAAAAAGUGAUCUACCUUGGAGACUCAAGAACUACUAAGGUUCUGUAUGAGGACAAAGUAUUCCUAAAACUCACUUCAAGAAAAACCUUAGCUCUUAAUGAUAUGCUGCAUGUCCAAAUAUUAGGGCAUAUCUCAUUUCUGAAGCUCUAUUAGGAAAAGUUAGGGGUGAAAGUGUUAUUUGAAUCUGGCAAGAUUGUAAUGACUAAGAAUAAUGUAUUUGUAGGAAAAGGCUAUUGUAAUGAGGGAUUUUUUGUACUCAAAAUUUCAAAUGUUAUCAAUGAAAAUGCAUCUCUUCUGCUUAUAUUGUUGAUUCAAUUUCUUUAUGGCAUGCUAGACUAGGACAUGUUUAUGUGAGCUAUGUAAAGAAAAUGCAAUCAUUUGGUUUAAUUUUCGAUACUAAUAAUAAUAACAUGGAAAAUGUGAGAUAUGUGCAAAAGCCAAAAUAACAAAAAAAAACUUGCAUAACUAGGAACUAAAUUACUAAAUUUAAUUCACACAAACUUAAGUGAUUUAAAACCAAUAAUGAUUAGAGAUAGUUAAAUGUAUUAUGUUACAUUUAUACAUAAAUAUUCUAAAUACUUUAAAAUUUAUUUACUUAGAAUAAAGAUGAUGCUCAUACUACAUUUUUAUCUUAUAAAUCUGAAGUAAAAAAUCAAUUUAAUAAGAAAAUAAAAUAAUUAGAUGGCAUAAUUGAUUCCAUAUAUGGUUUUUUCAAACAAGCUAGCAUAAUUGAUGAACUAACAUCUCCUUAUUUACCUAGGUCUAAUAGAAUAGUUGAAAGAAAAAAAUAGAACAUUGAAAGAAAUGAUGAACUAUACGUUAAUCAGCUCUUAUGCUCCUAAUAAUUCGUAGGGGUAAGCUAUUUUAGUGCAUUGCCAUCUACAUGACGCUGGUUUUGAGGGGAGUCCUUUCCCAUGGACUAAUGGAUCCUUGUGGCAGCGGCUGGAUAGGAUCUUAUUAAAUGGAAGGUGGUCAGAGAGUUUCAAAUUCACUAGAGUCUCUCACUUGUUGCCUAAGAUGGAUCAUGCACCAUUACUUGUUCGUUUUGCGUCAGGAACUAGAGGGCAGCUUUUCAUUUUUUUAAAUUGUUGGACGAAACAUGUAGGGUUUCCAGAUGUAGUGAAGCAUGCCUGGGAGUAGUCUGCGGUAGGAGUAGGGAUGGGUAGGUUUUUUAAUAAAUUGGUCACUACUCGGAAUGAGUUGAAGGCUUGGAAUCUCUUGGUGUUUGGAAAAUUUUUUUUCUCGGAUAAAGCAAGCUAAAGAGGCUUUGAAGUUAUGCGAAUGGGAUUAUGACGCACUCAGGAAUGAGUCCUCUAGAAUUGUGUUGAAUGAGGCUCGUGCAAGGUAUACUCAGUCCUUGGCAGUGGAGUGCCAGUUCUGGCAUCAGAAAUCUGGGAUUGGGUGGAUUCAAGAAGGGGAUGCAAAUACCAAGUUUUUCCACACUUUUGUUAGACAAUGCCGUAAUGCAAACACUAUAUUUUGGAUAAAGGACGACAGUGGAGAAUGGUUGGAAAAUGAGCAGUAGGUGCAGGACUCGGCGGUCCAAUUUUACUCUAAAUUAUUUAGCUCGGAAUGCGAAGGUCGCAGACCACCGAUCCUCCCAUUUCAAUUUUCACAAUUGGGUCAAGCUGACAAUGAUCUCCUUCAAGCUUUGCCGACUCUGGAGGAGGUGCGCUCUGUAGUUUUUUCGUUAAGUGCUGAGAGUGCUCCCGGUCCUGAUGGUUUGGCGCUAGAUUUUACCAGAGCUAUUGGGGAAUAAUUCAAGAUGAUUUAUAUUGACAGUUCAAGAUUUUGUUAAGGGAGCUCAACAACCUCGAGAUCCACAAGUACUUUAAUCAUUCUUAUUCUUAACGUCUAGGGGGCCUCCCAAUGGCAGGAUUUUAGGCCUAUUAGUUUAUAUAAUGUCAACUCCAAGAUUAUUUCCAAGGUUUUGGCUAAUAGGCUUAAUAUGUUAUUGUCCAAGAUUAUUUUGCCAUGGCAAACUGGGUUCGUGCUGGGAAGAGAAAUUAUAGAUAAUAGUCUUUUAACUCAGGAGUUAGCAUUAGACUUGGAUAGAAGAUUGGAAUGCCAUAAUCUAAUGCUUAAGUUGGAUACGGAAAAAGUAUACAAUCAAGUCGAAUGGUCUUUUUUGUUGUUUAUGUUAAGGCGGUUUGACUUUCAUAAAUGGGCGAUUGAUUUACUUUUUCAUACUGUAUCCAAUUGUUAGUUUUCUGUGUUGAUAAAUGGAAUCCCUGUUAGGAAAUUGGUUUAAUUUCUUUUAGUCAAGAUUCCUAUUUGGUGUGGGAAGUAACUAGUUUCCUAAUUGGAUUUAGUUACUUGAAGUAGUAGUCAAGUGAAUUCCUAUUUAGCUAGAUACUAUUUUCUACUCUAUAUGAGUUUAGGAAAUAGUAUUGGUUUCCAAUUGUUAUUUGAUUUUUUGGCAGUAAUGUUCUCUAUAAAUAGGUAGAUUGGCAUACUACAAAAACACACAAGAAAGGAGUGAGAGAGUUCUUAGUGGGUGAGAGGGUUAUAGAAGAGUUGGGGCUUGGAAAUCAAGUUGUAAUCUUGUGGUGUUUUUUUCAUAGUAAGAACAAGUUUUUCUCUCCGUGGAUGUAGGCUUGGUGAUUAAGUCGAACCACGUUAAUUCUUGUGUGUUGUUCAUCGUUCAUGCUAGAUAUUAUUUUCUAUUAAAUUAUUGGUCUUUUCCUUUUCAAAUAAUUGGCCUGAUACCCUAACAAGUGGUAUCAGAGCUCCGUUGGGAUUUUGGUUAAUUAUUUGAAAUUGAGUGGGUGGUGGUAUACCAUGGGGUUUGGAACUAUACAGUUUCCAAUUCAACCGUUUAAUGGAACUACAAGUUUCACUCUUUGGCAAAGAAGAGUGAAGGAUGUUCUAGUUCAACAAGGUUUGGCAAAAGCGUUGAAUGGAAAGAACAAGAAGCCAGAGAGCAUAAAUGAUGAUGAGUUUGAAGAGUUGGACGCAAAGUGUGCGAGCACGAUUCCGCUCUAUGUGGCGGCCAACAUCAUAAAUAAUGUGAUAGAUGAUGAAGAUUCUGCAGCAGACCUCUGGAAAAAAUUGGAAAAACUUUAUCUGGCUAAAAGCUUAUCCAAUAAGUUGCAUCUAAAGCGGCAACUUUAUGCACUAAAUAUGGUGGAGGGUGGCAGCCUCAUGGAUCACAUGAAUACGUUCAACGGAAUUUUGGAUCAACUCCAAAAAGUUGGAGUAGAUAUUGAGGAAGAAGAUAAGGCCCUUUUACUUUUUACCUCAGUCUCUGAUUCUUACGAAAGUGUCGUGACAACCCUGUUGUAUGGGAAGGACACUUUAGAGUUCGAGAAUGUGCAGUCUUCUUUGUUGGAUCAUGAAAAACAAAGGAAGGCAAAUCAGGAUGUGACACAAGAAGCUGCGUUAAUUGCUCGAGGUGAGAAUGAAAGAGGAAAAUAAUUUGACGGUGAAUCUAAGACAGGUGGUUCAAAGGCCAAGAGAAAGGGUGGAAUCCAGUGCUUUGGUUGUCAUGAGUUUGGCCAUAUCAAAAAAUAUUGCCCUCAUCGAAAGAAAAAUGAUGAGAAUGACUAUGAUAAUGUUGCUGGAUAUGCAUCGGGUGGAGAUAUUCUCACAAUCUCCAAAGGUAAUAAUACUUCUUCUCGUGAUGGUUGGAUUUUAGAUUCUGGAUGUGUUUCACAUGUUUGCUCCAGGUUAGACUAUUUUGAUACUCUCCAAAGAAAGAAGGCAGAUUUUAUGUCCUUGGGUGAUGGAUCUACUUGUCAAGUCAAAGGUGUUGGAGUGGUGAAAAUCAAAAUAUUGAAUGGAGAGAUUCGUUCUUUGGGUGGUGUGGCUUAUGUCCCAAAGUUACGAAGGAAUCUAAUUUCUUUGAGCCAGUUAGACUCCGAGGGUUACCAUUUUUCGCUGCAGGUGGAGUUUUGAAAAUCACACAUGGCGAGACGGUCUUGUUGAUGGGGAAGAAGUAUGGUAAUCUGUACCAUUUGAAUACCUCAAUGGAUUGGGAGCGGAAAGGGAUCCAAGAAUACUCUCAAAUUACAAAUGGUGGUGAGAGGAGAAAUCCUGCUAUAGGAGAGGGUGAAUUGAGGCCCCUCUCGUGAGUCAACUAGAUGUUGGACUCGAUUAGCUACACACGGUCAUUUGCCGAUUGAAUCAAUUGAAAACAAGACCGUAUUGAUUUAGGUGUGUCGCUAGACACCAAGGUACUUGGUGGGAAAAGGCAAAUGGAGUUUUUUUUUGGAUGGUUUGCUGUGUUUGCUAAAAGAAAUAUUCGCCAAGGUGAAAAUUUGUUAGGAAAUUGGCUUAAUUUCUUUUAGUCAAGAUUCCUAUUUAGUGUGGGAAGUAACUAGUUUCCUAAUUGGAUUUAGUUACUUGAAGUAGUAGUCAAGUAAAUUCCUAUUUAGCUAGAUACUAUUUUCUACUCUAUAUGAGUUUAGGAAAUAGUAUUGGUUUCCAAUUGUUAUUUGGUUUUUUGGCAGUAAUGUUCUCUAUAAAUAGGUAGAUUGGCAUACUACAAAGACACACAAGAAAGGAGUGAGAGAGUUCUUAGUGGGUGAGAGGGUUAUACAAGAGUUGGGGCUUGAGAAUCAAGUUGUAAUCUUGUGGUAUUUUUCUCAUAGUAAGAACAAGUUUUUCUCUCUGUGGAUGUAGGCUUGGUGAUUAAGCCAAACCACGUUAAUUCUUGUGUGUUGUUCAUCGUUCAUGCUAGAUAUUGUUUUCUAUUAAAUUGUUGGUCUUUUCCUUUUCAAAUAAUUGGCCUGAUACCCUAACAGUCCCUACUAGUUUUUCUAAAUCAUCACGUGGGGUUUGGCAAGGAGAUCCUUUAUCUCUUGCGUUAUUUUUAAUUCUUGCGGAACUUUUAGGGAGAGGUCUCAUCAUUUUUGUAUGGAGGAUGAGCGGCGAUUUUAUGUUUCUGGUGGGUCUCGGAUCCCUUAUUUGGCUUUUGUAAAUGAUAUUUUAAUCUUCUCAAGAUACUCAGUGGGGUGUUUGGAUGACAUCAGGAAUUUACUGGAGGAUUAUCAAGCAUUUUCAGGGCAAAAGGUUAACGGCAGGAAAGCUCUUUUCUUGUCUCAAAUAGGGCCUCUGAGAACAAUGUCUCCAUGGUGGUUUUGAAAUUAGGAUUUCAACAUCAGCAAUUCCCUUUACAUAUCUGAGAGCACCCAUUUCUAGAGAACGAAUUGGAUGCAUUUUGUUUGAUGGCAUUAUAGAUAAACUACGCAAUUGUCUCUUCAGCUAGAGUUCAAAGCUACUUUCUGUAGGUGGCAAAAUCAUUCUUGUACGGCGUGUUCUGUCCUCAAUGCCAUUAUACCUGCUCCAAGUUUUAUAGCCGCCCAAACUAGUUCUUAACAGAAUAAGGAAGAUUUGUAAUAGUUUUUUGUGAGAUCGUAACUCCAACAAGGGGAUUCAUUGGUCCUCUUGGGGAAAAUUAUGUUAUCCUACGGAGGAGGGAGGUCUCGAUUUUAGGGAUUUUGAAGAUAUGGCUAGGGCUUUCUCGUGCAAGUUAUGGUGGAAAUUAAGGGCUGACAAUACUAUUUUGGCAAACUUUAUGCAGAAGAAAUAUGUCAAGAAGUGUCUCCCGUCUCAUAGUUUAGUUGUACGACCUUCUAGCAUCUGGCGGAGGUUAGAGCAUCUGGUGUAGGUUUUUGGUGGGAUAGGUAGUUGUUAGAUGUUCCACCAGUAGGAUUCCUAGGGACUGAUCCCCCCAUACUCUGUUGGCGGAGUUUUUCUGCCCCUCCAGGUGCAAAGUGUUUGGCUUACGAUAGUUCUUCCCUAGCAAUUUGGUGGACAAGUAACUGACAUAGCUUUGUACUUCUAGGCUCAGGACUGUAUAGUAUAGGUACCAUCGGCAUUAGAUUCAUUCUCGGUAAAAUCUGCUUGGAUGGAGCUCAGGGAAAGAAGGAAUAUUUCAUAGGUAGAUAAGGCCUCUUGGACCUCUAUUCUACCCCUUAAGAUUUCCUUUCUUGUUUGGCAACUGCAGAGAAAUUUCCUUCCUUUAGAUGCGAUUUUGCGGUGUAAGGGAAUGGUAAUGGUCUCUUGGUGUUCAUGUUGUUUCACGAAUCAAGAGACGCUACACCAUUUGUUUUUGGAUGGAUCUAUAGCUCUUCAAGUGUGCUCUCAUUUUGCAAGGUAGUUUGGUAUGGUCCAACUCAUGCACUCUUCUGUAUCUGUGAUGUUUAGCUCGUGGUUGAUGUCAAUUUCAUCAAGAUCUCUUGAUCAUAUCUGAGUUGCUGUGCCAGCGGCCAUGUUUUGGUUCCUAUGGAAGACUAGAAACAAUGCACGCUUUCGAAGUGAGAAGUUCAGUGCAUGGCGAGUGAUUUGCUUGAUUUUGGAGCAAUUGGGUUCUGCGAAAACUUUUAGGAGGUUGCAUUUUACAGGAGAUUUGGAUUGUAUAUGGCCAAUACAGCAAUUCUGUUUCCCUUUAUCAUUCAUUGGUGUCUUGUCACUUAAAGUAAAUGAGAGUUCUCUCAACUUAAACUAAACACAGAUGCAAGUGUACAUAAUGGGUAGGCUUUUGGUGGCGGCAUUCUUCGUGACCAUGAAGGUAAAUUGAUCUUUGCCUUUUUCAAAGAGCUCGAGGAGGAAGAUGUGCUUAUGGCUGCAUGUUUAUCCCUGCUUCAUGGACUGCAGCUAUGUCUUGGGAGGAAUUUGGUUUUUUUUUUUUAGGUGGAAACUGAUUCACGGAGUUUGGUUCAACUGAUAAAUUGUAAUGCCCUAGCUACAUGGCCCUUAUGUAACGCUCUACAUCGGGUGAGGCAAUCUCCUUUUAUAGCCAAGGCAUCUCUUGCUCAUAUUUUUCUCAAGGCAAACUCCGCGAUUGAUAGACUCGCAGCACUUGAUUUAUCUAUAGAUAUGGUUUUCCAUUCUAUCUCUGAGCUGCCACCAUCUGCAAAAGCUACUGUACUUUUGGAUGGUUUGCAGGUACUAUCUAUUAGGGGCUUAUAAUGUAAGGGAGUAGUACUCUUCAUUUAAGAUUUUUUGUCUUUAACUAAGGUCAGGUCAAGCCCUCCUUGUGAGGACCCCACCUCCUCCUAGGCCAUACCCAAGGGUUUCGUGGACCGCUUGCCAACUCUCACCAGGACUCACUACAUUUAUUACAAUAAAUUCUCAAAAUAACCGUUCAAGCCUCCAAAUUAACAACAGAGUUCUACAAUUCAACCAAUAAUUCAAAUUUAAUUACAACCCAAAAGUGAAACAUAAGAUACACCAUCAAAAAUUUAAAAAAAAGAUAUGUCUACCAAAAGUACAUGUGCAAGAGGAUCAGUACACGUUAGUUCAAUCUUAUCCGUUUCAGACCUCAACUCCUAUAAUGAAAACAAACUAAUUGGAUGAGUUUACGCCUAGUGAGGUUCCCAAAAGCAUCCAAGCAAAACACCAGUCAAAUCAUAAAAACUAUUGCAUUUAACAAUUUCACACACUUUGUACAGUAAUAAAUAGUUUCAAGGCAUUCAAGAAGUAAACAUUCAAUCAUUUAAAGGAUACGAGCUCACUUGGAGCCAUUCAUUCAGUUAUUUAUUCAUUCAUUUAUUCAGUCUCUGCCCAUCCCUUCCUUAUAACUUUCAAUGUUUGAAAACAUUUGAAAACAAAAACUCCUACAGUGAUCAUUUCAUUUAGUCAGUCAUUUAUUUCAGUCAUUGUAUUGCAUUCACUGGCCAAUACUCUACUUGAUUUCGUGGUCAUAAUCGAGUAUACCAAAACAUUGUCCCAGGGUCACCAACUUACCUGACCAAGUCCACUUUUGGCUAGAGUUGACUGGCAACGAAGGGCAAGGGUCCAAUCAAACCAUGUGAUACAGUACACAUGGCUUACAUUCAUGCAUAAGUAAUAUUCAAUCAUUUAAUCAUUGAAAUUUUACAUUCACUUAGAUGGAGUCCGAUAAAGUACACACUCAACCCUGGAUCAUUGAAAUAUUCCUGGAUCUGUUUAGGAGUAGUUCUAUCCACUUGCUGUACGUUCGACCUCUUUGAUGCUUUCUUGGGCAGUUGUUAAUUUGAUGGUCAGUAUUCCACAAGCCAAGUGUAAUGAUCCCACAUCGGUUAGGGAGGAAGUCCUGGAUGGCUUUAAUAUCCUGUUAUGGUUUCUCCCACCUGACCGAGGCCUUUUGGAGGGGUGCUGGGUUUCUUGACCUGUGGGUUUGGGUUCUUCACUUGUUGUGGGUUAUAACCCCACCUCCAGGAACAAAACCCACGGCCCAAUGGGGCGGUUAACUGUGGGACAAUAUUGGUCAGAGGUGUUAGAGUUGGUAUCAGAGCCGACUCUCGACCCCGGUGUGCCAGCGAGGACGCUGGGUUCCCUAAGGGGGGUAGAUUGUAAUGAUCCCACAUCGGCUAGGGAGGAAGUCCUGGGCGGCUUUAAUAUCCUGUUGUGGUCUCUCCCACCUGACCGAGGCCUUUUGGAGGGGUGCUGGGUUUCUUGACCUGCGGGUUUGGGCUCUUCACUUGUUGUGGUCUAUAACCCCACCUCCAGGAACAAAACCCACGGCCCAAUGGGGCGGUUAACUAUGGGACAAUAUUGGUCGGAGGUGUUAGACCAAGCACUUUCGCCCCUUCACCCAACAUUCAUCCUCAACGUGAUUUGUCUUCCCACAGUAUCCACAAGCCAAGCGAGGAGCCACUAUUUGGCAUUCUCGAGAGAUUCUCUCUUGUUGCCCUUUUCCCACCUGAAAUCCUCUUGAAGAAAUUCCUUCUAAUUUUUUCAGUGUUCAUGGUGGGUAAGGUUGAAGAUCCACUCUUCUUACUUUGUGAGGUGAUACGUUUUCUCUGGAUUCCUCAAAAUUACUACUAGGCGCACUUCUUUUUCGUGCUUGAAAAGCUCUUACCCGCACCUUCGUGUUCUCGAUCCUUUGGGAUUUUUCAAGAGCUUCCGUAAUGGUAUUAAUUUGAACUAGCACUAAAGUUUCUUAGAUUUCUACUUUCAAUCCCUAUACAAACCAUCUCACUCACCUUUGUUCCGUAAUCACCAGCUCAGGAGCAAAUUUGGACAAUUAAUAAAUUGUGUUUUAUACUCGACCACAUUUAGGGUUCCCUAACAUAACCCGAUAAAUCAUCUUCUCCCUUCUUUUGGAUUAGAGGUGGGAGGUAUUUUUCAUUAAAUUUCCUUAUAAAGUUUAUUCAAGUCCAUGCCAUCUGCUCUCUCUCACACUUUACCCUAAUAACAUUCCACCAUACUCGGACCAAUUUUUCAAAUUGAAAGACAGCAAAAGUCACUUGCCUUUCCAUCGUAUAAUUCAAGAUUGCAAAAAUGUUAACUAUUAUCUCCAACCAACUCUCAACUAUCUCUGAAUCAGGCCCUCCUAUGAAUUUAGGGGGAGCAAACUUUUGAAAAUACUCUAGAGCCCUAUCCUCUCCUAUCUAAGGGUCCCUAAACUGGUUAACAGGGGUUUAACUCUAUUGCUUUACUAAUCGUGCUAAAAUAUCAGUCAUUUGUUGUAUAGCCGUCGCUACUUGAUCCCCUGCUUCACCCUCGGUCCACGAUCUUGCUCAGCCGCUGAUUCUCUUUCAUUCCUUGGUUCUUGCAAUUGCCUAGCCCCACGUCCACGAUUUUGUCUUCCCUCCAUUCUCUCUCUCUCUCUCUUAUAAAAAUAGGUUAUAUAUACAUAAGCAACGCUAAAUCGACUACAGCAGCAAAAUAAAAGUAUUUUCAAAUCAUGAAGUCAAAGACAAAGAAACACAUUUAAUAUAUAUAUAUAGCACACCAAAUUCAUAUAUCAGAUCACAAUAAUACUAUACAUAUCACCAUAUUCAAAGUCAAGUACAAAAGGUAACAACAAGUACUAUACACCUCAGUCUUAACACGUCACUAACAAAAAUACAUGCAGUGGAAAAACAAGAAAAUGACAUGUCAUCCCAACUACCUAAACUCACGUUCUACAACCUCAAGUCUCUGAUUUAGUUCAUUACUGAACUAGUUGAUUCUACUUCUCCUUCAAGCAUAAGUUGCCCUUCGUCAGGCUCGAGAUUAGAUUCAUUAGGAACUGCAUUCCCUUGACCUCCCUGUAGACACCAAAUUUUUGGUGUAAUUUCAUUUUUAGUUUUUUAUUUGUCGUGUUCGUUUUUUAGUUUUAGUUUCUAGUUUUAUUUUUAUUUUUAUUUUAAAGUUUUUAUCAUAGAAUUUCUUGAAAAAGGGAAAGAGAAAAAAAAAGCAUUCAAAAAAUAUGAUUUAGUCAUUUGUAAUUUAAAUUCAAUGCUGUCUUGAAAGUGAAAAAAAGGAAAAAGUGAAAAAUGAUGAAAAAUGAAAAAUGGAAAAAGAAAAAAAGAAGAAGUGGAAAAAGAGAAAAAUCUUAGCUUUUUAUUUUAUCUUUUGGUUAUUAAUUCUGUACAUUUUAUUUAAGUUUGUUUGAAUUAUUAUUAUUUUUUAUUGUGAUUUAAAUUGAGUGAUUUAAAAAAAAAAAAAAAAAGAGGAUCCGCGCAUGCAAGCCGCGUAUUGUCGCAGCUUGCAAAGAGAAGACUGGGCAGCUCCUUUAGCUGCAAUUUCAGAGGAAGUGGCUGGGGGUUUUAGGGUUGAGUGCUUCAUAUAAAUAGGACAAGAAACAGCAGCAGCCGCAAAGGGGGUUUUUUUUUGAGAGAGUUGACGGGCUAAGGAAAAAACUGAGGGAGGCGUGAGAGGCUAAACAAAAAGCAGAAAAAGGGUCUGAGAGCCGGAGAGGAGGGAACCAGCAACCAAAGGAGAGAGCAACGGAAAGGGAGCUGGGGGUAGAGUUGGCGGCUGGGCUAGGUAGAAGGAGAACAGAGGAAAGAAAAGGGGAAGAAGAGAGUGGAACGGCUAGGCUUCUAGGAGGAGAAAACUGAGGAAGAACCAUCGCAGGGGGAAAACCGAGAAAGAGAGUAAGCUUCGGUUGGCGGCGGAUGGGAGAAAAGGAAAGGAAAACUGAGGAAAGAAAGAACGAGUGAAGAGGAAGGGAUUGAAAGAGGGUUUCAACUAACAAAAGAAAGCAACAAGGGAAAGGAAAUUGUUGUGGAAGGAAGCUGCAGCAGCCAUUGAAGUCGAGACUCCAUCACCACUGCCAUCGCCGCAGCCCCAAAGCCCACAGGCGCACCUUCAAAGAGCCGGCAGAAACCACUUGUGCCUUAUCUUUAAUCAUCAUCCCACACCUUGCUAUGUGUCUAAGGUAAAACCCUCAUCCUUUAUGGUGGAAAGCUGCUUUCUUUAGUUAUUAUUUGCUUUCUUUUGCCGUUCGAUGGUUCUGCGUUUGCCCCAUGUUGGCCGAUUCUCUUCCCCUUGUUGUUUGUAUGUUUGGAUGUGGAGCUUUGUCCUUUCUUGCUUAAGAUUACGGUGUGAAGUUUGGGUUGUGAUGUUGACUGUGCUUGGAUGAAAGACCCAUUCGAUGAAAAAUAUAGAGAACCGUAGCUGGAAAAUUGCAGAACUGUGUCUUUUCUCUGUUGUCCGAAUUUCUGGUGCUUAAAAAUUGCAGAACUGGAAAAAUUGUCUGUUGGAAAAUAGGAGGAAUCUUUGAUAUUCUUGUUGCCUGUUUUCAUGUUUACAUUGCGCUUGAGUUUGCGCAUAAGAAUCUGCUGCAACAAGCUAAGCUUGAAGCUCUCGGCUUGUUGCAGCGGCAUGGACAGAUCCUUUCUCCAUCCUUGGAUUGCUGAAGUUUUGUUUCGUUCAUAUUGUUCUCCUUUGUGUGCAUUGUGUUUGAGAUGUCAUAAGUCUGUCUAGUAUCUCAAGACCUCCUCUCUUGUUGCAUGAAACCGUGAGUUCCAUGAUUAGCUGGAACCAUUCUUCUCAAGAGGCUGCACUACGGUUUGCAUCUCAUGAAGCCCGCAUUUCCUAAAGCUGUUAUACAGCAAUUCACGAGCCCACACUCACUUGCAUUUGUUAGCAGUGAAGUUUAUCAUUUGUGUCAUCAUAUUAGCUUCCAUUUCCUCCAAGUGCAUGAAGAGCAUGUUGUUCCAUUUCCAUUUAGCUCACCUGCUGUUUUCAUGCUGAUUCUCAAUAAGCUGCUAAGGAGAUUGCAUCCCUGUGAACUGAAUCUUGUUAUUCAUUCGAACGUUAAAAUUCUGUGUUUAGUUGCUUGAAUGAAUAUUUGAUGUUUGAUUGGGGUUUCAUGCGAAAAGAAAUUUAUAUCAUGAAUUUAGAAUAAGAUUGCAAAGGCUUGCGGUUGCAGAGGCUUGAAAGCUUAGUUGCAGAAAAUUUUGUGUCCUACGUAUGCAUGCAUGAAAUAAUUUCCAGAUUUUACACUUUGGCCCCCCAAGUCUCUUUUUGUUCCACUAGGACCCAAUCAAUUAAAGAAUUUCAUCAAAUUGGUCCUUGAUAAUAUUAAUUUGUGCAACCUCAUUGCUUGUUUGCUUCAAUUAACUACCAUGCUUUGUUUCAAUUGCGCUUAAGUCAUGACUUUAGGGGCUUUACGAUUAAGUGAGCUUGUGAUUGUCUAUUUCCUUUAAUUUUCCCAAAUAAAUUGGUACCUUGACCAUUUCUUUUAUUUUGGAGGAUAAAUAAGUGACUUCACCCCAUUAGAGCUCCAACUCAAGGGAGGUAUAACUUCUUUUAUCUUUUUUGUCUCUCCUAUGUGAUCCAACGUGCUACGUGAAAAUUGCAUGUCUACUUGCUUCCCUUGUUUUUCUUUAAUUCCUUUCAUUUACUUUAUUUACUUUUGCUUUUUAUUUAAGUUAUUCUUUAUGGGGUAUGUGUACACCUCUUGGCUUGUAAUAGAUAGGGCUUGGAAAGCACUUGAUGAAGACCUAUUGAAGACGUGUGCCUAGCUAGCAAAUGUAAUAGGUCCAUUAGUUUGAUUGCUUGCUUUUGUGGCUAUGUGUUAAUUUGCUUUAUUAGGCUUUUGCAUCUAGUCGAGCAUGCUAAGUGUUAUGUGCUACUUGUUUACGAGUGUUUGGCAUGUCUACUCGCUUUCCAUAGCCAUGAAUGAAUGUGAUGGAUGAAUGUACGUUUCCACUAGUCCAACGCUAGUAGGAAUUCAUGGAAAGGGCUAGUCCAACGCUAGACCCAAUAGGCCGUCCCCCUUUCGUUAUUGCAUACUUGCAUGUUCACUACAUUUCAUGCAUUUUUCUUAGUUUUUAUCAUUUGGCAUGCUCCUCGAACCCCUUUUCCCCUCAUUUUAGGUUUUUUUUGCACCUCAUACUAGUUAUAGGGUACAUUUGCCUGAAGUGUCCCCUUUCGAUAAGGGAAACGAGCGAGUGUGGCUCCACAAAUAGCCUUAGCACGCUAGUUCCCCCUUCUAAUCAAAGGGAAGAUUAAAGUCACAAAGUUAGGACUCCCCGUUCCCGUCUUGAUGCAUUCCUAUAGGAUUCAUGCAUUUUAUUCAUUCACUAUCACAUACACUUACUUUAUAUUCUAUCUCUUUUUCUACAUUCUCACUUCACACUACUUUUGGACGUUUUCACUUCACUCACACACAUGCACUUUAUGUUAUUUUCACUCACCUUACCUUGUAAAUACAUUUGCACACCUCCACUUACAUCCUAUUAUUUUUAUCACUUUUUUCACUUCACACAAACUCACUUUUUCACAUGGCAUGCAUUCCACUCAUUUUUACGUCAUUUAGGAUUAUGUGUGACCUCUUCAAAGGAUCAUUAUUGGGCUUCACAAUUAAUGUGAUUGGCACCACUCAACCUAUGAAGAGAAAUUUCCCCCAUGUCCCCUUAGGUCUAGGUUUUUGCAUUCAUAUAGUCAUGUCCAACACGCGAUACAUACUUGGGUAGAAAAAUUAGGAAAGGUGGGGCUAAAUCACGCAACUAGCCUUGGCUAGGUCGAAGGGGUGCCUUGGAUUUUUAUCCUUGCCUUCCCCUUCGUCAAAUGUGACUCCCGAACCUUUUUCGUUGGUUUACGUGGACUAGGAGUCGUUCAAAAGGGGUUUCUUUCUAUCUUUCCUUUAGAAAAUUUCUUUUUGGGUGACUUGGUACACCCUAACUCUAUACCAAGUGGCGACUCCAUUUUUCAUUAAAAACCCCCUUUUGAACUUUGUUUGGUCAAAUCGUCGCAUUCUCAAGUCCCAUGGCCUUUUACUUUUCAUUUACACACGUUCACAUUCCACUACACACUUCCACACGCACACCAUCAAAAAGUGGGGCGCGACACUCCCUCUGCUACGUUCACUAGUACUACCUCAUCCAUAAGCAUCCUACACUCGGUUAAAAUGUUCUCCGUUUGGUCUCUCACUUCUCUCACUACACGAAUGAGAUGACCAUUGACCUCCUACACUUGCUCUCAUAAAGCAUUAGGCCAUUCUUGUUUCUCGUGAAUAGAGGUCUCAAGUUCUUGAAUUCUAUCAUCUUGCAUACUUAACAUUGCCCUCAGGCAUUCAAUCUAAGUUUAGCCCCUACUAUUGGCACUAGCCAACUUUUAUCUUUCGUUGUCUAUCUCUAGGACCACCCGAUCAGGAUACGAGUAAGUCCACCAGCAAUCACAGUGUCUCACUCUAUGCCGCGGACCCCAAAGACGAAUAGGUCUUCCUGGGCGCUCUUGGUAACUAAGGACUCAACGAGAUCACUCAGGAUUUUCGUUUCCACUAUCUCCGUUCACUCUUACAUUACAACCAAGUAUCAAGAACAUAAGCAACGUAGGCAAAUGAAGCAAGAUUCGCCACCUAACACUUUAAGCCGUCCCAACUACACUCACUCAAUCCGCACAGGUCAAUUCAAACCUAGACUCUGAUACUACCCGUGACAACCCCCAUCUUCCUCUAGGGCGUACCCAAGGGUGGCGGAUUGCCUGCCCAACUCUCGCCAGGAUUUACUACAUUCAUUACAACAAAUUUUUAAAAUAAUUGUUCAAGCCUCCAAAUUAACAUCAGAGUUCUACAAUUCAACUAAUAAUUCAAGUUUAAUUACAACUGAAAAGUGAAACAUAAGAUACACCAUCGAAGAUAAAAAAAAUAUAUAAUCUGUCUACCAAAAGUACGUGUGCAAGAGGAUCAGUACAUGUUAGUUCAACCUUAUCCGCUCCAAACCUCAAUUCUUGUAAGGAAAACAAACUAAUGGGAUGAGCUUACGCUCAGUGAGGUUCCCAAAUAAGCAUCCAAGCAAAACACCAGUCAAAUCAUAAAAAAUAUUGCAUUUAACAAUUUCACACACUUUGUAUAGUAAUAAACAGUCUCAAGGCAUUCAAGAAGUAAACAUUCAAUCAUUUAAAGGAUACGAGCUCACUUGGAACCAUUCAUUCAAUUAUUCAUUCAUUCAAUCUCCACCUAUCCCUUCCUUAUAACUUUCAAUAUUUGAAAACAUUUGAAAAUAAAAACUCCUACAGUGAUCAUUUCAUUCAGUCAGUCAUUCAGUCAUUCAUUUUUAGUCAUUGCAUUUUAUUCAUUGGCUAGUACUCCACCCGACUUCGUGGUCAUACUCGAGUAUGCCAAAACACUGUCCCAGGGUCACCAGCCUACCCGACCAAGUCCGUUUUUGGCUCUAGUCAACUAGCAAUGAAGGGCAAUGACCCAAUUUAGCCAAUGUGACAUAGUACACAUGACUUACAUUCAUGCACAAGUAAUGUUCAAUCAUUUGAUCAUUAAAAUUUUACAUUCACUUAGGUCGAGUACAAUAAAGUACACACUCGCCCAUUUAAAAGAUAUUUAACAGUCAUUGGAAGGCAAUUAACACUCGAACAAACAAUCACAACAAGUACUACCACUACAUAGUCAUUUAAUACAUAAACAUGUAAGGAACACUCACCACUGGAUCACAAUCAUUUCACUUCAAAACUUGUUCGUCUUCUUGGAUAUGCUCAAAUCCUCUGAUCAUAUAAUAUAUUAAGAAUCUAACCACUUGAGACCCGUACAAAUGACAAAAUGUAAGUUUCAAAGCUUUACUUAAAAAAAAUAAAAUAAUUUCUAGAUUUAACCCCCAUAUAACUUAUCAAAAGUGCCACGGUUUCUUAUUCAAAUCAAGGUCAAAUCAAGGUGAAAACCACAUGUAUUAUAGAUUAAUGUUUCAAGUAUAAUGUGGGAAAAAAUAUGCCACUUAUAGUCAAGAAUUUUGAGGAAAACUAGUCAAGACUUAUAAUGUUCAAAGCUGGAAAUUUUCAACUCUAAAACAUUUUGGGAAAAACUCAUUUUCUUUCACUUAAACCUCUUCCUUUUGAUGAUAGAUUAAUGUUUCAAGUAUAAUGUGGGCAAAAAUAUGUCACUUAUAGUCAAGAAUUUUGAGGAAAACUAGUCAAGACUUAUAAUGUUCAAAACUAGAAAUUUUCGACUCUAAAAUAGUUUGGGAAAAACUCAUUUCCUUUCACUUAAACCUCUUCCGUUUGGCUCAAAAUCAACACACAUGUAAAGAUACAAGUCUUGGCAAGUUUCUAGAACAAAAGUAGAUCAAAAUUAGCAUACAAAUUCCAGCACUAAAGCUAAAAGUCUCUCCCACUUUUAUCCCAAGUUCGAGCCAAAAUUCCAGCAAAAUUUUUAGCAUGACAAUGUUCACCUUGUUCUUACACAACACACUAGAACAUGGCUAGUAUAUGAUGUAUCAUGUGGUAUAUAUGCUUGGCAAGAAAACCAUCAAAAUGACACAAAGAUCAACUUGAAACUAGGCUAUGUCCUUUCUGUACCAAAACUAGAAAUUCCAAUAUAAGCUUGAAAACCAUGAAAUCUUCUAUAAAAGUCAUACCUUUUCCAUCCUAAAGCAACAUACAUCAAGUAAAUUCAAAACCUAAUAGAAAGAGCUAGUAGUUCAUCAAGUAAACUUAGGAAAUCAUUAUAUAUCAAGAAAACCUAGUAGUUCCUCAAGUAAAACUAGUCGAUCAUCAUAUAAACAUCAACAAAGUUAGGUUUUCUACCAAAGUUUACCUCUUAACCUCCAACUCCAAAUAUGACAAGCAAAUCAAGAGGGAUGCAAGAUUUUCUUCUUCCAAAACUUCACCAAAAGCUUCCUGUCAAGCUUACCUCAAGAUUGAUCGGAGUGGAAUAGGAUUGAUCUUCGAAUUUCUCACAAAUCAAGCAAGGGAAUUAAGAUGAAAUUUGAAGGUUUCUUUCUCUUUUUCGCUCACAAUGGUUUGGCCACUAGCAAGCAAAAAUGGAAGCAUUUUAGGCUAAUUUUACAAGAUAAAGUCUAAAGAAAGUCUUAGUCAACUAGUUCCUUGUAUCGCCGACAAGUGGCGGGAAAAGGUUUCAUUCCUAUCUCUUUUUCUCUCUUAUGUUUCUAAUAGCCAAUUCAUCUUGUGUUCCUCUAAUUCACUCUUAACACUUCUAAUCAUAUAUUUUCUUUUGCUCCACAUCCGUUCUUGUCCACCCAAUAUAAUGCACAUACCUCACUAGUUGAUCACACUAAUAUAACAUACUAUGAAAUUUAACAUGCACCAAAUUAUGAGAGGAAAAAGAUAAAAAUCUUGACUCAACCAUGAAAAACACCAUAAAAUUAAGGCAAGUAAAGUAAAAUAAAAGAAAAUAUAACUUAACUUUUUUUCCAAAAAUAAGAGAAAAUAUAAAAUAAUUUUCAGAUCCUCACACUCCUCAAGCGUGUUUUAUUUUCCUUGGUGUGUUAAUAAAAAUGGGGUUGACAUUGCACCCCGUAUACGGGGGGUUUGCUGCUAAAAAAAAUGCCACUAAUAAAUUAGGAUUCCAUAUAAUAGAAUUGGCAAAACACUUUGUAAAUUAUGAAAAGGUUAUAAACCUAAUUUGAAAUAUUUGAAAGCUCUUGGAUGUCUUGCUAAAGUUUUAUUACCUAAAUCUAAGAAAAGAAAAAUGGGUUCUAAAACUUCUGAUUGUAUGUUUCUUGGAUAUGCUGAGCAUAAUUUUGUAUAUAAGUUUCUUGUAUCGAAAUGUGGUGUGCUUGACUGUAAUAUAAUAAUUGACACAAAGAAUACUGAAUUCUUUUUCCAUAUUUUUUCACUAUCUAACAAAAUUUUGCAUGCACCUAUUGAAAUAAACAAAGAAAUAACCUUUAGUGAGGAAUUAAGGAGUAAAAGGCUUAGGAAUUUUCUUAUGGAAAUGAUAUUCAAACUCUUCAAGUUGAUAAUGCCCCGUUUAACUUAUUUUGAUGUUAUUUCUUCUUUUGAUGCCAAAUUGUAAAAAGAAACAAUUAAAUAUGAAAUGCAUUAUACUAUGAAUAAUGAAACUUGGAAUUUGGAAGAGUUAUCGCUUGAUGCAAACCUAUUGGUUGUAAAUGGGUUGUCAAAAGAAAAUACAAUCUUGAUGGCAUUAUAGAUAAAUAUAUAACUUGUUUAGUAGCAAAUGGUUUUUUAAAAAUAAAAUGUUGAUUAUUUUGAUAAUUUUACAUCAUUAACUAGAAUUUCUUCUAAUCGGAUCUUAUUUACUUUGGUUUUUGACCACAAACUUUUUGUUCAUCAAAUUGAUGUCAAAAUAUCAUUUUUAAAUGGUGAUUCAGAAGAAGAGAUUUAUAUGGUCCAACCUAAGGAAUGUGUUGUUUUUGAACAAGAAAAUAAACUUUGUAAAUUGAUUAAACCUCUUUAUCGUAAAAAAAAUCCUAAAUAGUGGCAUGAGAAAUUUGAUCAAAUUUUGAUAAGCAAUGGGUUUUUAUCCAUAGAAGCAGAUAAAUGUCUAUAUAUUAAAGUUGUAGAUAAUUAAUAUAUGAUAAUUAGUUUGCAUAUGGAUGAUAUGCUUAUAUGUGGUAUUAGUGUAGAUAUUGCAAAAAUUACUAAAUAUUUUUUAUUUUUUAACUUUGAUAUGAAAGGUAUCAUUUGCAAUAGUUUUCAUGCUUAACAUAUAGUUCAAAUGUUGAUAUUCUUUGGGGUUUUUCACGUUUAGUUUUUUUAAUAUUACGGUCAAUGUAAAAAUUAUAGUCAUGUUUUAUGAUAUUAUCUUUUAUGCAAUUAGUGUAUAUAGCAUAAUGCAGUGUUAGGUCUAUGGUUAGUUUCAUUUAGCGUGAGUUUUCUUGGUUUCAUCCUUCUUUCCAUUUUCAUCAGGAAAAUUAGCAUAAAGGGCAUGCUAGGAGAGUUAAUUAAUAAGGAGGGCCUAACCAUUAACUAUUUAUUUUAGAUGCCAAUUUCAAUAAUUGGAGAAACGCAAUUCUGUUCCACCAUAUUUGGUGGGUAUAAAAAAUUCUGGUCACUUGUUUCAAGAGAAUAUCUCUUGUGCAAUUAGUAUAUAUAGCAUAAUACAAUUUUAGGUCUAAGAUAAUUUUCAUUUUGAUGUAAGUUUUUUGGUUUCAUCCUUCUUUCCCUUUUCAUUGGGAUUAUUAGCAAAAAGGGGACAUUAGAAGAGUUGAUUAUAAGGAGGGCCUAACUGUUAACCAUUUUAGGGAUUAAAAAAUUCUUGUUAAUAAAAAAACUUGUUUGAUAAAAAAGUGGAAUUCUCUCUCCACUUUUUAGGGAUUAAAAAAAUCUUGCUAAUAAAAAAUGCAAUUCUUUUUUUGUUUGAUAAAAAAGCCUUGUUAAUAAAUUUGCUCAAAAUAAUCUCCAACAAUAAUUGAUUGACAAAAGUGAAGAGAGAAUUCCAAAGAGUUUCAACAAAAUCAGAAGAUUCGGCCUAAAAGCCUGCUUAUGAACUACUUUGUUUGCUUCCCUUGAGCCCAGUCUGCAUCAAUAAGAUUGUGGCCUGACAAAACUAGUCAAAUAGCAUUAAAUAAAGGCAUGGUAGUAGAAAGGACAUUAUUUGUGAAGGCAUGGUAGUAGAAAGCCUCUUCCAAAUUAAUAGCAUAGCAAUUGCUUUAGCCACUUCCUUUUUUGUUAUUCCCUUUCUAUUAAAAUCUAACAUUCCAAUAAUAAAGUUACAAAUAUUUACUUCACGGCCAUGCAUAUCGAUGAUUUUAUUAAAUGAAUGAAAUACUUUUGAAAAGUUCUAUUUUAAUUGAAACUUAAUUUGUAACCUCUUUAAAUGCUAAUAAAAGAAAUAUUAUUAAAGGAUCGACGUAAUUUAUAUAGUUUAUGCUACUUAUAUUUUAAAGGAAUAUUUAAUUGAGUGUCUAAUUACCAAUAUAAGUACAAAAUGAUAAACAUAAUUAUCAGUUUCAAACAUUAAAUACUUAUAUCACGCGAAAUUUGAGACAAUAAGAUUGCGCAUAUAAAAGCAUGGAUUCCAACUAUGAAAAAGAAAAGAAACAUAUAAGAAAUUAGUACCAUUCAUAAAUGAAAAUUUUCCACAUGUUUGUUUAAUAAAAUUCCGAGUACAUAUCUAACUACAUUUUGGUUAUUUUGACAACUAUACAACUGGAGCUAUGUCUAAAAGUAGAUUCAUGCAAACAGGGGCAAAAAAAUUAUGAAAUAGUUUUGUCUUCGUUUUGUCUAAUGAUAUCUUAUUUGUAUUAUUAUUUUGAAUCUUUUAUUGUUGAUAGAUAGAUACAAUAUUCAGAAGUAGAGGAACUUAAUCCUAUAGGUUCAGCUUUGUAGGCAUAAUAGAUAUUACACAUUAUGUGUAUAAUAAUGUCACGAGGAUUUAUAGUGUUGGCAUGUAAAUGUGUACAUGUAUAUUUGUGUGGGAUGUUGUUGUUAGUUUCAACUAUAAUUCUGAGGACAUUUCAGAUGAAUUUUAGAAUUUUGAUGGGCCUUUUCAUCCUUAAGUGGAGUGUUAGGCCACUAAAGCAUUGAAGUUUUAUUUAGGGGAAACAAUUGGUCACAUUUGCGUUGUUCUUGUGUUGUGUCGGAAAAUCUCAACUUGAACCUAACCCACUAAAUUUUUAUGCCAUGUCAUGUUAUGAUUUGCCUGUUAUCCAAUUAAUACGACCCAAUCCAUUUAACAAAUUUAGCAUUUUGUGUGACAACAAUUUGUUGUAAAUUGAAGAACUUUCGGUGACAAAAUAUACAAUAAAUUUUCAAAGUCCAAAAUGGAAAAGAAAUCCAAAUUUCAGAGUUAAUUUUCAACAAAAACAAAAUAUCAUAUUGAAAUACAUAAUAAAACACAUAAUUGAGUUUGUGACGAUUUUAAAGAUAUAAAACAUAAUAAAUUCUUCAAACAAUGUUAUUGAAAUCUCAAACAAUGAAGAAUGUCAUACCAUAAUAGAAAACAUGAUAAACUCUUUUAGAUUCUCUCAAGAAAACUUCCUAAAUAAUGUCUUAUUUAUAAUCUACCAGGCUUGUUAGAAAAGAAACCGCUUGCAUAAGAAAUUACCAAAUAAAAAACAAAUUCCUAAAUCACAUAACUACUAAAAACCUGAUCCAAUAAAACUAAUAAAUAAAUACUUCUAGACUUGGUUUAGUUUGCAAACAUUACCUCCCUUAAACCAAAUUCUUUGUGGCAGGCCCAACACCAUCUCAAACAAUAAUUUCUGUACAAAUCUCUGUCAUUGUAUAGCUGACAUGUAACUCCAUCUUGUUGCCGGUUAUUAAUUUCAUCUUUACACGUGGUAGUGGAUGUACUUUGUAUUUUGCAGAGAAUUUCUCAGCAAUUUCUUUUUUAUCAAAGUACUCAUUCAUACAACCCCAUUUAUCACCAGAAUAACCAUAUUUAAGUACCACCAAUGUAAGUGCCCAAAAAUACAAAAUCAUAGAUUACUUUCUUGCCAAAAUUAUCACCACUAAACAAUUUAUAAAUUCUACUACCACAAUUACCAAAAAGUUUCAAACUAUUAAUAAACUCUUUAGGAGCAAAAUCAUUUUGACGUCCCAUGAAAUCCGUAUCUAUCAAAUCAAACAUUUUUCCAUCACCUUGAAGAAAAUCCAAGCCAACAAUAUUUUCAAUAACAGUUUCUUUUUCUUCACAUACCAAAUCAGACUUAUCUUCUUCCUUUACCAGAUUAAGACAUUCUUUUUCUUCAACAAAUUCAUCACUUCCAAUUUCUCCAAACAAAGUAUGCAAAUCAAAACUAUCAACUGAUUCAAAAUUUUCAAUAUCCCCUAUACCAUCAACAAAUUUAUCAUUCAUUAACAAACCAUUUCCAACAACCAAACUUACCUUCCAAAAUCUCUAAGGUAUUUUAGUACGAUGAACAAAAGUUUUGUAAAUACUUUUUGUCAUUGUUUUACACAUCACUUGAAAGAGUAAUUGUACCUUCUUCUUGAAAACAUGUUUUGGUAACUCACUUGCAUCAACCCAACAAAGAAUAUCAUCCAAAUUACAUUGUUUGAGAUUUUUUUCACUAUAAAAAUCCAAUCAAAAUAUGUAUGUCUAUUUAUGCUUAUAGGAGUCAAUAUAGAAAAUUUUUCACCAUCAAUCAAAUCUCUAUAGUAUUCCAUUAUUUAACAAUUCAUAUACCUGAAUAAAUUUUUUCUUCCUUCUGUCAUGUUUUCCUGGCCUUCCUAGUUGAUUGACCAAUCAAAUCCUUCAAUUUGACAAUCCGCAGCAAUCAAUAAAUCUGAUAGGAUUCCUCUCUUAUCUCUGUCUUCACACAUGCAACAAUUUAACAAUUUUCGAACCAAUCUUAUGGUUGAAUUGUUCACCAACUCUUGAAUGAAUUCCCACAAGUGCUAGUGCUCUGUGGGUCUCUCCUUGCCCAUGCAAGACUCCUUCUUCCAUAGAUGCUUAAUGGAAGUUUUUGCUUUUCAUCUUCUUUUUUUUCGUUCUGAUUUGAACCCACCUCCCGCUAUUGCUAUUCCAUUCAUUGCUCUAAAAUCUUAUUUCUUCAUCAUUAUUUAAAUUCCUUUUCUUUACUGAUCUGUUAGUUCUUUUCCCUCAUCACUUUUAUAAUCUAGUGUCUCUUUGUAUUUUACAGGUACACAUUUUAAAUCAUUCAUCCUUUGGCUACUCAUUUCUCCUCUCUGCAGGCUGAAUCAAUUAUCUCGAAGCCAUGGCUCAAGGAUUAGAAAGGUUGUGCCAAAAGCUUACACUAAGAUAUGAUGAGGAGGAGAUGGUACUAUUGCUUGAUGACAAUAAUGGAGACUCAACUUUUCCCAGCGAUCUUUGCAUUCUAGGAAAGCUCUUCAGUUGGAAGCCCUUCAAUGCAAAAUCUAUGAUGGCUACCAUGAAGAAAUCUUGGAAUCCAUCUAAAGGACUUGAGUAUUCAACUGUUGGGGACAAUCUUUUCCUGUUCAAAUUUAAUGACAUCGUUGACAAAAAAAAGGUUAUGGCAAGAUGUCCUUGGGCUAUUGAUGGAAAUUUGCUAUUUGUAAGUGAUUACAUUGGUAAAUUCAGAAAUCAAAAGUAAAGUUAUAUCACUAUUCUUUCUGGAUUUGAGUAUACAAUCUUCCACUGGUAUGGAUGAAUGGAAAAACGGCAGGUUCUAUAGGUAACAAACUUGACAUAUACGAGGGAUUCGAUUCAAAGGGUGAGCUCUUUGUUGGUAGAUUUUUGCGAAUAUGGGUUAACGUAAAUCUCAAUAACCCCCUCAAAUAGCUGAUGAAGCUUUUAAUUGAGGGCGAGGUAUGUGAAGUUCACUUUCGUUAUGAACGUCUUCCUACGCAUUGCUAUUUUUGUGGUAGAAUUGGGCAUAGAGAAAGGGAUUACGAAGCCAAAUUGGAAGUUAUUGCAGUAAACAAUGGAGAACCUCAAUAUGGUGGAUGGCUUCGAGUCAGUGACGAUGAAAGGAGGUCCAUGUAUCUUUGUUGUAGAUAAGAUUUCUAAUCCUAAGGAGGCAAUUAAUUUUGAACAUACGAAAAUCUAGGCUUCAAAAUCUCCAAAUUUGGCUGGCAAUCUUGAUCUUACCCAUAAACCAAAGUCCAAAUCUACAACACGUUGGUGAAGAACCAGAGCUCUUCUCUCUCUCUUGAUAAACGUAAAUCAAUUUUUUCAACCGAAUUGGUUUUUGAUAAUUCAAAGACAGCACAGGCAAUUUCCACUUCUUUUCCCUUAACCAAUAAUCCUCCCCAGACAAUCGUUCAAGAUAGGCCCUCAAGCACACUAACAAAUUCCAAAGCAAGUACUCUUGGCCUGAAACCCAUUGAACACCCCAAAAUCUCAAACUCUGGAAAACUAAUUUAGCCCAACACCACCACCAACUCCAAAAUUCCUUUAAUCAAACCCACUGUAUCCCAAACAAAACAAAUUUCUAUAACCCAGCCUAUCAUCAUGUCCCCCAAACUGCAACUGCCUAUUCACCACACUAAUCAAACACUCAUCUAUUUUUCAUUGAAAAAUUUAAACCCCAACCUUGUCUCUUCUUUUCGCCCCUGUACUAUUGAGCCAAAAACCCAGUCAUAUAAUCACUAAUCCCAGCUCACCAUCCAAACAACUAUCUAUUUCAACAUCUUUAGAGUCAACCAUGGAGAAUGUGUUUCGAGCUGAUGCCACCUUAACACAGCAAAAUAAAGUUUCAAGCAUUCAAGACAUGCGAUCCAUUGCUUCUGCCAUAAAACUGAAAGGAAGCAAAUUUUCUUGCUAAAAAUCAACAUCUUCAAAAUUGAGCCUUCAUCCUAUUAAUGCUAUAUCAGGUCACAAGAUGAAAAGGGAGAACAUGGAUAUUUCUCCUUCAGGGGAUGGCGCAAUGAAAGGUUCUAGUCCAAAGAAACUGAAAUCUGCUAAAUCAUCAGCACCUUCUCUACCAGAUUCUAUAACAGUGGAGACUGUCUCGCAGUCCCACUGAGAACCAUGAAUUGCUUGAGCUGGAAUUGCCGGGGAUUAAAUAACCCUCGGACAGUUUGGGAACUCCGAAACAUCAUCCAGAGAGAUAAAGUCUCAAUUAUUUUUCUAGUAGAAACAAAGUGGUCAACAAGCUAAAAAAUAGUAUUGGGUGGUUUGGUUUAGAAGUAGACUUGCAAGGAAACUCAGGUGGGUUACCUCUUCUCUAGAGAAAAGAUUUGGAUGUUGAACUCAUGCAAUUCUCUGAAAGUUUAAUUGAUGCUAAAGUGCAUAUGGUUGAUUCUCCCUAGCGUUUAACUAGCUUCUAUGGUCAUCCUAAGGUUUCUAAAAGGAAACAUGCUUGGGAUAUUUUGUGCAAGUUCAGUAUAUUAUCAUGUCCAUCAUGCGUUUGCAUGGAUGACUUCAACAAGGUACUUACUCAAUAGGAAUUUCAAGGUGCUGCUUUGAGACCGAAUUGGCAAAUUAUGAAUUUUAGAAAGGCACUAUCAAACUGUAAUUUGUUUGAUUUAGGCCAUGAAAAUCAUCUUUUACUAAGUGUCAAAAUUGCUCUGCUCCUGAUACAACUAGAGCUCAUCUAGACUGUGCAUGUGUAUCUCAUGAUUUUCUUGAUUUAUUUCUUGGAGCCAAGAUUUAUCAUUCACAUGUUCUUUUUUCAUAUCAUGUUCCUAUUGUUUUAAGAUUAUCUUGUUCACAUGAGUUAUUAAAGGCUGGCAGAAAAACUAGGAGAGACAAAGGUUUUAUGUUUGAAGUAAUGUGGAUUAAAUCAGAAGAUUGUGAAUGAAUAAUUCUGGAAUCUUGAGAGUACAGCUCAACAAACAAUGCUUGUGAAAACUUGGUUAUGAAAACAAACAAUUGUAGGUUGGGCAUUCUCCAAUAGAGUAAACAGUCCUUCAGUAAUCGCGCUAAGGCUGCGGAAGAACUUCAGCAAAGGAUUUUUUUGACUCCAACAAGGUGUUUUGACAGACUCUAUAAAGGCUGAGAUUGGUUCUUUAACUAAUUAGUUAGAGGACCUUUUUGACGAGCAAGACAUCAUGUGGAAACAAAGAAGUAAAGCACAGUGGUAUAGAGAAGGUGAUCGAAAUAUAGCUUAUUUUCAUGCUCUAGCUUCAAAUGACGGAAACAUAACCAGAUUGUUGGCCUUUUUGAUAAAAUGGGUUCUUGGUGUCAGUUAAAAGAGGAACUGGAAGCUAUUAUCUUGGAACAUUUUGGCACAAUGUUUUCUACUUCAAAGCCUACUUCUGAGGCAAUUGAUACAAUCAUUCAGUGAGUGCGAGUAUGUAUUUCCAAUGAAAUAAAUGAUUAUCUUCUGCGUCCUUACAAUUCCAUUGAGGUAACAAAGGUUUUAAAUCAAAUGCAUCCUUUUAAAUCGCCGGACCUGAUAGCAUGUCACUAGUUUUCUAUCAAGAAUAUUGGCACGUUGUUGGUUUGGAUAUCACUCAUUGGGUUCUUAAUUUCCUAAAUGAUGGUGCUCUACCUACAAGUCUUAAUCAUACUUAUGUUGUUCUUAUUCCUAAGUGUCAAAGUCCAUCCCACAUCACUCAGUUUCAUCCCAUUAGUCUUUUCAAUGUAGUUUAUAAAUGGGCAAAAAGUCCCAGUGGCCCUCAAACUAUUACCCGGAUGAAGUUUUGGCCCCCAAACAAUUAAAUGUAAAUUUUUGGCCCCCGAUCUAUCCAAAGUACAAAUUGUUAGACCUUCUGUCAAAUUCAUCAGUUAAUACCGAUGGAAUCUACGCUCACGUGAGAAGCACGCCGAAAUACGAAGGGCAUUUUUGUCCAUUAAAGAGCUGUCAUCCACUUGGUGAAAUGGAGCGAAAAAUGAUUUUGACGAAACUGUUUACUUUCUCCACUAUCUCUCCCUUUGCCUGCCAUUAACGGUCUGCAACUUUCCGACUACAAGCACUACUACCAGCACCGUGGAAGUAGAUAUUGAAGCGAAAUGGAGUGGAAAAUAAGGAAGCCAGACGUGUACUUUGAUCCAUUUCUUUUUUACGGUAAGUGGUCUGACCCUAUUUUUGUUCCAUUUUCUUCUGAGCAGUGAUGAUUUGUAUAUAAUAGAGGAACAAAGCGUGUCAAUAACAUUUAAAAAGAUGGUAUUAGUCAAAUUUUUCAGUUUGUCGGGAAGAUUGGUGGUCCUAUAUGUUGGUAUCUUUUACUGUAGAAAUUAAUAUUCGCUUUAGUGGUCCUACAUUGUUUUUUAUUUUACCCAUUAACCAUGUCCGACAAAAAGGGGCCACUGAAAUGUUGGUAUCUUUUACAUUGUUUUUUUAAAUAUUAUAUUGACCUGAGGCUAAAAUUGCUGCAGAGGCUGAUUCUGAAUGGUUUACUAUACGUUUGCAUCAUGGGGGGACAAUAUGUGGGGUAUGUUGAUGGAGACGUAGAUGAUAUAGAUGUUUGCAGUGCCGAGAAAAUGUCCAUGCUUGAACUGAAUAAGAUGGUGGAAAAAUGAGGACAUCGUAGAGCUGCUAUACUGUAUUACUAUCUUGAACCAAAUAAAGAUCUAUCCAAUGGUUUAAGGGAGUUAUGCACUGAUGAGGAUGUUAACAAAUUUUCAGAAUGGGCUUACAAGUUUAAGGUGAUGGAGGUAUUUUGUAACCACCUGACACCUGAAGAAAUUGAAAAUUUUAGGUCUCCUUUGAUUGUUAAACCAGUAGAAAAUAAACGUUGUGGUGUUGUGAUUGAGGAGUUGGAUGAGCAGGGAAGAAUAAUAGAGGAAUCAUGUUCUGGAAAAGGUUUUAGAAUGGGUCUGUUAUUUGAGGAACAUACUGGUACAAAAGAUAAUCGAGAUGUGUUACAGAACUCAGGUUUACAGCAGAAACAAAUUGGAUCAUCAGAGCAGCCUCAUAGUGCUGGACAUGGACAGAGCAUCCAGCAGCUUGCUAGUGCACUAGAUCUAGAAGGGAGAGCUACUACCUCUGCUUCAACAGACCAGCAUCAAGGCACAUUCGAACGAGGUGCUGCCUCUGCUUCUACUAUCCAGCAUGAGCAAGCUAGUGAACUAGAUCCAGAAAGAGGUAUUGCCUCUACUUCAACAGACCAGUAAGAAGGCACAUUUGAAACUUCUACUAUCCAGCAUCCUAUUGACCAUAAUAGCAGUGAACAACCUUUUGAGGAAGGAGUCAUAGAAGAUGUUGAAGAAUCAGAAUCAGAGCAUGACUCUGACAGAUUUAGCAGUGGUGACUACUGUGGCGAUGAGGCACUAUUGGAUGGUUUGAUACCAGAGACAACAGGGGGUGGAACUUCAGAGCAGCAAUUUGAUGAGCCACUAACAGAUGAGGUGCAGCCUGAUUCACAGCAAAAUAAUGAAACAACAGGCACAUUCUCUUCACAACAGCAUGAUGCACAGCAGCCACAACAGAAAAAAAAAUAGGUUAGGAGAAGGAAAAAUGUACAAGCACAGCAGCAACAAGCUCAAAAUGAACCAGAAGCUGCUGAUACAUUGGCUGAAGAUGUAAUCCCAGACCACCUUAGCAGUGAUGGUGGUUCAUCAGAAGAAGAAGAAGAUGCUGACCAAUUCCAAACAAGGUACAAAGAUUUUUGUAUGGAGAAGUUCAAAAUUGAUACCAGAUUUGAGUUGGGUAAGAAAUUUGGUUCAAGAGCCCAGUUUAAGGCAGCUGUUCAAGAAUAUGGUAUCAAGAUGGGGAGGCCAGUAUACACCAAAAGGAAUGAGAGUAAAAGGGUGAGAGCCAAGUGCAAGGCCCCAUGCCAAUGGUUUGUGUUUGCCUCAAUUGAAAAAGCACUUGGGAGUACUGAUUUGGUAGUUAAAAGCAUGAAUGACAAGCAUGAAAAUUGCAAUCACGCCUGGAAAAAUAAAAACCUGAAGUCUAAGUGGUUGUCUGACAGGUACAUGGAGAGGAUUAGGUCGAACUCUCGAAUCCCAGUUAGGGAGAUCCGGCAAACUGUGAAUGAGGAGUACCAAGCUCAAAUUUCCAGAUGGAUAGCAGCCAAAGCAAGGAAACUGGCACUUGAAAUGAUAAAGGGAUCAGCUGAACAACAGUAUAAGAGAAUUUGGGAAUAUUGUGCUGAGAUAAAAAAGACACAUGAGGGCAGCACAAUGGAGGUGAUGUUUACUCCAUUUAGAGGGCCUGGGGGCAACCCAAAAUUUAUGAGACUCUACUGCUGUUUAGGGCCAUUGAAAAAAGGAUUUAAAGAUGAUUUGAGGCCAUUGAUAGCAUUGGAUGGGUGCCAUUUGAAGGGGACUUAUAGAGGGCAGUUAUUGACUGCCAUUGCAGCUGACCCUAAUAAUGGGUGGUGGCCCAUUGCCUGGGCAGUUGUAGAGAGAGAAGCUGCGGAGCAGUGGGCGUGGUUCUUGAAAUACCUCAAUGAUGAUUUGGAAAUUGAAAAUCAAUUUCAUUAUACCUUUAUUUCUGACCAACAAAAGGUAUACACAUGUACACUUUGCAAUAAUGUGAACAUGUGUAUGUAUGUGUAUGUAUAUACAUAGUACCUUCCUUGAUAUUUUGUUUCUUCCUUUACAGGGGUUGGAUAGAGCAUUAGCUGAAGUUCUUCCAAAUUGUGAGCAUAGGUAUUGUGUCCAACACAUGUAUCGAAACUUCAAGAAGAAACAUCCAGGUCUGCCUCUUAAGGAUAGGCUGUGGAACAUUGCCAACAGCACAACAGAGGAACUCUACAAUAAAGCAAUGGCAGAACUCAAAGAUUUUGAUAACGAGGCAUAUCAGUGGGUAAAAAAUGCUCCAGCUCCUCGGCAUUGGUGCAAGGCCUUCUUUCCGACUCACACAAAGAGUGACAUGCUGGUCAACAACUUGUGUGAGUCUUUUAAUGCACAUAUUCUUGAGGCUAGAGACCAGCCAAUUAUAACAAUGCUGGAAAUGAUCAGGGAGUACCUUAUGGAUAGGAUCCGGAAGAGAAAAUCAGCAAUGGAAAGAUAUGAUAGCCCAACUGGACCUCUAAUCAACGAAAUUAUUGAAAAUAGAGUAAAAAUUGCAAGUCAGUGGAUGCCUAUUUGGAAUGCAAUGCAUGGCUACCAGGUGAAAGGACCAAGAGGGGCCCAAUUUGCGGUAGAUAUGGAGAAAAAGAACUGUAGUUGCAGGUUAUGGGAGGUUAGUGGCAUUCCAUGUUGUCACGCCAUUGCUGCCAUUCUUUUGAGGAAUGAAGACCCACGGCAGUACUUGAAUGUUUGUUAUAGUAGGGGGCUAUUCUUGAAGCUUUAUGAGAAUGUGUUACAACCAAUUAGCUGUGAGGAUCAUUGGCCCCCAUCAACAAUGCCUGAAUUGGAGCCCCCGGUAUCAGUAACUCAACCUGGAAGGCCUAGAAAGGCUAGGAGAAGGGACACAACUGAAGGCAAGAAUCAUGGUAGAAGACUAAGAAGAAGGAUCAUUAUUCAUUGUCGAAAAUGUGGGGAGGCUGGUCAUAAUGCAGCAACAUGCAAGCAACCAACCAAUGAACAAGGGCGGCAAGAUACUUCAACUGAACCUGUGACGCAGCAAUCAAAUGUAAGAAGGAGGAGACAAACAGUAAGUACAACCAGACACUUGUUCACUUUUAAUUUUUCAUGUUUUGCAGCUAACAUGGUUCAUGAAAUUUUGGAGGUUAUGCAGUCAGAAAUAUCACAGCAACAGCAGGUUGAUGAAGCUGCGCAUGAGCAGCCACAACAGCAACCAGGCCAGCAACAAUCACAUGAAGUCCAUGAUCAUGAACCUGGGCACCACCAACCACAACAACAGCAACAAACAUCUACUCCAGGCCCGAGUGAAAAGACUUGUCCACCAACCCGUAGCAGGAAAACUUCAACUCGGAAACCACUCACUGAUGCAGAAAAAGGAGCCAUAAAUGCUAACUAUGCAUAUUUGGGUAAGGAGCCACCGUACACAACGGGUUCUUGGAGAGGAAAGUGGAGUGGAAGAGGUAGACGGAGAGGAGGACAAACCACAAAAGAUAAGGGACGGGGAAGAGCUAAUUAAAGAGGAGCAACAGUCAAGAACUACUUGAAGAGGGACCUCUAAUCACAUUUUUUGCCAACUGUUUUUUGUCUUACAAUCUUGAAUCUCGUUGGAUGUUAGUGGAUGAAUUCCAAUCAACUUUUGUUAGUGUUGAUUACGUUUUGUAUUCUGGCUAUAUUUUUGUACACCAUUGACAUCAGCAUUGGUUAUGUAGGGUCAAUAUAAUAUGAUGGUCUUUAUAUUUGCUUCACUUUUGCAAAUGUUCAUGUCUUUGUCUGGUUAGUAUAUCUAGUUAAUGGAAUUGUGCUGCGUCUUCACAUUGAGAGCCACUGGGACUCAAUUGAUCUUCACUUUGUCAUUCCUUUCAAGCAGGGCAGUUCUUUUACAAGUGAAACAACAUUACAGAGUAUUUCACCAAACAAGUGAAACAAUAAAGCCUUGCAAAUAUAGUCUGAUUUUUUCCCAGCAAAGCAUGCCUGAUUUUUCAUUCAACAAAUCAAAACUUACAUUUCAUUGCACAUCUACCGAUACAGUCAUUACAGAGUACAAAAACAAUAACGUGCACCCACUUAAUUCAUCUUCAUACUGCUCCUUCUAUUUGCCUAAAAACUGUGAGAUUUCCAUUUUUUUUGCCCCAACUAACUAAGAUUAUAGUUGUUAGCAUCCAUGUUAACAAAAACAAUCUCACCAGACACUUGUUCACCCACUUUUUGCUACGGAUUUCUUUUUCUAGUUCUUUCACUUUGACCUUCAACUUUGCGACUUUUCUUUCUUGUCUUCUUACUUCUUCUUCAUACGCAUCUCUUUGCUGUUCAGCUACAUUAAUUCUUUUCAGAAGCCCAGGUAUGAUCUCCAUUGACCGGCUGCACAUCUCCUUGUCGAUCCACUGCCAAAAUCUGCAACCACCAUCCGUGCACACCGCAAAUCUCCGUCCAGGAUUUCUUGAGGUCCACGAAGUUAUGACUCUCGACAUUUUCUCACACCUGCACAAUGGGAAAUCCGGAUUGUUGGUUUCUCGCAUGCUUCCAGUUCAGCAACUUCUUUGGCUGCAAUUGAGUUUUUCUUUGUUCAAGUUCCGGAAGAAGUCCCAUUUCACCAAGUGGAUGACAGCAAUGGACAAAAAUGCCCUUCGUAUUUCGGCGUGCUUCUCACGUGAGCGUAGAUUCCGUCGGUAUUAACUGAUGAAUUUGACAGAAGGUCUAACAAUUUGUACUUUGGAUAGAUCGGGGGCCAAAAAUUUACAUUUAAUUGUUUGGGGGCCAAAACUUCAUCCGGGUAAUAGUUUGAGGGCCAUUGGGACUUUUUGCCCUUUAUAAAUUAGCCUCUAAGGUCUUAGCUAAUAGAAUUAGGAGCUAUCUUUCUAAAGUCAUCUCGCCAUGUCAAUCUACUUUCAUCCUUGGGCAUCUUAUCAUUGAUAAUAUCUUAAUUGCUUAUGAAAUUAAUCAUUCUCUUAAGCUGAAGUCUUCUGGGGAGGAGAGAUCUAUGUCCGUUAAGUUGGACAUAAGCAAAGCUUUUGAUAAGGUUGAAUGGAUUUUUCUUAGACAUAUUAUGUUAGCUUUAGGUUUUCAUUCCGAUUUUGUGGAUAUUGUUUUACGUUGCAUCUCUACUGUGUCUUACACUUUCUUACUAAAUAGAUCUCAAUUUGGGGACCUGCAACCCCAUCGAGGUAUCAGACAGAGGGAUCCAUUAUCACCCUACUUGUUCUUGAUUUGCACUGAAGGUUUUUCUUGUUUAUUGUAGGAAGCUGAACAUUAUGAAAGCAUCUCAGGUUUUCAUAUAGGUUCACAUGGACCGAAGCUAUCUCACUUAUUAUUUGUAGAUGACACUUUAUUAUUUGGAAAAGCAUCACUUUAGGAAGCGCGGCACAUAAAGACAAUCCUUGAUCUCUAUAAAGCAGCUUCAGGUUAGGAGAUUUAUUUUGAUAAAUCAACAGUGGUCUUCAGCAAAAACACGGAUUCCACAAUUUGCCGUAGCAUCACACAGCUUCUUAACAUUAAGGAAGUUCCUACUCAUGACAAAUAUCUUGGCCUUCCUACCAUUGUUGGUCGCUCUAAGUCCAAAGUCUUUUCGUCAGUAAAAGAGAGAAUCUGGCAGAAGAUGCAAGGAUGGAAUGAACAACAACUAUCAAAGGCAAGGAUGGAAUGAACAACGACUCUCAAAGGCACGUAAACAAAAUCAUGGUCAAGGCUAUUGUCUAAGCCAUUCCAACAUACUCAAUGUCUUGUUCCAAGUAUCUGGAUUCCUUGCUUUCAGAUAUCCAAUCUAUGAUGAGUAACUUUUUUGGAGUGAUGGUACAAAACAGAAACCAAUUCAUUGGGUAAGUUGGGAUAGAAUGUGUUCGUCCAAAAACGAAGGUGGCAUGGGCUUCGGACAACUUAAGACUUUUAAUUUAGCUUUACUAGCUAAAUAGGUAUGGUGCAUUGCAACUCAACCAUCCACUCUAAACAGGUAUGGCACAUUGCAACUCUACCAUCCACUCUUCUACGUCAGGUUUUUAAAGCUAAAUAUUUUCCUAAUUCAGACUUUUUCCAUGUGAGCCUAUUUCCAAGCCUUUUUACUUGGACGAGAUUGUGCGAAAUUCGAAGAUAUCUAGUCUCUGGUAGCAGUUGGCAAGUUGGAAAUGGGAAUCAUAUCAAAAUUUGGAAAGAUAGGUAGAUUCCACGUCCUUCUACUUUCAAUUAUAUCUUGUUCUGAUGCGCUACCUAAAGACUCCACUGUAGAUAGUUUAAUUGAUGAAAAUGACAGGAAAUAGAAAUAUGAGUUGCUUCAAGAGCUUUUUUGGCAGGAUGAGAUUGAGCUAAUUAUGAGCAUUCCAUUGGGUGACACUCAAAAUCAAGAUAAGCUCAUAUGGCACUAUUCUAAAAUUGGCUCCUUCAUAGUGAAAAAUGCCUACCAUCUUAUCAAAACACAAUCUACAAACUAGCAAGACGUAACUUCAAGUAGUAAUGGCUCUGUGGAUGAUAUUUGGCCCCGCUUGUGGAAACUCAACAUACCAAGUAAAGUUAAAAUAUUCUUGUGGCGAAUUUGCAAAUGUAUUCUACCUAUAACAUCCAAGUUCAAUAGUUGUGAAGUCUAUCUUGAUCUACUUGCUCUUUAUGUAAGGUUCUUGUGAUUACUCCACCUCCCCCUAGGGUGUACUUUAGAGUUUGGCGGACCACCUGCCCAACUCUCGUCAUAACUCACUCACGAAUUUCAGAAAAAAAUAAUAAUAAUUUCCAAACUCUAAUAGCAUUAACGCCAAGGUAAACAUCAAAUUCCAUGGUUAAACAUUACAAACCAACCAACAUUCCAUAUCUAUACUUAUAUAUACAACCAAACAGAUAAAAACACAAAUCCCAAUCAUUUAAUCAAUUGACUAAGUAUAACUAAUAGAGCAAGUAAAGUAGGAUAUCAACUCUCGAGCUGUCUAUUUCCCUGAUUCCACAUUGCCAAUGCCUGUUAAGGAAAACAACUAAAGAAAUGAGUUAAAAGCCCAACGAGUUUCCAAGAAACCAUGCAAACAAAAUAGCAAGUGAAUAAGCAAAAUAGCAAUUUAGCAAACACGUAGGUUAUAUUUUCAAAGCAUAACUAAUACAUGACAAUAAAGUAAAAUAUUAACACAUCAAAACACUGAGCAUUUUCAAGCAUAAGGAUACAAUUUGCUCUCGCGAGCCAAAUUCAGUUGCAUCCGUUUGCUCAAAAGCUGUUGACACUCCGUCGACCAUAACAUACAGUAACAAUAUCUUGUAGAUCACCACUUCAUGCCAAUCUCCAUCCACCGAUCAUCUCCUUUACCGGGCCUAUACGCCAAACAAGAGACACAAGGGGUAAUACUCGAGUAUACCAAUUCAAGUAAAAAGUAACACAACCCAUGGUUCGUUAAUCUCCUCGACCAAGCUCUUGCUAACUCGAUUCGACCAACUAGCCAAUAGGGUUUGGGGCUCCAAUCACUCAGUAUGGUCGAUGGGAUAACAUACCCAAACGACUUGUAAGUCAAACACAUGUAUAUCAUUUCAUAUGCAAACAGUAUAAUAAUGAACUAGUCAAAUUAGGUCGAGUGCGAUAAAGUACACUUUUGUCUAGCCAAUAUCAAUUCAAGAGAGCUAGCAUUUCAAUCAAUCGAUACUCUCAUUAAGACAACAUUCAAAUCAAGUACAAGUCAGAACAUGCCAUUGAAACACUCACCAAUCAAACAUGAACUUUACACUUCAGCCCAAGCCUAUCUUCUCGCCUAUUUUCGAGUCCUGCCAUCAAAUAUAAUUACACACAUGUACAUCAACUCCAGCCAUCAAAUAUAUCACAAGAAAGUUAAACUCGUCCACUUUUCUCAAAAGUUCUACUUAUGUUUCACUCUUUCAAAUCAAGAACUCAACAUGUAGUCCAUCACAUGUUUAGAAAACAUCUGAAAAACAAUAGGACAUUAAUAGUUCAUCUAAAUUUAAGGUUUAAAUCAUAAAAGUCAGCCCCAAAGUUCAUGGAUACAAGGUUUUUCUUGUUUAUGACAAGGAAAAAGUCACAUACAUGCUAGUUCAAUGUUUCUUUUCAGUGGUAUGUGGGUAAAUACACAAUAGCUAACAUAUCUAACAAUGAACAAGACAUAUAACAUGUUUCAUAUGCUAAGAAAAGCAACAACAACUCAAGUAUCAAGUCAUCCUUCACCCGCUCAAAGAAACUUAGAAAACACCAAGGAUGAUGAACUUUUUCCUUUUCAAAUUCACCAAGUUUCCUUGCUUAAAUCAAGUGAAAUAUAUUAUGCAUGCUAAGGUUAACACACCACUAAGUAUUUAAAUUCAAAAUAUACAGGAUUUAACCAAAGAAAGUUAGGUUUAAAACCCAGAAAAGUUUUCCAAGUCCCACUCAAUCCAUUUGAUAAAAUUUCGAGCUUCGGUGACAUUCUUUGAAAAUGUAUAACUUGAGUUUUGUGGGUCACAAAAUCACAAAACUUACACCAUUAGAAAAUAGACUUGAAGUACUAACAGGCUUUAGAAGAAUCUUCAUGAAAUUCAGCUCAUAGAUUAGUCAAAUUUCAGUUUAAAAAUCAUUGCUAUCACAAGUGCAGAAACAGAACAGUCAUAAUUUUUAAAAAAUUUUGCAGAUUUGUUAGUCUUUAUAGAAAUUGAACCAAACCCUAAAUUUUAUAUCAUUGGAAGUUCUAUGAGUCUUGUUUCAAACACAAUAAACAGAACUCAAUUCUGACUUUUCUAUACAAAGUUAUAGCCAAUUUCCCAAAACUACAUAGAGCUUCCUGCGAAAAUUUUCAGAUUUCCAACAACUUAAGAAAUGAAACUUUCACUAACUAUCUCAUUCUAUUGGCUCAAGUUCAACAUAUAAUUGAAGGAAAACAUGUAUAAAGUAAGAAUUGACCAAGAAUUACCAUAAAAUUGGAAAAAAAAGGUUCAAAACCUGCUCUCCUAUUCGGACAACUUAACAGAGCUUCUAGCUAAUUCUUACAAAAUUCUCAUUCAAGUUUUUCAACUUUGCUCUAGAUUUUCAAAUACAACAAGAGGGUAGACAUAUAACUUAAAUUUCUAGAAGAAAACUUCUUCAAAAUUUGGAUAACAAGUAGCAUAACCAAUUUCCUUCCUCGACCAAAUAGAAAAUUUUCCAAUAACAUAUCCAACUUUUAAACAAGCUUUACUUCAGCAAAAUGCACUUUCUUAGCUAAAAUAUAUCAUGCAACAUGAAUAAUCAAGUUUAUUAGAAAUAUGAGAGGUUUUAUAGCAGUUUACCUCCCUUUUCACUCAUGGUUCAAGGCUGGAGUAAUGGAGAUAGAUUGCUCCUUCCUCUAUCAGCUCCUCAAGGUUGAAUCACACCAAGAACGUAGAGCUCCCUCACUCUUUCCUUCCUCUCUAACUCUCUUUCCCUCGACUUCAACUGAUAUGGAGAUGAACUAGAAAAUUCUCUUAGCUUCUCUCUCUCUCUCUCAAUUGGAGUAGAAAACAGGGGAACCAGCCUUGCCCUUUCUCUUUCUCACUCAUUCGGAUGAUUUGGGUUAGGGGGAGGUAGAAUUUGUUUCUUUUACUUGCUUCUCUCAAUUAGGCUUUGAAGGGAAACGGGGAAUGUAUGAUUUGCCUCACAUUUUCACAAAAGGAAGGCUAGUGAGUCUUAGUCAAAGCUUUGGUUGCCCAUUUGACAAAUGACACAAAUACAAAUGAUAUAUAUCUAAUUUUCCAAAAUAUCUUUGGCCACAUCACAUCCCUAAGUACAAAAUAUCUCUUAUUGUCACAAAAUAUCCCUUUUGCACACAAAUCCCUCUUUAUCACUCAAUUUAUGCCACACGCCCUACUAGUUGGACUAGGUAGUAUAUCACCCCAUGAAAAAAAUGCGCAAUAAAUUAAAAGAGGCAAUGAAGUACAACAAUCUUUUAUCGUUCACCAAAUAAAAACAUGUAAUCCAAAGAAAAAUAACACAAUAUGCAAAUUUCAGGUCCUCACAGCCCCCUAUUGAAGAUGUUAAUCGUCUUUUCUUGUACUGUCCAAUAGCAAUUCAAGCUUGGGCCCUCAACUUCCUUAUAUUGAAGAUAAGGUUAGACUCUGCUGAUCAAGUUUCAUCUUGGUUGCUUGGCCUUCUUUGUCUUUUGAAAAAGCGGGACAUGGAAUUGGUAGCCAUAAUUCUUUGGAAUUUAUGGCUUAAUCGAAAUAGUGCAUUAUUUGAUGGUUCCUAUCGUGAUCUUCUCAGUUUGGUCUCUCUCUCUCUCUCUCUCUCUCUCUCUCUCAAUUUCCUAUAGAAAUAUCAUGAAGCAAACACAUCUCCAAACAUUCCAAUUAGCUCUUCUACUGCUCAACUUCAUUGAAAAAAGCCCUCAGCAAGUUUUCUAAAGGCCAACUUUGAUGGUGCAAUAUUCUAUGAAAAUGACUACUCUGGAGUUGGAGUUGUUGUGAGGGAUAAAUGGGGCAAUUUUGUUACAGGUAUUUCUCACAAAAUCUUAGGUAUCUUUUCUCCUAAAGUAAUUGAAGCCUAUGCUACAAAAUCCACAAUUUCCUCAUUAAUUCAGUUGAAGGUUCCUAAGAUUAUUUUGGAUAGGGGUGUGGAAAAUCGAAAAAUUCCGAUAUACCGAUCGAAUUCGAAUUGAAUUCAGAAUUUUUGAAAUCAGUAAUUCAGAAUUCGGCACUGAAAUCGAAAUUUCCGAUUUCUAUGCGAAUUUGGUUCGAAUUCGUAAUGGAGUUUUGGAAAUCAGAAUUUCUGAUUUCAAUUUCAUUUUAUAAUAUAUAUAUAUUAAUAUUUAUUUAUUUAUAUAUAUAAUAAUAUUUUUUAUUUCAAUUUCAUUUUAUAAUAUGUAUAUUUAUAUAUAAUAAUAUUUUUUAUAAUACAUUUAUAUAUAAUAAUAUUUUUUAUAAUAUAUGUAAUAUAAAAUUUAUAUUAUAUAACAAUACAUCUAACAAAAAAGAAAAAAAAGGGGGGAAAGGUUUCCAAAUUCUGUGAAUUUGGAAUUUACUGAAUUCCGAAUUGAAUUCGGAAUCGAAAUCGGAACUGGUUAAUUCGAAAUCGAAAUCAAUCGGUAAUUCCUAUGCCAAAAUUCUGAAAAAUUUCGAAUUCAAACUUCCGAAUUACUGAAUUCGAAUUCGAUGCACACCCCUAAUUUUGGAGGGUGACUCUUUGAAGAUCAUCAACAUGCUUAAAAAUAUGGAAUCUAAUGAUUCAACCUAUGGAGUGCUGUUAGAUGAUAUCUUUGUUGGUUUAUAGAAUUUUGUCACUUGGGAGGCUAAUUGGGUUCUUAGGAAUCUAAAUGUGCCUGCUCAUUUAUUAGUUAGGAAUGUUAGUUCUAUUUUAGAUAUUUGUAGUUGGAGAUUUUCUCCACCAUCUUUUCUUUCUUUCGCACUUACUGAGGAUCUUCUUAAUAAAAUUUUCCAGAUUUGCUAUCCAAAAAAAAAAAUUCUUCAUCAACUACACACUUCAGGAUCAACCUCGUGGUCUAAUUCAAUUAACUGAAUACUUUUCGACAAUUUUGUGCCCUAAUUCGUUGACAGCGGAAACGCCCAGGACUAACCUCAUAGUCUGGUUUUGAUGCCAACUAUAGAACCCAAAUUUUAGGGUUUUAAUAAUAAUCAAUGGGUAUAGGUUUACAAAAUUAAAGGGAUAAAACAAACAUUCAAAAUAUAUGUGGGAGAGAAGAAAAUAAUAAACUCAACUUACAAUAUUAUUGAAAUCUCAAACAAUGAAGAAAGUCACACCACAAUAGAAAAUCUGACAAACUCUUCUAAACUCUCUCAAGAAAACAUGCUGAAUGAUGUCUUAUUUAUAAUCUACCAAACCUGUUAGGAAAGAAACCCCUUGCAUAAGAAAUUAUCAAAUAAAAAAUAAAUUCCUAAAUCACAUACUACUAAAAAUCUAAUUCCAAUAAAACUAAUAAAUAAAUAUUUCUAGACUUGAUUUAAUUUGCCAACAGUUUAGUGGGGUUUUUUUUGGGGGAGGGGGGAAGAAGGGGGUUGGGGAGGGUUGGAUUGGAUUAGAUGGUAAGGUGAAAGGGAUUGAAAGUAGAAUGUUGUGGGUUCAAAACCUCUCACUUGAAAAAAAAAAAAAAAGCAAUGAAUUUCAUGUUAAAAAUUGUGUCAUCAUUUAUUAUUUCAAUCAUACCUUUUCAAGAUUCAACAUAUAUACCCAUCUAUUAAAUUUUCUACUCCUAUAUAAUUACUGCUAAUGUACUGUUUCUAUAAACAUUUCACUAUACUUUUCAAUGCUAGACCUUUACUAAUGACCUCCUUUUUUUGGAAGAAAAAAACUGCCAUUUAUGAGCCUAAUAAAAUUUUCAAUAAUCACAAACAAAUAAUAUCCUUUUUAAGAAUAUUUUUUUAAUGUGCACACGUAUAGCGUGUGCCGUUCUCACUGGUUAUAAAUUAAAAAUGCGCAUUUUUUGCCUUUUAAGGUGAAUUAAAAUAAGAGAGAGCAUGGACUAUACUACUGUUAACUUUUUUCUUUGUUUGGAGAAAGAAGUUCCACUCUCAACACACUGCCUUAGCUCCACAAUUCAUAAAAAAAAACCAAACAUAAAAGGAGAAACGAAAAUGAUUGCCACUCCUAAGACUCUUAUUGGAUCCUUGAUAGGAUUUUUCACUUGGGGCAAAUAUUUGGUUUAAAUCCAUGUAUUAACUGAUUAUGUGUUAACUAAAAAUAUUGCUCAAUCUAAAUCUAAUCCCGCAUUUUUGGUAAUUUGGUAGAGAAUUCAAUUGUCAAAUUGUUUUAUUUCGUUAUUCUAGAUAUAUUUUCCGCGAAAUAUGUACUCUGUUUCUCCCUUUUUCCUUUCCCUUUUAUUUUAAGGGGUAUUUGUGCUUUACUUGGUCUCCAAAGCUACUUGCUGUACUUUUCCAGUGUAAUAUCAUACUUUAAUUCAUCUUUUUCUUUCUUGUGCAGAAUCUAGUAAUCUCAACAUGUUGAUACAAAUUAGAACGCUAGACACUUAAUAGUACUAUUGGAUUAUCCGUUUCAUAUUUCAAUUUGGGACUUGCCAGCUCUCUAAACUAGCUGCAGCAGACACAAAUAUUUACUACUUCAAAAGAUUGAAAGCGAAAAGUUGGAUUAAGAAGGUAUUCUUGCUUAGACCACAUACAACAUUCACUUCCGACUUCUUAAGGUACAAGACAUUGAGAUUUGGUUAUAAAGAUAUGCUCCGAAGCAUAUAUAUUAAAAUCAUAAAAUGAAUGCCUUACCUUCAGAAACAGAGGGUAUACCGGCAUAACAAAUUUCAACCAAAAUAUUAGUAAAAAUUUACGGCUAAGUAACGAAUUAAAUAGACAUGAAUAGUCACAUGCGCAAAAUAAGUCAAGACAAACACAUUCAUCUGAAAUUACAAGAAACACAAAAAAUCAGCCU
RNAcentral lists this long non-coding RNA (89938 nucleotides) under Coffea arabica (coffee). Its description in RNAcentral is "long non-coding RNA (CARA_LNC002564)". The record is from RNAcentral. Lineage: Eukaryota; Viridiplantae; Streptophyta; Magnoliopsida; Gentianales; Rubiaceae.